RNAcentral lists this long non-coding RNA (120036 nucleotides) under Coffea arabica (coffee). RNAcentral's name for it is "long non-coding RNA (CARA_LNC007267)". The stretch from base 112223 to 112329 matches the Rfam family "Plant small nucleolar RNA R71". The record is from RNAcentral. Lineage: Eukaryota; Viridiplantae; Streptophyta; Magnoliopsida; Gentianales; Rubiaceae.
CACCUCCUCCCCCAGUUUACCUGUCUCCACCUCCACCCUAUCAUCACUACUACGGUUCUCCUUCUCCUCACCACUACUAAGCAAGUGCAUAAGUUUUGAGGUAAUAAUACCUAUCCAAAACUUUAUCAACACAAACUGCCAUGUAUAUCAUGCUAAGGACGUACACUUGAUCCAUGAAAAUGACUAGUAGAAGAUUUUUUUUAAGAACCAAAGAAAUACAUUAUUUUUUCGGUCUGUUUUCAAGAAUUUGAGCAGUAUACAGAUUAAAGAGUGUUUUUUUUUUUGUAAACUUGCUUGUCAACUUAAAAAUGCACAUAGCUGAAAGCCAACUGAAUAUUUGCAGGCAAAGGAGAAGGCAAUCGGUGUUUGAGACCUUCAAGAAGAUGUAGAAGAAUAAGAAUAAAAGCCCAAUGCGAGGAUGAUUCCAAGUUUCUACGUUACCAUUUCUACAUCUAAAUUGACUUUAGCUCCUGAGUUCCAUGUUUAUGGGGUUUGUACCGUUUUACGUACCAUGCAGUACAUGCUUGCAAGGUUUUCUGUCCUGUUGGCAAACUGCAGGUCCAUAUAAUAAAUGAAUACUAUUUACAUUACGACACUUUUCUCUUUUUCUCUUAUAUUUUGUCUUUAAUAUUGUUGAUCAUUUUUUUUUUAUCAAAAGCAUCAAAUGCUUAGGUAAUUUGGUCUAAUGCUAAUUGUUUUACUUUUAUUUUUCACCUACACCCCUUUUCAACUCAAAGGAUGCUAUAGUUUGUGAUAAUUGUUUAAGACCGAAGCAUGAUACUAAUAAAUAUCUCAUUGAAAGUCAAGGAAACUAACAUUAGGAAAAGUUUAAAUCUUGAUUUGAUGAAACUAUUUAUUCGUGGAAUUUAGAGAUACAAAACUCAAAUUGUGACGGUGUUGUUGCUAAAUUAUUAAGGACAUUAUCACCAUUAUUUUUCCCUGAUCACUAGUUUCAACUGCAAUGAUCUCAAUCUUUUUGUGACUAAUUCUUUCCUUAAUAAUUUAUAAAGACAAAACUCACAAAGAAUAUGUGACUAAUUCUUUCCUUUCGUCUUCUAAAGAAAAUGCCAACUGUUAGUUUAUCAAGGGGAAAAAGGAUCGACAUCAGUUAUUAUUGAAACUAGUAAGGAAUAAAUAAUGGUGAUAAUGUCCUUAAUAAUUUAACAACAGCACCAUCAGAAUUUGACUUUGAGCUUCGGUCUUAAACAAUGAUCACAAACUACAGCAUCCUUUGAGUUGAAAAAGGAAGUAGGUGAAAAGAAAAGUAAAAAAUACAAUUAGCAUUCCCUCAAAUUGUAGAAAGUUAGGUAGCAUUAUAGACAAGUUGAUAGCGGCAAUUUUACAUUUCAAACUUCACCUAUUCAAUAACUAAUUCGAUGGCUUGCUACAUGGUCAAUCUUUGGACCCCUUCCUGCCUCCAGAUAUCCCUUUCCUCAAUCAGGGGCUUCUACAAUUACCAGUUUCAAUUGUAUGGUAUAGUGUAAAUAUCAACAAAUUAGAUGUAGAUGCUAACAUAAUAAAUGUGAAUGCUAAGACAGCAACAUACAAUCGAACCUGCAAUUGUAUGAACCCCAAUCUCGCUUCCUAGUCCACCAUCUUUCUCUAGGUAAUAAUCUCCCUUCUAAUUUAUUCACAAAAUGCACCUUUCAUCACCUCCAAUAGCGUCGACAUGAUCUUUACCCUAGAAGACUAUUCACCGACUCUCAAUUGACGUCAGAAAAUCUAAGAGUAAUUCUACUUUACCCUAAGAUUGAUAUCAACAAGACAAGGACAAUUUAGAAUUAUUACACGCCUCUUCUUAAUAGGAAAAAGAAAUAGAGAAGAAAGUCAGGCCAGGUCUAAUUUCUUUUCAAAGGCAAUACAACAUUACGAAAUCAAGCAUUCAUUCAUACAAAUAUUUCAUAGUCACCGGUUUGCUGAGUAGAAAAAUUUAGACAAAAACUUAAUAUUAUAUUGUUUAAGAGUUAACAAUUUAGAGCUUAAUCUCCUUGUACUUUGGAGUUAACAAUUUAGAGCUUAAUCUCCUUGUACUUUGGACUAAACUUGAACGUGAAAGGAAAUCCCAAAACCAUAUUGGGCAUGAAUUCACACUUAAUAUACCCAAUAAAAGAUGGCGACUGGUGAAAGGCAGUGGAGACUGGUGGAGAGAUUUGAGGAAUAGAAGCAGACGGAAAAGCAACAAAUUUUUGCCGAAAAACGGUCACUUUCAUGGUUAAUUUUGCUACUCUCCAAUUGUACUUGACCAAUUACAACAAUUUCAUGGAGUUUGAUACGUGAAAAGAAUUUUUUAUAAAUUUUAUUUUGAUCCAUAAUGUUAUCUUUACAUAUAUAAAACAUUUUACAAUUUUGAUUUUGGCGCAGCUAACUUUUGGUUAACAAAAAUGCUCAUGUUUAAAAAACCAGAAAUAAAACAAAACAAGAAACAAAAGAAAUAAGAGGGUAGCAUAGACAUUUUGGAUUUUUCCGUUAAUUUGGAUGAUUUCCACCCACGUUCUAAUUUAAUCCAAAACACAAAGGAAUUACGUAGAGGUUUUAAAUAAUCAGGGAGCUUCAUGAUCGAACCCCAAACCACGUGAUAGCAUACAAGAGUUCUAUUUCACUAUCGGUAGACAAAGACUUUCUAUGGUUGAUGUACCGUAGGAAAAAAUCUGCCUAUACAACGUGAUAGCAUUUUUUCAAAAACACAAGAUGGAAAAUUGCCCCCUUAAACGUGGAAAUUCAUGAUCUUUCCUCGAACAAAGAAUACUCACGCCUAUUCAAGAUGGAAAAUUGCCCCCUUAAACGUCUAUUUGUCAAUUCUUGAAAAAAGAAUACUCACGCCUAAAACACGGCCUCUUCAUCUGCAGAAUUCUAAAAAGUUACGUAAACUCUAUAAACAAGUUGAUAGGUACAAUCGUACCCAAGAUCAAGUACAGAUAGUUGUACAUUCACUGCUGCAAUAACUAAUCUGAUGACUUACAAACAUAUCAUGGUCAAUCGUUGAAUGGUAAUGAGUCUUUUGUUAUGCAUUAGUAUUAGUGUGUACACUCUAAUAGAUUGAUACUUAUACUCUUUAAAUUAUCAUAAUAAUACCCUUAAUUAACUUUAACUCUUAAAAAGAAUACGUGUUAAUACACGAGAGUGUGUAACCUGAAUUGUUACUUAUACAUUAGUGUGUAAUAGAUAGGGAUGGCAGUGAGGGCGAGUGCCCGCGGGGGGCUCUCGGGGCGGGGGCGGGGGAGAAUUUUUUCCCCCCGUUUAGAAACGGGGCAGGGGACGGGGGAGUAUACCCCCGCCCCAUCCCCCGCCCCGCCACCCGCAAAAAAAAUUAUAUAUAUAUAAUUAUAUAUAAUAUGUAAUUUAAUUAGUUAUAAACUUAUGAUAAUGAUAUUAUUAGUUAGAUGUAUUAUAUAAUGUAUAUUAGUGUAUGUAAUAUAAUUAAUAUUAUCAAUUAUACGAAUAAUUAGACAUGUCCACUAAUAGAGUUUAUUAAUUAGUUAUACUAAAUUUACUAAUACAUUUGUACUAAAUUUCUAAUUACACUUAAUAGAAUAACACUUUUUUCUAAAAAAAAAAGCACAAACACAAUAAUGAAUUAGUGAUUGUAUUUGUACCAAAAGUGAAAACUUAACUAUUUUAGUUGUAUUUAUUUCAUCAUGUUGGAUUGUAUUCAAAUAAUUUUUGUUUGAUUGUUUUUAUGAGUUUCAAUUGUAAAAUUAAAAUGAAUAAUAACUUGAUGAUGUGUUGAUAUUUUAGUACUUGAUUAUUUAUUGAUUUAACUAUAAUAAAAUUUUAUUUUAUUAAAAUUUAACUAUAAUAAAAUUUUAUUAACCAAACGAGUUAUUAAUCCCGCGGGGGCACCCACGGGGGAAGCGGGGCGGGGCGGGGGAGUGGGAGGCGGGGGACGGGGCGGGGGUGGGGGGAGUUGUAGGUAGCGGGGCGGGGGAUGGGGGAGGGGUCCCCCGCCCCAACCCCGCCAUCCCCCGCCCCGUUGCCAUCCCUAGUAAUAGACUGGCAAGCAUUGUGGUGGUCAUUGAGAACUUACUGGAGAAAUAGUCCUAUAAGCUGUUCAAUGAGCAAUCACAACUUGCUAAUUGGAUGACUAAUAUAGCUCUAGCUGUAAUGUUUUAAUUAAAUUACAUCACUAACGUUGGGAUGACUUUUUAACCAAAAAAAAAUGCCUUAGUUCAAGCUUUUCCCUUUAUUGUGCAUUUUUUAAAGCAUUUGAUAGGCACUGCAAAUCUGUCAUUUUGGACAUUUUAUUAUUGACUAACAAUGAAAGCCGUGACGUCUACCCAUAACCAACACAAGAUUAAAUUAAUAUUAGAAAAAAUAAUUGAGUAAUUGGAAAAAAAAAAAGAGACUCAUUUUCAUUGAAACCCACCGACAAACUAAACGUGUCCAUGGCUUUUGAAUAGUGCAUUCAACGUUUAAUUGUAUAGUCCAGUUCAUUGCAGAUUACAUGGAGUAAAGAUUGUGCUCUUUCCUUUUUCACCCCUUUUGGAAUCGAUACUGUGGAGAAUUGGGUUUUUCCCUUCUUUUUUUCUUUUCUUUCCUUCUGUGCUUUGCAAAACAUAGGUAAAAAUAUGAAAUCCGAAGCAUUCUUUAAUUGGGAUUAAGUAUUGUUGUUGAAAUUAAAAAGAAAAAAGAAAGAACAACAAAAUUCCCAAUCUGGGUUGAUUGUUGAGCUCUAGAUUGGUUGCAUCGUGCUUCCAUAGAAGCUCUCUUAGUGUGAUACACUGCUUUCAAUCAGUUUAACACGGGAAAAAAAAAAAAAGAGAUGAAAAGCAAAUUUGGUGGGGAUAAUUUCAGAAACCUCCCCUGAAGAUUUUGACUAUUCUACUGGUCUCCCUUCAGAUUUUAAAAAUUACACUAAUCUUCCUUGAAGUUAAUUAUCUUGUAACAUUUAAAUUCAAUCAAUAAUUUAAAAAAUGAUAUUAUGAGAGAGAAAAUAAUGAUUUUAUCAUUGCCCCCCAUCUUACUACAUUAUUUAAUUAAUUUAAUAGCAACCCACACAUUAAAGAAAAAUAUUAAAAUUUGUUGUUUAUCAUUAAAGAUCAAAUCGCUUAUAACAUCAAAUAAUAGUAUAUUAUUUAUAUUUUUCACUCAAUAUAAUAUCCAAAUUACUCUUUUCAAUUACAUACCCAUUGUUAGACAAUCAACAACAAAUAACCAAAAAAUUUGCAACCAAAAUAUUACAAAAAAAUAAACUUUAACAUAUAAAUAUUCUUAUCAACAUAUUAAAGUUAGUUACUGAAAUUUUUAUGCUGUUAAACUUCACUCUUUUUGGUUACAGAUUUUUUUGAUUAUUUGUUAUUAAUUAUGUUUGAUGAUGGAUUUAUAAUUGAAAAGAACAAUUUGAAACUUACAUUAAGUAAAAUAUAUAGAGUGAUAUACUAUUUUUUAUAACAUAUGUGAUUCAAUCCUUCUUGAUAGGAUUGGUAAUAGAGGUAGAGGGGGGAGCCGGCUGCAUCCGGUCUACUUUUCAUAGAUAGUACAAUAUUGCGAAAUCGAUCGCAUUCACGCAAUAUUAUUUCCAAGUCAUUGCAUGGCUAAGCUGCAAAAAAAGUACGAACACAUGUUAUUAUAUAGCUUACGAUUCAAAACUUUAGAGCAUAACCCUCCACCUAACACAAUUGAAUAAUGAACAUUCACGUUUGUCAAAUCUGUCAAAGCACAGUUUGAGGACAACCCAUUCCAACCUGCAAAAGAUUUUUUACUUUUCUAAAGUUGUUGAGAGCUGUAAAAAGACUUACCAUGCUUGCAUCCUCCGAGCCUUGGGAGUUAAAAAUGAAGGCACUGAGUGCUAUAAAAAGGGGAAUAGAGGCUGCCUAGAAGCAUAUCAGCCUAAAACAAGAAUUUGUAGUUAAGAUGGGAAGCAAAGCAAAAGCAAUGGGGUCUGGGCUGACUCCUCUUCUUGCCACUGUUUUAGUGGUGUUUGUUGCUCUUGGCUUGCCCUCACAAACUGCAGCUGAUGAUCACUACAAGUAUUCAUCUCCUCCUCCUCCUUACCACUAUCCCUCACCACCACCACCAGUGCAUAUACCUCCACCUCAUCCUGUUUACAAGUACAAAUCUCCACCACACCCCCAGUACAAGUAUAAGUCACCACCACCACCUCCUCAUCCGGUAUACAGUCUCCUCCGCCACCACACACCCAGUUUACAAGUACAAGUCACCACCACCACCUCCUCAUCCGGUACCACACCCAGUUUACAAGUAUAAGUCUCCUCCGCCACCAGUUUACAAAUACAAGUCUCCUCCACCACCACCUCCAGUGUACAAAUACAAGUCUCCACCACCACCAGUUUACCACUACAAGUCUCCACCACAGUUUACAAAUACAAGUCUCCACCACCACCCCCAGUUUACAAAUACAAGUCUCCACCACCACCAGUUUACCACUACAAGUCACCACCACCUCCUCCCCCAGUUUACAAAUACAAGUCUCCACCACCUCCUCACCACUACUAAGCAAUUGCUUCUGAGGUAAUAACACUUGUUCAAUAUACCCACUUCUGCAUGAUAAAGCAUAUCUCUAUCAACACAAACUGUCAUGUCUAUCAUGCUAAGUGCCUUCACUUCAUCCACCAAAAUGACUGCUAGAAAAUUUUUUUUAUGUUACCAAAGAAAGGCAUCAUUUUUUCCCUCUGUUAUCAAGAACUUGUACAGUAUAUAGAUUAAAGAGUAUUUUUUUAACUAGCUUAUCAACUGAGAAAUGCAUAUAGCUGAUAGCCAGCUGAAUAUUUGCAGGCAAAGGAGAAGGAAACCAGUGUUUGAGACCUUCUUGAAGAUGUAGAAGCAUAAGAAUUAAAGCCCAAUGUGAAGAUGAUGAUUUCAAGUUUUUCUACGUUACCAUUUCUUUAUCUAAAUUGGUUGUAGCGCCUUAGUUCCUUUGUUUAUGGGAUUUGUAUCGUUUUACGUACCAUGCAGUACAUGUCAUGUUUGUAAGGUUUUCUAUCCUGCCGGCAAACCGCAGGUUCCAUGUAAUAAAUCAAUACUAUUUAUAUUACGACACUUUUCUCUGUUUCUCUUAUAUUUUGUCGUCUUUAAUAUUCUUAAUCAUAUUUUUAACAAAAAUAUUCAAACACUUAGGCAAUCUGGUCUAAUGCUAAUUGUAUGUUUUACUUUUCUUUUUCACCUGCUCCCCUUUUCAACUCAAAAGGAUGCAAUAGUUUGUGAUCACUGUUUAAGACGGAAGCAUGAUACUAAUGAAUAUCUCAUUGAAACUCAAGGAAACUAACAUUGCGAAAAGUGUAAAUCUUGAUUUGAUGCAACUAUUUAUUCGUGGAAUCUAUAGUUACAAAACUCAAAUUCUGACUGCGCCAUUGAUAAAUUAUUAAUGACGCUAUCAUCAUUAUUUAUCCCUAACUAGUUUCGACUACAACUGAACCCAAUAUUUUCCCCAUGAUAAAAGUUUUUGACUAUUUUACUGGCCUCUCUUCAAAUUUUAAAAAUUACACUAAUCUUCAUUGAGAUUAAUUAUCUUGUAACAUUUAAGUCCAAUUAAUAAUUAAAAAAUGAUAUUAUGAGAGAGAAAAUAAUAUAAUUUUAUCAUUGCCCCCCAUCUUGCUAUAUUAUUUAAUUAAUUUAAUAGCAACCCACACAUUAAAGAAAAAUACUAAAAUUUGCUGCUUUUCAUUAAAGAUCAAAUUGCAUAUGCCAUAAAACAUAGUAUAUCAUUCUAUAUGUUUCACUUAAUGUAAGAUCCCAAUUGUUCUUUUCAAUUACAAACCCAUUGUCAAUAACAAAUAACCAAAAAAUUUGCAACCAAAAUAUUACAAAAAAAAACUUCAACAUCAUAAAUAUUCUUACCACCUCUAGUGCAUUCACCCUCAUAAAAUAAUUCAAGACCCUACUGUCAUAAAAUGACUGAUCAACUCCCGUAAACCUAAUUUGACAACAUUUAAAUGGAGAACUUUAGCUAAAAGAAUUAUGGUCAAGCUAAAGAAAAAACCAGUUAUUUUCCAACAUAUGCAAUCAUUGAUCAGGGAAAAAAAAAAGAGCAAAAAGACAUCUUCAAUCAUUUAAUAGCUUACAGGGCAAAUUAACCCCUAAGCGAAAACUGGUUGCUCUAGAAUCAAAAUUUUACUUUAGUUACCCAGGCAACUUUUUUGUUGCUUUUUUUUUUUUUUUCCUUUAGUUUUGCCCCCUCUGUCAAGCUUAUAAAAUUAUUAAGAUAAUAAAAGUGCCUUGAAUAGUAUUAAUAUAUCCAUUGACUUGAGCUGUCGUCAGUUUGCGAUUCCAUGAGGCCUUUUCAAAGUACUCAGAAAAUGGGGAGUCAUGAAAUCCAUUUGUUCUAUUCAUUGCUAAGAUGCUUUUCUCUAUAAAGAGACUUCCUAACGAAAAUACUUUGUAGAUUUCUUUACUCCAAGUGGUGCAUGGAAAAUUAAUAUUUUCAAUUAUCAAAUAAAAUUCCCUUUUUUCGGCGUAGAUUUCAUCCAUCCAGCUGUUAACACAUUCUAUAAAUCCGAAUUGACUAAUCUUUUCGUUUCCAUUUUCCAACUUGCGAAUACGGCAUAUAGUGUCUGCUAAACACUAUAUAUUCUCUGCCAAAUAUGAAUACAUAUCACUUUUCUGAGCAAGUGCAGAGUCAUUAUCAUUUUUAUUCCCACCUAACAAAUUAGGGAUAAAAAAGUUAAUAAUCUUUACAUGCUAUCAGGUCACAAGUUAAUAAUCUUUUAAAGAACAUGUUAAAUUAAUUUAUUGGUAUGAAUAGUAGUCAAAGAAGUAUGUUAAAGUUAGUAAUCUUUAAAAUAAUAUGUUAAAAUCAUUCGUACAAAUUAGUCAGAGAAGUAGCAUAAACACCGCGAUGCAAUUAAUACUUUCAAUCUCAAGGUCUCUAUUAUGGAAAUUUGCAUCGGUCAAUAUACACUUGGCAUAAUAUAAUCUCCCAACUCAUUUCUUUACAAAUGCACCUUUAAUCACCACCAAAAGGUGUGGACAUGAUCUUUACCCUAGAAAACUAUUCACCGACAGGCAAAUUGACGUCAGAAAUACUGAGGAAUUCUAGUUUCCUUCGGGUUCAUGCCAUGUUGUAUCCUUCAACUGUAACUCGAUUUCUAAGCUGUAAUUUGUGACAUAAUAGUCCUUAAACUAUGAAACCCUUCUUACUUAAUUACAAUGGUUAAUACAAUGCCCGUGACUAGACAAGUAUGAAGCAACCAUAACAGAAAAAAAAUCCAAAAUUAGAGAAAAGAAAGAAGUUUCGCGACCACCACCAGUUUACAAGUCACCUCCACCACCUCCUCCAGUUUACAAGUCACCUCCACCACCUUACCAUUAUUCCUCACCACCACCUCCAGUGCAUUCACCCCCACCACCACCAGUUUACAAGUCUCCGCCACCACCUUACCAUUAUUCCUCACCACCACCUCCUGUGCAUGCACCUCCACCACCAAUUUACAAGUCACCUCCUCCAGUUUACAAGUCUCCACCACCACCUUACGAUUAUUCCUCACCACCACCUCCAGUGCAUUCACCCCCACCACCACCAAUUUAUAAGUCUCCCCCACCGCCUCCCCCAGUAUAUAAGUCACCACCACCACCUCCUCCAGUAUACAAAUCACCUCCACCACCUCCUCCAGUUGACAAAUCUCCACCACCACCAAUUUAUAAAUACAAGUCUCCUCCACUACCUCCUCCAGUGUACAAGUCAUCACCACCACCUGCUUACAAGUCUCCACCUCCUCCAGUUUACAGUUCCCCACCACCACCAAUCUACAAGUCUCCACCUCCACCCUACCAUUACUACUACAAUUCUCCUCCUCCUCCUCGUCACUACUAAGCAAUUGUAUCCAAGUUUUUGAGGUAAUAACGCUUAACCAAUAAAUUAACUUUCGCAUGAUAAACCUUAUCUCUAUCAAGACAAACUGCCAUGUGUAUCAUGCCAAAUACGUACACCUAGAUCCAUGAAAAUGAAUGGUGAGGAGGGCCAUUUAGGCUCGGAGCGCCCUAGGCCUAGUUCCCCACCAUUUCCUGAAGUGCCGCCUCGGGUAUUAUCCUGGAAGGCGAUCGCGGCCCAUUUACCACCUCGGCUACAAUGUCAGGUCGUAACACCGAGGUGGACAUUGAAUGACAACUACGAAAAGGGGAGAUGUGAUCUCUGACACCUGAGCAAAGGCUGCUCUGACCCGCCGCCUGAAUCUGACAGAAUGUCCCAUCACGUCUCUUCAUGGAGACCGGUCAAGUCCACCUGAUCCACUGACUAUCUCAGAUCUUUUGGGACCCGUGCAAACAUCUCCUCUCUCCUAUCAGUCCCCUAUAAAUACACGAUACUUCUACUGAAAAAGGAGAUGACCAAUUUCUGGUAAAACACACUCCACUCAUUAUUUACUUCUCUAUAUCCGAACUGACUUAAGCUUCGGAGUUAUACCGGGGGAUCCAGCCCCUUUCUUAUCCAAGCAGGUGACUUCGUCCAAGAGAGUUGCCCAAGGUAAAGAUAUUCUUCCAAUUGAGGUGACUCACUCCUGCGGGUCGAAAAUCACCUCUUCAAUUGGCGCCGUCUGUGGGAACCGCAAAGAUAUUAGAAGAUGAAGCCUGCGCGUUCUAGAAGCAGAAAAGCUCUCACUAUCGAGGCUGGGCAAAGCAAUGCAGCUCAACAAGAAAAUAUUUCUGAAGGGCAGGAGUCCCCAAGGACUCAGCCCGCAAACGAAAAAGCCAUAACCCGUAUGGCCGAGUUUGUGACCGAGAACCCCAACAUCUUUGAAGAGUUGGGAAGAUACCUGAAGAGGCAAGGCAAACAAAAGGCCGAGUCCUCUAAAAGGAUGUCAGAUGGGUCUCUUGAGGACUCAUCUGAGGAGGAGUCGGAUGGAAGGCACUUAAGCCGAAGUGCCUCAAAGCGAGCAUUUUCUAAGGCCACUUCUAAGGUAGCCUCCCUGACCAAGGCGUUUUCCCGAGGGCUCUUGGGCCGACGACCCGAGGAAGAACCUCGGCCCUUGGGAAUACCCGGGGUGGACUGCAUGAGGGCUCCACCGUUCACGGAUGAUAUAAACGAGGAAAGGCUUCCUCCCAAUUUUAAGCUCCCCGCAGUACAAUCUUACGAUGGCCGAGGUGAUCCCGAGAAUCACAUCCAUACCUUCAUCUCGGCCUUCCAAAUAUACUGCAUCCCAGACCCUGUCAUAUGUCGGGCCUUUCCAGUAUUCCUCAGAGGAACUGCUCGAAAAUGGUUCUGAGCUCUAGAACCUAGGAGCAUUUCGACCCUGGGUGAAUUAGUGGAGAAGUUUCUCCACCGAUUUGUCUCCUCCCGACCUACGACUAGGACCUCGGCUUACCUGCUCACCGUGCAGCAGAACCCGGGAGAGUCACUCCGGUCGUACGUCCGGAGGUUCCAUGAGGAAAGCGUUCAGAUACCUGACCCCAAUGAGCAGGUAACCCUCGCUGCCUUUACCCAUGGACUCGUUGCCGGGGAGUUCAAUACGGGGAUCCAUAAAAAAUACCCCCGCACACUGCAUGAAUUGUGGUUGAAGGUUGAAAAGGGCAUACAGGCCGAAGACCUCCAUCGCAUGAAGAAAGAGGUCCAAGCCACCCGUCCAAGGGCUGAGCCCAGAAAGGGAAAAGACGCUGGCCGAACUGAAGUAGGGUCGGGAAGUGGCUUCCGAAGUCCUGGCCGAGACCGCCGCAGCGUGUUCGACAGGAUAUCCAAGGGGAAGUCACCUAUUCCCGAGUCCGAGUUGACUCCUUUAAAUACUACCCGAUCUCACGUGUUGUCCGUGAUGGAACAAAACAACCUCGGCAAGGGCCCGCCGAGGAUGUUUGGAAGCAGAGACAAGAGGAACUCGAACCUCUACUGCUUGUAUCAUCGUGACAUUGGUCACGAAACUGAGGAUUGCAACGAUCUCAAGAAGGAGAUCGAGAACCUCAUUAGACGGGGACACUUGAAACAGUUCAUCCGCAGAGGUGGAGGUCACCAACGUGACGAAAACCGGCAUGACAAAUGAGGUGACCAACGCCGAGAUGAGCGGCGGAGCUCCAGAAGCAGUUGCCGACCUCCUGAGGAUCCCAGGGAGACGAAAAGGCCUCCCCCAGACGGAUCUUCGGGACAUGGGCCAACCAUUGCCCGGGUCAUUAACACCAUUGCCGGAGGUCCGACGGGAGGGGACAGUCAGAACUCCCGGAAGAGAACCUAUAAGCAGGCUAACCCGGAUCAGGCCGAGUCGAGUUCUCGCCUGUCCGAGGUGAUCACCUACGGGCUCAGUGAUCCCAUCCCAGCUGCAUCCAGCAGUCAUGAAACCUUGGUGAUUGAAGUCCUCACCAAUAACUACAUUGUGAAAAGGUCUACAUAGACCCGGGAAGUUCAGUUGACGUCAUGUACCUCCGUACCUUUGAGAGCCUUAAAAUGGCUAAGGGGUGCAUGACCCCGCUGAGAACCCCUCUUGUAGGGUUCGGGGGACACGUGGUGCACCCCGAAGGGAUGGUGACUCUGACAGUGACCAUAGGGCAUCACUCUCGCUGUAGAACCGUCCCUGUCAAUUUUGUGGUGGUUAAGGCUGACUCCCCAUACAACCUACUUUUAGGUCGGCCUACGCUCAAUGCCUUGCGGGCGGUCUACUCCACCUACCACCUGAGCUUCAAGUUUCCUACCCCAGCAGGGGUGGCCGAGGUCAGCAGCGACGUCUGUGCUGUCCGGGAGUGCUACCUCGCCACCCUACAAGCAGCCUCCCCGUCUACCUCCGGUGCGAGGUCCGAGAAGAGGUCAAAUAUCCUCUCAAUAGAUAGCAUCGAUCCUCAGUGAGCUGAGAAGGUCCCGAGGCUGGAGACUGGGGAUGAGGUGGAAGAGAUUCCCCUGGACCCCACGAAACCUGAUCAGACAGUUCGCGUUGGUACCCGAUUGCCCGGUCCUAUCCGAAGAGGUAUGAUGGACCUCCUCAGGGAAUACCGGGACGUCUUUGCUUGGGCCGCCGAAGAGGUCCAAGGAGUCCCGCACCAUCUCAUGAUGCAUGACUGAACGUCGACCCCCAAGUCCGUCCGGUCAAACAGAAGAGAAGGCACAUCGGCCCUGAGCGCAGCCAAGCUGUUGGUGAGGAAGUGGACAAGCUUUUACCCGCUAAAAUAAUCCGAAAAGUCCAAUACCCGAUCUGGUUGUCUAACUCGGUCAUGGUCAAGAAGGAUACGGGGGCUUGGAGAAUGUGCGUCGAUUUUACCGACCUCAACAAAGCCUGCUCCAAGGAUUGCUACCCCUUGCCCAAAGUCGAUACUUUGGUAGACUCAGCAAUGGGCUACGAGAUCCUCUGUUUCUGGGAUGCAUUCAAAGGCUAUCACCAAAUUGGGAUGAGUCAAGAAAACCAGGAGAAAACGGCCUUCUACACCGACCGCGGCACGUACUGUUAUACUACCAUGCCAUUCGGGUUGAAGAAUGCCGGAGCCACUUAUCAACGCUUGGUCAACCAAGCAUUCAAGUCUCAAAUCGGCCGGAAUGUUGAGGCCUAUGUAGAUGACAUCCUCCUCAAAAGCCAGACGAACUCCACCUUCCUGGCCGACUUGAAGGAGGUCCUUGACAUCCUGCGGAAGGUGAAAAUGAUGCUGAACCCCAAGAAAUGUGUUUUUGGGGUCACCUCGGGGAAAUUUCUAGGUUACCUCGUCUCAAGGCGAGGUAUCGAAGCAAAUCCGGAUAAGGUGCGAGCCAUCCAGGAGAUGUCUCCACCCCGGUGCGUCCGCGAUGUCCAAAGGCUGACAGGGCGAUUAGCCGCCCUGAAUCGGUUCUUAUCGCAGUCGGCAGCUAAAGCACUGCCCUUUUUCAAAGUGUUGAAGAAAGCUGACCAUUUCUCCUGGACGGAAGAGUGUCAACAGGCGUUUGAGCAGUUGAAGGAUUACCUUCACUACCUUCCAACGCUCACCUCACCUCGUCCGGGGGACAAAUUAAUCUUAUACCUUUCUGCUGCGGCCGAAGCGGUGAGUGCCGUGCUGAUAAGGAAGGAAGGGGUCCAAAUGCCCGUCUACUACGUUAGCCGAGUCCUCCGAGGUCCAGAGACCAGGUACACACAAGCAGAGAAACUUGUGCUAGCCCUGAUCCACGCCGCCCGCAGACUCAAGCCCUACUUCCUAGCUCACCACGUCUGCUUGAGGACUGAUCAACCACUUCGGCAGAUUUUGACACGACCAGAGGUUUCGGGACGUCUUACCAAAUGGGCCAUUGAGCUGGGGGAGUACGACCUAACUUAUGAGCCUCGCACAGCGAUCAAGGCCCAGGCUCUCGCAGACUUCGUAGCCGAGCUCACCUUUGACGAGGUGCAAGGAUCCGUCCCGGCUGCCACAUCGGCCACAGUUGAUGUGGCCACCACUGGGCUCCAGCGGUGGAUCCUACACGUGGACGGUUCGUCAACAGUGAGGGUAGUGGAGCAGGCUUGCUCCUCGAAGACCCCCAAGGAGAAAUAUGCUAAUAUGCCUUAAGAUUUGACUUCGCUGCUUCAAACAAUGAAGCUGAAUACGAAGCCGUCAUUGCUGGACUGCAGCUAGCUCGCAAGCUCGGGGCCGCACACAUCUUGGUUUAUAGUGAUUCCCAACUCGUCGUGUGCCAGAUAUUAGGUGAGUACGAAGCCAGGGACGAGGUGAUGCAUCGUUACCUCUCCAAGGUCCUCCAGUUGGCGACUCACUUCGAGUCUUUUGAAAUUCAAAGAAUACCGCUAUCGAAAAACAGAAGGGCUGACGCCCUCUCCCGGCUUGCCUCAACCUCUUUCUCUGACCUGAACAAGACGGUUCUCGUUGAAGUUCUAGCCGAACCAGGAUAUGUAGCCGAGGUAGUAUACCCCGUCUACCCUGGGGACACCUGGAUGGGUCCCCUGACUCGAUUUUUCAGCCAGGGUGAGCUCCCCGAAGACCGAGCUGAGUCACGGAAGCUCCAACGAAAAGCAGCACGGUACAUUCUCCGACAAGGCCUUUUAUACAAAAGGUCUUACCUCGGCCCUUAGUUGCGAUGUAUCACGCCCGAGGAAGGCCAGAGAAUCCUCCAAGACAUACAUGAGGGGCUCUGUGGUGCUCACGUCGGCUACAGAAUGCUGGUAAAAAAGGCUUUGUUACUUGGGUAUUUUUGGCCCACUAUGAGGAUAGAUGCCCAGGUCAUGGUCCUUUGCUGCCCCUCCUGCCAGCAUCACGCUCCUGAGCACCACCAGCCGACCAAUUUAAUGAUCCCUAUCACCUCGUCAUGGCCAUUUGAGCAAUGGGGAACGGACAUAAUUGGCCCCUUUCCCAGAGCUCCAGGCAAUUAUACCUACGUGGUGGUAGCAGUGGACUACUUCACCAAAUGGGUCGAAGCUGAACCCCUAAAAAAUAUCACUGGUGCGGCAGUCCAGAAAUUCUUCUGGAAGAAUGUGGUUUGCCGCUUCGGCCUACCCCGGGUGAUCAUCUCGGAUAAUGGCCGACAGUUCGCCGAUAAUCCUUUCAAGGCCUGGUGUGAGAACCUCGGGGUCAAACAGCAUUUCACUUCGGUGGGACACCCCCAAGCCAACGGACAAGCCGAAAACUUCAAUCGCACGCUCCUCCAUGGCCUCAAGACCAGGCUCCACCAGGCUGGAUCGUUUUGGAUGGAAGAGCUCCCCAGUGUGCUGUGGUCCUACCGAACUACGCCGAGAUCAGCAACCCAGGAAACCCCGUUUUCCUUAACCUACGGGUCAGAAGCUGUUGUUCCAGCCGAAUUCAUCACCCCGAGUCCACGAAUGGCCGCAUAUGCUGCCGAAGUCAAUGAAGAAGAACGGCGAGUUGACCUCGACCUCGUCGAAGAGAAGCGUGAUAUGGCCGCGGCCAAAGUUGCUGUUUACAAAAAUAUCGUAGCUGGCUACUACAACGCUCGGGUUAAACAUUUGCGGUUCAGUCCGGGAGACCUGGUGCUCAGGAAGAACUCAGUCAGCCGGGCUGAACCUCAGGGUAAACUAACCCCCAAGUGGGAGGGACCAUACCGUGUUGUUGAGUCCAGCCAAAAUGGAUAUUGUAAAUUGGCAUACCGAGAUGGGUCUCUGAGUGCCCCGAACUUGGCAUGCUGAAAAUCUUAAGUUGUACUACCCUUGAGGGUAUGUGCUUUUAAUCUUGAGUUAUUUCACACUUAUUUUCAUUUCAUUAUAAGUGAAAAAUAAGGGGACAAAGUAGCAGUAAAGAGGAAAACCGAAUUUAAUUAAAAAGAAAGCAAGAAUAUGAACUCAAUUCCAUUGAAUUACAUAAAAGUAGAAAGCCGAGGUCACCUUUAAUUAGGAAGAAAGCAAGAAUAUAAACUCAAUUCCAUUGAAUUACAUAAAAGUAGAAAGCCGAGGUCACCUUUGACCUCGGCCUACAAUGACAAAAAAAAAAACAAGUGCCUCUAGGCACUCCCUACCCUGACAUCCUGGCCCCCCGUGGUCGCGCCACCCGUUUCGGCACCCUGUCCACCCUCAGCUCCUCCACCGGCCUGGUCGUCUUCAGUACCAUCUAGUUCAAACUCCUGGAGCCAUUUGUUGAAUUCGGCUCGGACUUCGGUUAGGUCUUUCUCAGUCCGGAUGCCCUCAGCCAUGCUGUCGCAUAGCUCCUUGGCAUCCUCGUUAUAGUGCGAAGUGCUCUGAAGGGACUCCAGUUGUUCAGAGGGAAGAAAGGAUGCCGCGUCAUUAAUAGCCGACGUGUACCCGAACAUGAAGCUUGGCCGGGUGAGCUCGCCGAGGUCACGGAUGAAGGACUCUGACGUCCGGAAGGCUUCCACAGCAGUGACCCCGGCCUUGUCCAUGGCCUCCCUGUUUGACUGUUCUUCUUGGGCCCUCCUUUUUUUCUCCUCAUCAAGAGCAGUCACCAGGGAAUUGUUCGCGACCUCGGCCCUUUUGUUAGCCGCCUUGGCCUUGUCACGCUCCAACUCGGUUGCCUUCAGUUUUUCUUCCAACUCGGCAAUUCUCUUCUGGAGCUCGGCAGGAGGCUCAUAGUUUUCCAUGAACUUUCCAUACCGUUGAAUCAUCUCGACAAAAAAAGCCGUGGUAGAGGCCCAUGACACCGAGGCGCUCUGCAUCAACUCCCCUGCGGAGAGCUUCCUAGCAUAAGUGCUAUCUCGUGGCAGCACUGAAUGCACCAAGAGCUCCUGAGCGACCAAAGGGUUCUUGCAGCGAUCGUUGAAAUUAAUCUCCCACUCUGGACACCAGUGUGAUCCGGGGUGUCUCUUGUCCUCCUCAGCUGCCUUGAAAGGCACAUGAUGGAGUUUGAACAAAGAUGACCCCGUGACGGGGUUCUCCGGAAAUAUGGUCACACCCUGACCCCGGGGGGGAGUGGCAAUCGUGACCCAGCGAGAAGGGAUUCCCACCGGAAUUGCCGAGGCUCGGGAACCUCCCGGAGUGGCCGAGGUGUGCGAGCCCUCGCCCACGAUCACCACGGCAGGCUCGCGGUCGCCCGACGCCGCGGUGGUUUUCUUAGCCGGCCUGGAAGAGGACCCUGCAGUGUCCUUGCGCUUUUUGGGAGCUCUUUUGACCACCUCGACAUCUCCCGAGGUUAUCAGGUCGAAAAUCUUCGUCACUGCAAAGUAGGAGACGAAGUCAGUUAGAAUUCAAGAGGGAUAAACUAAAAGGGAAGAAAUGGAAAAAUACAAAGUCUGUGAAGCCUAGUCGAGAGUAAGACAGGCUGGUCAGAGCUCGUCAAGGCUCAACUGAUCCCGCCUUCCACGAGCACCACUUCGGGAAAAUCCCAGCAGUUUAUCCUGAGGCCCGACCCCGUUAACUUCUGGAAGUUACGCUCUUCUAACUUCCCUGGAGAUAUCUCCUUGAUCGAGGUGGGAGGCCUCCACCAGAAUCCGCGAGGGAAGUCAUCGGCCGAGACGAAGAAGAAGUUUUGCUUCCACUCCUUUAUUGAGUUCGGAGCAUCAACCACCAACUUCGGAACUUUGUUUCCGAAGUAGAACCAUCCUUUUUCACUUCUGCUGUUCUUGAGUGAGUAACAGCGGCGAAAGAGGUUGACCUAAGGUUGUAUCUCCUGAUGUCGGCAAAGUAGCUGGAAGCCAACGAGAAUGCGAAUAGCGUUAGGGGUGAGUUGAGUGAUUCUCACCCCCCAGUACCUCAGGCAGUCCCGAAGAAACCUCGUCGUGGGCACUCUGAGUCCGGCCUCCAGCUGUUCCUGAUAGAUAGUCACCUUGCCCUUUGGUGGCAGUGCGGCUGACUGAUGCGGUUGGGGUAUGUAAAUACUAUAAUCCCUUCUCCAGGGAUACCUGCGGACCACCUCGGCUAUUGAGGCUUGUCCCAUACCACUACUGAAGAACGGCAUCUGGCCGUAGUCGAGAGUUGCCACGUUUGGAGGAGUGGAAGGUUCUUGUACUCCCUCGUCUCUAGGGAUCUCAAUCCCGAGGUCAUCGUUGUAUAGGACCUCGGGCUGGACCUCGAUCUCCUCGGGCUGCACCUCAACCGCCUCAGCUCGGCGUGAUGCCUCGGCACCUCCACCCUCAGCUUGGUGAGAUGCCUCAGCACCUCCGCCCUCGGACGCGGUCCUUUCCUGGGAGGGGUCAGGCCUCUCUGCCUCAGUGAGGUCAGGUCUCACUGUCUCUUUGUGCGUACGAGCUGUUCUAGCCAUUGUAUCAGAAGGGGAAGAAGUGAACUUACUUAGAAUCUGCGACUGGAAGAAGAUGCCGAAGUAGACGUGGUUUAGAAAGGUUGCCGAAGUGAAAAGAGAAAGAAACAGAGUUCUGGGGUGAUUCUUGAUUUUUGGUGAAGAGUAAAACGGUGAAAAAAGACCACUAUUUAUAGGCCACCAGGGUGAAACCCAAGAGACGGCACCCUCUCUCUUCAUUAAUGGGAGGACUGUUCGUCUGCCAACACAGCUGACAGCCGUCCCUUCAGUUAUCACUCAGUCCCAUCUAUGCGGUCAUGACGUGUCCGUGUUCCGUGUUUUAUACGCUUCUCAGCUUCGGGAAGUAACGACCACGGCGGAUGCCCAUCUCGCCCUUCUCAAAGCUUGGGGGGCUUAGUGAGGAGGGCCAUUUAGGCUCGGAGCGCCCGAGGCCUAGUUCCCCAUCAUUUCCUGAAGUGCCGCCUCGGGUAUUAUCCUGGAAGGCGAUCGCGGCCCAUUUACCACCUCGGCUACAAUGUCAAGUCGUAACACCGAGGUGGACAUUGAAUGACAACUACGAAAAGGGGAGAUGUGAUCUCUGACACCUGAGCAAAGGCUGCUCUGACCCGCCGCCUGAAUCUGACAGAAUGUCCCAUCACGUCUCUUCAUGGAGACCGGUCAAGUCCACCUGAUCCACUGACUAUCUCAGAUCUUUUGGGACCCGUGCAAACAUCUCCUCUCUCCUAUCGGUCCCCUAUAAAUACACAAUAUUUCUACUGAAAAAGGGGAUGACCAAUUUCUGGUAAAACACACUCCACUCAUUACUUACUUCUCUAUAUCCGAACUGACUUAAGUUUCGGAGUUAUACCGGGGGAUCCAGCCCCUUUUCUUAUUCAAGCAGGUGACUUCGUCCAAGAGAGUUGCCCAAGGUAAAGAUAUUCUUCGAAUUGAGGUGACUCACUCCUGCGGGUCGAAAAUCACCUCUUCAAAUGGUAGAAAGUUUUCUUAAGAACCAAGAACAGCAUUAGUAUUCCCUCUGCUUCCAAAAACUUGUGUAUUAAAUAGAUUAAUGAAUUGUUUAACAUGCUCAUCUACUUGAAAAUGCACAAUACCCAUAACCCACUGAAAUUUUUGCAGGAAAAGGGAAAGAGAAUCUGUGUUUGAGAGCUUCAUGAAGAUGUUGAAGAAUAAGAAUAAAAGCCCAAUGCGAGGAUGUUUUCAAGUUUUUCUAUGUCCACUUUAAUUUGUAAAUUGAAUUUUACAACUCAAUUAAUUCCUUGUUUGUGAGGUACGUAUUGUUUUACGUACCAUGCCGUACAUGUUUGUAAGGAUUUCUAUCCUAUUGGCAAAAGUCGGUUCCAUACAAUUAAUCAAUUCAUUUCACUUCUAUUGGCUCUACUAUUUAUGCAUGUUACGACACUCUUUCCCUUAUAUUUUGCCUUUAAUAUUAUGAGUCAAUAGUAAUAAUGGGCCUUUUUCUUAAAAUUAUACUAUUAUACAUAGGUAGUUUGGUCUAACGCUAAAUUCAUGUUUGUCUUUCUUUUAUUCCCUUUACAUCUCAAAGUAUACUAUAGUUUGUAAUCAUUGUGGUGAUGAUAUUACCAGCUGGUACUUAUAGUUUAAGGCAGAGACAUGAUAUUAACAACUAUCUCAUUGAAACAUAAGUCAAAAUCAUGACAAGUGUGAGUCUUGGUUAAUGCACAAUUUGUUAGUGGAAUUUAUAUUUAUAAAACUCAAAAAAAAUUUUUGACAAUGCUAUUACUAAUUAAUUAAGGACUUCAUUGCUAUAAUUUAUCGCUUACUAGUUUAAACUAUAAAUGAUCUCAAUACUUUUCUCCAUGAUGUCGAUUUCUUUAGACUACGAAAGGGAAAAAUUAGUGACAUAUCCCUUACUGAUUACAACAUCAGCAAAAAUUAGUUAUAAACUUUUCCGGUGGUUUUAAAUCCCUCGGGCACUAAGGUUUUUUGCACAUCGAGUGAAUUAAGGAACAUAGGCAAUUCGUUCUGCAUACCAAGUCCUUGUUUAAGAUGCACGUACUAAAAUGCAUCCACUUCAUUAAUUUGGAAAAUUGCCAUAGUUUUUUUUAAGCAUUUUGAUUUUUUACAUGAUUCAAAAUUUUCUUAUUGGAUACAAUCACUUUGUGUCAAGAACACAUUUUCAAUCAUCUUUUUUAUCUUCUCAAUAAGAAAAUAAAAAUUUAUUCAUGCUUUUCUAACAUAUCCAAUCAUUGAUCUGAAAAAUAAAGAAUUAAAAAAAAAAGACAUUUUCAAUCAUUGCUUACAGGGCAACUUCCCCAUGUGAACCUCUUCAAACAAAGCCAAUAAUAUGAAGGAACAUCUAAAUACACUUUUGCCCUAAAGGCUGGUUGCCUUGGGGUCAAAAUUUAACCUUCGGGAGUAUAAUUACCCGCCAAAUUUAUUAUUUUUUAUGGGUAUAUAGUUCCAAUUUUGCCUCCUGUUAAGCUUAUAAAUAUAUUACGACCCAGAAAAUAAAGGAAUCUUGAAUAGUAACAUGUCCAUUGACUUGAGUUGUCAUCAAUUUGGCUACUUCGAUUCCAUGAGGCCAAUCCAAUUCACACUAGCUAGAGAAAAUGGUGAUAAAGGCACUUAGAAAUUUAUAUGUAAUAUUGAUUGGUAGUAACUGAUAAGUAUAUAUUUUACGUGUUUUAAAUAUGUUUUAUUAGUUAGUUUUGGUGUGUUUUAACUACUUUUAUAACUAAUUAACUAGGAAUCUAGUGAAAAUAUGCAUUUUGUGGUUUGAAGUGUGAAAAUUGUAUUUCUAUGGAUUUUAAUGGUGAAAACUUCAUGUUUUUGUAGGUUUAAUGAUUCAAUCAUCAAAUGACAUGAUUUGAGAAGAUAAUUAGAUGAUUGAUGAUGUUUUGAAGUGAUAAAAAGAGAAUACAAAGUGCAAGAGAGGAAAUGCAAUCAAGAAUAAAAGAAGAAAAUUUUUGUAGCUUUGACAUAUUGUGGUAUUUUGGCAAUAUAUUGAGCUACAAUGAUUGGAUUAAGGUGAUUCUUAAACCAUUUGAAGCUAAGAUAUAGAUCUACAUUUGGUAUGAAGGCAUCGAAACCCAUGUCAGUCAUUUUCCUUGUCAAAAUGUUGAAAUACAGAAGUGCAACUCUGUUCUCGAAAGCUAAAACAGAGCUCUGGCUAGUCGAGGGUAUUUUCAUCAUUUCUUAGUCCACAGAGCUCCAAAUGAGAUGAUUCUUAAGGCAUUAGAACCCUAACUCAAAGAGCUACAACUUUCAUAUUUUGUACAAGAGUUAGUUCGGCCUCCAUCAUUCAGAAAAUAGUAGUUGAAGUGGUGCCAAAUGCAUAGAAGUGAAAACGCGAGCUAUCAAUACUCGACCUGAAGUCGCGUAUUCCUGAGGUCAUGCAUUCUCUUCUAUUUUCUGCAACUUGCCCUGCUUUCACAUAAUUUUUUCAUCUCAAUUCCAACUAUCAAUUUCGGCUAUAUCUGAUCAAGAAAAGUGUGGAAAGUUUGAAAGACAACUCAUAGGAGUUUCAAGAGUCAAAAAUUACAAUUAGAAACAACUCAUUUGGCUCUUGAAUCCUCUAUAAAUAGAGGCCUUUGAAGAACAUUUUCACAACUUUGGAAGGUUAGAGAAACUCCACAAAAACAUAGUCUUCACUAGAAUUUCCUUAGUUCAUUAGUUAGGGUAGUAUAGUAUAGUUAGUGUAGCUUUUCCUUCUUGUAUUUAUAGUUAGGUUUGAAUGAAGAUUCAGGAGCAAAGAUAGAGAGGUUGAUCUCAUGUGACAAGGGUGAUAUCUCUUCUACUACUUUCUCUUUUGUAUUUGAUUUCAUAUUUAACUAUACUACAAAUUUGGCUUUGUUUUUUUUUUUUAUCAUGUUUAGUUAAAGUUUAUGCCUAGAGUAUGGAUGACCUUUCUAUAUCUUGUUUGUGAUAUUUAACUGGUUAUUUGAUGAUGUUAUUUUUGAGCAAGUUAUUUAUCACUUUUGCUUUUCUAAUCGUGAUUAACUGGCCAUUAGUUGUGAUUAUCUAAAAGUGUUAAGUUUGUAAUGAGAAUUGGAGUUUAACACUAGUUCAAGGAAGUGAUAAAUUUAGGGAGUUCACUCAUGAGAGUAGAGGAACACCUUUGUGACCUAAGUGACUUGUUUCAUAUAAUUUCAUAGAAAAAAUGAACUUGUAAUUAAUUUCAUAACCACGAGAGUAAGUAUGGUUUAGCUAUAUGUAUAGUUGAUUCACUACGAGAGUAGGUUUCACAUACAUUAGAAAAUUACAUCAUAACUAGUCAAGAUAAUAUCAUUCAUUUAAUCAGUAAUCUCAUUUGCAUGAGUAGUAAGGCAUUCCAUAUCUCUAGGAGGUUUUUAGUAUUAUUUUCAUUACUUUUAUGUUUAUGGUAGUCUAGAUAAUAAUGGAGUUCAAAAACUACUAGUAAUUGAAAAUUUUCCCUGUGGGAUCGACCUUUAAUACCCUAUACUCGCUCUCGACUCGUAUACUUGCGAAAAAUCACGUGUGCGGUAUUUAGAAUUUAUAAAUGUAAAACUUGACUGUAGAUGAACUAAUUGAUAUAUGUAUACCCCGCACUCGUCAGUAACCAGCUUGUAUUGAUCCCAUUAUUGUGGAUAAUUGUGCUCUUAUGAAAAAAAAUUAUAAAAAAAUUAGCAAAAUUUAUGAUAACAAAUUAAAUUUAUUCAUACAAAUCAGUGAAAGAAGUAGAAUUUUAAAGACCAUGAUGAAAUUAAUACUUUCAAGGGCUCUAUUAGGAAGACUUCACUUGUUGGUGAAACUACACUAGCACAGUUAUAUGCACAUUUACUGUUUUGGUAUCUAAUUUCCUUGCCUUAAGUUGGGUGCAGAUGUUUAUAUUACAAAUAGAUGGUAUCAUAAAAUUGUUGUAUUCACGUUUGUUCUUUUUUUUUCUUCCUUAAGUUUUUUUCUUUAUUCUCGUGACUUCAAAAAUACGAACUCAAGAAAUUGGCUGCUUAAUCAAUAUGUCAUACAGGCUUCGCUAGUGAGGUAUAACUUCACAACUAGAGUCAAUAGAAAUUAUCAAAUGAUUUUUUAACAUCCAAAUUAAGCAAUAAAUUUUGUUUUCAUUUUAUGACAUAUAAUAGUACUACUUCAUGAGAGAUUUUAUAGUUUCUUUUAGGUAUCAUACCUACAAGUGAUAUUUGUCAUUGGAUAGUGACAGAAGUGUUAAUGAUUGUAAGAUUAAAUAUUGUUAAAUAUUGAAAUUUAAACUAUUUAUCUUUAUUGAAAGAUACAAGUUAAAGAAUCGUUCAAGGGGGCAAUUUUCCAUCUUGUCUUUUUGAAAAAACGCUAUCACAUUGUAUAGGCAUGAUAGGUUCAAAUUUGUCAUUAAAUUUAUGAUUGAUUUCCCUUUUAUUCAAGCCAAAUAUUGUUUUAAUUAUCAAAUUCUACUUAUAUUUGGUUAAUUGUACUAAUUGUAGGGCGGUAGAGCAAAAGUUGCUAAAAAUAGGUGAUUUUCUGCAAAUUGGUUGUCAAGGCUGAAGGAUUUGGGAUUCGCAUGUUCAAGGCCUGUUUCCAAGUUUGAUUCAAACUCUGGACAGUUUUAGAGGAAGAUUUGGAAGAUUUGAAAUUUCAUUAUUAGUUUUAUGGUUGAAUUAGGAAUCUUGGAAUAAUUUCUUUUGUGAUUUAUUUUUCUAUUUAGGAGACUAGUUGUUAUUUAGUAGUAGACUUCAAUUAGAAAACAAAGAGAAAAAGAAGGCCGGAAUCCCGCUUGAUUAAUACCUUGGCCAGGGAACAAUCUCGGUGGGGAGGACGGCCACUUAGCCUCUCAAUUCAUCUUGCUUUUCGUUAGUUUGAGAGGAAAACCAAUUGCAACUAGAUUCAAUGGAGUCUGGCAGAAUUUCUUCUAGGAUGCGUAGCUAAAUCCUCAAUUUUUAGUCGAAGGUCAAUUUGAAAAUUCGGUUCCAAAUAUCUGUGAAAUCGAAUUAUUUUACUUAUUUCUUUUAUUUAUUGGUAUUCGCACGUUUUCUGAUUUAACUUUUUAUGAUUGUUUUGUUAUUUGAAUGUCAAGGGUCCGAUAUUCGAAUUAACUUAAUAAUCUACUGCCAAAUUAACCGGUUAAAUCCGUAAUUGUUUGAUUGAUUAAUAUCAGUGGCGACUAGCGUGAUUGGUCCCAUGUUAGGAAAACGUCUGAUCUAAUUUAAACAAACCGUCGUAGCGUGUUUGUUGAUUAGGGUUGGACUUUUCUAAUUCUUAAUUCAAUUGAGAAAUUAAAUCUCCCGGUCGUACCUAAGAUUAUUUUUUUGUUAGCGAAAUAGUUAAUGGUCGUACCUUGACUAUCGAAAAAGUAAGGAAGAGUUGAUUGUUUAUCGCGUGUACGACAACUAUAAUCAAUCUAUUAAUGAGUAAUUGAAUUAUCUUUGCAUCAGUAAUCAGUUGAAUGGACCGUGUCUGAAAAGUUGUACCUUUGGCUAGAGUCUUAUCUGUUGUUGAUUCAUUCAUAUCUAUCUUCAUGCGUUGUUUUAAUUUAGUUAAUUAGUUAUUUUUAUAAAAACCCCUCAUCUCUGGACUCUAAAAGAAAUAAAUUAUUUCUAGUUCCUGUGGAUUCGAUCCUACUCACCGCUAUAUACAAAAUUUGUAUUUUUUUGAAUAAAUAAUUAUUAUUACACAGGCUUGACACCUGUCAAGGCAAAAUUUCCUUAACUUCAUCAUCUGUAGACGUAAACUUUCUACGGGUGAUAUAAUAUAAGGAAAUUUUGCCUAUACGAUGUGAUAGCAUUUUUUCAAAAAAGACAAGAUGGAAAAUUGCUCCCUUGAACGGAAAAAAUCAUGAUCUUUCCUCAAACUAGUCUACUAGUCAAUUCUUUACAAAAGAAUACUCGCUCCUAAACAUAGCCUGUUCAUCUACACUGUCCCGCAGAAUUCUAGAAAGUUAGGCAAAACUAGACAAGUUGACAGGUAUAAUCAUACCCAAGAUCAGGAACAAGCAGUUGCACAUUUCAAAAUUCGCUGCUGCAACAGCUAAUUUGAUGACUUACAACACUACACGGUCAAACUUUGAAUGGCAAUGGAUCUUUUGUUGUACGUCAUGAUGUAAUUUUCAUGUUACAUACAUUAAUAGGUUGAUAUCUAUAUUCUUUAAAUUAUCAUGAUAAUACCCUUAAUUAGAUUUAACUGAUAAAAAGAACACGUGUUAAUAUACAAAAGUGUGUAACGUGAAUGUUACAUUACUGUAUUGCAGAAGACCUAUAGUCUCUUCAUAUCUCUUCCUGCACGUAUCAAUUCGUUUCCUCUAGAUAAUAAUCUCCCAACUCGUUUCUUUACAAAUGCACCUUUUAUGUUUUAUUACCUCCAAAAGCCUUUACAGGGUCUUUACCCUAAAAAUCAAUUCACCGACUCGCAUUUGAUGUCAGAAAUUCUUAAGACGAAUUCUACUUUACUCAAAGAUUGACUGUUAAUAAUGAGACAGCGACCAUUUUGUAUUAUUAGACCGUCCUUCUUGAUAGGUAAAAGAAAUAGAGAGGAAAGUGGGUCCGUAUAUGGUCUUUUAUUCAUAGAUAAUACAACAUUACGCCAUCGAGCAUUCACACAAUAUUUCAAAGUCAUAGCAUGCCUAAGGCCCUGUUUGAUAGCUCAAUUUCGUAAUUAAAUUUAAUAGAUUCAAAUUUUAACACAUUUAAAUCAUUUGAUAACAAAAAAUUGAAUAUUUAAAUUAAUUAAGUAACACUGAACUUUCUAAACAAAACUUGCUUUCAAAAUUAAGUGAUAAGUUAUUCACUUAUCUUUGAAUGUGAUAUGCACUCAAAUAUAUUAAAUUUAAUAAUUUAAUGGAUUCAGAUUUCAGAUUUCAGUUUUAUUACACACCCUAAGUUGCAAAAUAAUACCAAAACUUGUUAUUAUAUAGCUUGAGAUUCAAAAAUUUAGAGCAUAAUUCUCAACCUAACACAAUCGAAUAAUGAAUAUUCACGAUUGUUUCAAAGUACAAUUUGAGGACAACCCAUUCCAACGCGUACACGAUUUUUAACUUUUCUAAAGUUGUUGAGAGCUGUUAAAAGAGAUUUACCAUGUUUACAUCUUCCAAGUCUUGGAAGUGAAAAAUGAAGCCACUGAGUGCUAUAAAAAGGGGGCUAGAGGCUGCCUAGAAGCAUAUCAGCCUAAAACAAGAAUUUGUAGUAACAAUGGGGAGCAAAGCAAAAGCAACGGGGUCUAGGCUGACUCCUCUUCUUACCACUGUUUUAGUGGUAUUUGUCGCCCUUGGCUUGCCCUUGGAAACUGCAGCUGAUUAUUACAAGUAUUCAUCUCCUCCUCCUCCUCCUUACCACUAUUCUUCACCACCACCUCCAGUGUAUUCACCUCCACCAACCCCUGCUUAUAAGUUACCCCCACCAUCUCCUCCAGUUUACAAGUCCUCACCACCACCUUACCACUACUCACCACCUCCGGUGUAUUUACCUCCACCAUCUCCAGUUUACAAGUCACCACCACUACCCCCUCCGGUAUACAACUCCCCGCCUCCACCAGUGUACAAAUACAAGUCCCCACCACCACCUCCUCCAGUUUACAAAUCUCCAUCGCCACCAGUUUACAAAUACAAGUCACUCCCACCACCUCCUCCGGUAUACAAGUCUCCUCCGCCACCUGUUUACGAGUACAAGUCUCCUCCACCACCUCCUCCAGUGUACAAGUCCCCACCACCUCCAGUUUACAAGUACAACUCACCUCCACCUCCUCCCCCAGUUUACCUGUCUCCACCUCCACCCUAUCAUCACUACUACGGUUCUCCUUCUCCUCACCACUACUAAGCAAGUGCAUAAGUUUUGAGGUAAUAAUACCUAUCCAAAACUUUAUCAACACAAACUGCCAUGUAUAUUAUCAUGCUAAGGACGUACACUUGAUCCAUGAAAAUGACUAGUAGAAGAUUUUUUUUAAGAACCAAAGAAAUACAUUAUUUUUUCGGUCUGUUUUCAAGAAUUUGAGCAGUAUACAGAUUAAAGAGUGUUUUUUUUUUUGUAAACUUGCUUGUCAACUUAAAAAUGCACAUAGCUGAAAGCCAACUGAAUAUUUGCAGGCAAAGGAGAAGGCAAUCGGUGUUUGAGACCUUCAAGAAGAUGUAGAAGAAUAAGAAUAAAAGCCCAAUGCGAGGAUGAUUCCAAGUUUCUACGUUACCAUUUCUACAUCUAAAUUGACUUUAGCUCCUGAGUUCCAUGUUUAUGGGGUUUGUACCGUUUUACGUACCAUGCAGUACAUGCUUGCAAGGUUUUCUGUCCUGUUGGCAAACUGCAGGUCCAUAUAAUAAAUGAAUACUAUUUACAUUACGACACUUUUCUCUUUUUCUCUUAUAUUUUGUCUUUAAUAUUGUUGAUCAUUUUUUUUUUAUCAAAAGCAUCAAAUGCUUAGGUAAUUUGGUCUAAUGCUAAUUGUUUUACUUUUAUUUUUCACCUACACCCCUUUUCAACUCAAAGGAUGCUAUAGUUUGUGAUAAUUGUUUAAGACCGAAGCAUGAUACUAAUAAAUAUCUCAUUGAAAGUCAAGGAAACUAACAUUAGGAAAAGUUUAAAUCUUGAUUUGAUGAAACUAUUUAUUCGUGGAAUUUAGAGAUACAAAACUCAAAUUGUGACGGUGUUGUUGCUAAAUUAUUAAGGACAUUAUCACCAUUAUUUUUCCCUGAUCACUAGUUUCAACUGCAAUGAUCUCAAUCUUUUUGUGACUAAUUCUUUCCUUAAUAAUUUAUAAAGACAAAACUCACAAAGAAUAUGUGACUAAUUCUUUCCUUUCGUCUUCUAAAGAAAAUGCCAACUGUUAGUUUAUCAAGGGGAAAAAGGAUCGACAUCAGUUAUUAUUGAAACUAGUAAGGAAUAAAUAAUGGUGAUAAUGUCCUUAAUAAUUUAACAACAGCACCAUCAGAAUUUGACUUUGAGCUUCGGUCUUAAACAAUGAUCACAAACUACAGCAUCCUUUGAGUUGAAAAAGGAAGUAGGUGAAAAGAAAAGUAAAAAAUACAAUUAGCAUUCCCUCAAAUUGUAGAAAGUUAGGUAGCAUUAUAGACAAGUUGAUAGCGGCAAUUUUACAUUUCAAACUUCACCUAUUCAAUAACUAAUUCGAUGGCUUGCUACAUGGUCAAUCUUUGGACCCCUUCCUGCCUCCAGAUAUCCCUUUCCUCAAUCAGGGGCUUCUACAAUUACCAGUUUCAAUUGUAUGGUAUAGUGUAAAUAUCAACAAAUUAGAUGUAGAUGCUAACAUAAUAAAUGUGAAUGCUAAGACAGCAACAUACAAUCGAACCUGCAAUUGUAUGAACCCCAAUCUCGCUUCCUAGUCCACCAUCUUUCUCUAGGUAAUAAUCUCCCUUCUAAUUUAUUCACAAAAUGCACCUUUCAUCACCUCCAAUAGCGUCGACAUGAUCUUUACCCUAGAAGACUAUUCACCGACUCUCAAUUGACGUCAGAAAAUCUAAGAGUAAUUCUACUUUACCCUAAGAUUGAUAUCAACAAGACAAGGACAAUUUAGAAUUAUUACACGCCUCUUCUUAAUAGGAAAAAGAAAUAGAGAAGAAAGUCAGGCCAGGUCUAAUUUCUUUUCAAAGGCAAUACAACAUUACGAAAUCAAGCAUUCAUUCAUACAAAUAUUUCAUAGUCACCGGUUUGCUGAGUAGAAAAAUUUAGACAAAAACUUAAUAUUAUAUUGUUUAAGAGUUAACAAUUUAGAGCUUAAUCUCCUUGUACUUUGGAGUUAACAAUUUAGAGCUUAAUCUCCUUGUACUUUGGACUAAACUUGAACGUGAAAGGAAAUCCCAAAACCAUAUUGGGCAUGAAUUCACACUUAAUAUACCCAAUAAAAGAUGGCGACUGGUGAAAGGCAGUGGAGACUGGUGGAGAGAUUUGAGGAAUAGAAGCAGACGGAAAAGCAACAAAUUUUUGCCGAAAAACGGUCACUUUCAUGGUUAAUUUUGCUACUCUCCAAUUGUACUUGACCAAUUACAACAAUUUCAUGGAGUUUGAUACGUGAAAAGAAUUUUUUAUAAAUUUUAUUUUGAUCCAUAAUGUUAUCUUUACAUAUAUAAAACAUUUUACAAUUUUGAUUUUGGCGCAGCUAACUUUUGGUUAACAAAAAUGCUCAUGUUUAAAAAACCAGAAAUAAAACAAAACAAGAAACAAAAGAAAUAAGAGGGUAGCAUAGACAUUUUGGAUUUUUCCGUUAAUUUGGAUGAUUUCCACCCACGUUCUAAUUUAAUCCAAAACACAAAGGAAUUACGUAGAGGUUUUAAAUAAUGAGGGAGCUUCAUGAUCGAACCCCAAACCACAAGGCGAUUUACUAUAUUUUACUCUUAAAUUUUGGUUUCAUCUCAUAGCAUACAAGAGUUCUAUUUCACUAUCUGUAGACAAAGACUUUCUAUGGUUGAUGUACCAUAGGAAAAAAUCUGCCUAUACAACGUGAUAGCAUUUUUUCAAAAACACAAGAUGGAAAAUUGCCCCUUAAACGGGGAAAUUCAUGAUCUUUCGUCGAACAAAGAAUACUCACGCCUAUUCAAGAUGGAAAAUUGCCCCCUUAAACGUCUAUUUGUCAAUUCUUGAAAAAAGAAUACUCACGCCUAAAACACGGCCUCUUCAUCUGCAGAAUUCUAAAAAGUUAGGUAAACUCUAUAAACAAGUUGAUAGGUACAAUCGUACCCAAGAUCAAGUACAGAUAGUUGUACAUUAACUGCUGCAAUAACUAAUCUGAUGACUUAUAAACAUAUCAUGGUCAAUCGUUGAAUGGUAAUGAGUCUUUUGUUAUGCAUUAGUAUUAGUGUGUACACUCUAAUAGAUUGAUACUUAUACUCUUUAAAUUAUCAUAAUAAUACCCUUAAUUAACUUUAACUCUUAAAAAGAAUACAUGUUAAUACACGAGUGUGUGUAACCUGAAUUGUUACUUAUAAAUUAGUGUGUAAUAGAUAGGGAUGGCAAUGGGGGCGGGUGCCCGCGGGGGGCUCUCGGGGCGGGGGUUGGGGCGGGGGGGAAUUUUUUCCCCCCGUUUAGAAAUGGGGCAGGGGACGGGGGAGUAUACCCCCGCCCCAUCCCCCGCAAAAAAAAAAUUAUAUAUAAUAUGUAAUUUAAUUAGUUAUAAACUUAUGAUAAUGAUAUUAUUAGUUAGAUGUAUUAUAUAAUGUAUAUUAGUGUAUGUAAUAUAAUUAAUAUUAUCAAUUAUAUGAAUAAUUAGACAUGUCUACUAAUAGAAUUUAUGAAUUAGUUAUACUAAAUUUACUAAUACAUUUAUACUAAAUUUCUAAUUACACUUAAUAGAAUAACACUUUUUUCUAAAACAAAAAAGCACAAACACAAUAAUGAAUUAGUGAUUGUAUGAUAGGGUGUAAUUUUACUAUUUAUUUUAUUAUUAAUUUCCCCUAUCACCUGACCUGAUGUGGAUUAAUUGCUGGAUUCUGCUCACUUUUAGUACUUUGUAUUUAUUUCAGGGAGUAGAACGGAAAUUUGAUAACAGGUGCUAAUUUGGCAGAAAAAGAGUCCAGAUGAUAGAGCUUGCCCCAAGGGCAUUUUUGGAAAGGAGAACUUGUGCCCAUCUUGGUAAUUUGGGAGAAAAGGGAAACAGACAAAAUGGGUCUAACAUGGAUUGGAAGCGGCCGCACAGUAGCAGGGAAGAGGGCAGACGUAAAAGCAAUUGCAGGGGGGAAAAGGAGUUUUUUUAGUUUUUAGCUUAGCAUCUGAUUUUCCCUGGGAGACUUUUGUUAAAGAUUUCCUUUUGGCUGAUAUUACGCAUGGCAGAUGGCUUUUAACUUAUUCCUCCAUCUUUGACUUUUCUUCUUUAGCUUGUGGCAGUGGAUUGCUACUUACGAAUGUCAGCACUUAGCCAUUCGUGGCUUUUGAUCUUUUCUUCCUUAGAAAUUCUGAGUAACCUCUUUUCCUUUGUGCGCCAGACGAAGUGAAAACUAUAAACUUUUGUAGUUUUUCUAUUCAUUCAAUAUAUUGAGACGAGUUGGAUUCUACCAAAUUUCAACGGACAUGGCCGCUGGUUUCUCUUCAAUUUUAUAUGGGCUUUGUUCAUCCAACAUGAACUAAUUUCACCACUCUAGUCAAGGAGCAACGAAGGCUCUGAUUUGCCUAAAAAUUGUGAGAUCGUUUUAAUUUAAUCUUUUCCUUUUAUUUAUUGGUAUCCGCACAUUUCUUGAUUGCUAUGCUUAUGGUUAUUUAAUUAAUUGAUUGUCUUGGAUCCAGAUAAUUAAUUGAUCUGAUAGCCUAUUGUCAAUUAGGGCAUUUAAAUCCGUAAUUGUUUAAUUGUCCUGAAAUAGUGACAACUGGCACGAUUAGAUUCGUGCCAGGGGGGAUAUGCGGGCUAAUCUAAAAUAACCCUGGUAGUGUGUUAUUUGGUUAGAAUAGGGCUCCUCUAAUACUAAGGCAAUUGGGGAAUUAAAUUCUACGGGCGUACCUAGGAUUAUUUCUUAAUUAGAGCAGUGAUUAACGGGCGUACCUUGAUCACCGACACAGUAAGGAGGGGUUGACCGUCAUCGCUUGUUUGGCAGUUAUAACCUAUUUAUCAGUAAAUAAUUGGGAUUGCCUUGCAUCAAUGAUCAAUUAGGUGAACCAUUGUUGAAGUUACUUCUUGGUUAGAUCUUUAGUUAAUAUUACCUUGAUUUUGGUGAAUUGCCAUUUGAUUUUUAGUUGCCUACUUUAUUUUAUUUUUAAUUGUUUCCUUGCUUUAAUUGAGUUAGGCCUUUAAUUAUUGUUAUUCUAAGUUUAGUGAAUUGUGGUUUAAUUCCUAAUUAGUUAUUUAUUUUUACUUUCUUAUUUGAAUUUAUUUGCUUGUUAUCAUUCCUACGAAAUCACCCCCCUGUGUUACUUUGGAUUUCUUAAGAAACAAAUAUACCCAAUCCCUGUGGAUACGACCCUACUUGCUCUGUUCACGAAUUCAUAAUUAUUUGUGAAAAGAAAUAACCAUUCCACUCGGGUAUAUCGGAUCAAGCAAAUUCUUCGGGAACAGGGUGAAUCAAGUAACCCAAUGCACACCUAGAGUCCCUGCUCCAGUACUUGGAAUUGGGUUUUGGUCAUUUUAACUGGCAAUUAGGUUUAAUUUUAUUAUUGCACAGGCUGACGACCCUGUCAAUUUUUGGCGCCGUUGCCGGGGACUGGCGUUAUUAUUUGUUUCUUUUUAAAUUCAUUCUUUGUCCUAAUUUUCUGGUUUUCUUCUAGUGUAUGCCUCGAUCUUCUCGUACAGGUAAUUUGAUUUUUGACCCUGAGGUAGAGAAGACCGCAUGUAGAACGAGAAAGGAAACCAGACAGCUCAGAGAAGAGCACUCCAGUGCUACAUCUCAGAGACCCGAGUCAGAAGUUGAACUAACAGAUUCGUUUGGUAACACUUCGAGUGACUCUGACCAGGAGGAAGACACCAUGGCUAAUGCACGAACAUUAAGGGAGUUGGCUGCUCCUGAUUUAACUCAGCAGCCUUUAUGCAUUACUUUCCCCACUUUAAAUGAUAACAUUCCAUUUGAACUAAAAUCUGGUCUGAUUCAGCUUUUACCCUCUUUUCAUGGUUUACCAGGUGAAGAGCCGUAUAAGCAUCUGCAGGAGUUUGAUGUCGUGUGUAAUAGUAUGAAACCCUCGGGAAUCACAGAAGAGCAGAUAAAAAUGAGGGCAUUCCUCUUCUCCUUGAAAGAUUCUGCGAAGGACUGGCUGUACUACCUGUCACCAGGUAGCAUCACCACGUGGGACCAAUUGAAGAAAAAAUUUUUGGAUAAAUAUUUUCCUGCGUCCAGGGCUGCAAGUCUAAGGAAAGAAAUUUGUGGGAUCAAGCAGCAUCCAGGGAAGUCACUUUAUGAGUAUUGGGAACGGUAUAAGAACUUGUUGCGCAGGUGCCCCCAACACCAAAUAAGUGAGCAAUUGAUCAUACAGUAUUUUUAUGAGGGGCUCCUUUUUAGAGACAGGAGCAUCAUUGAUGCCAGGGGGGAGGGUUGGGAUGGGUGGUACGGGGGGAGGGAGUGUAAGCAAGAGGUCUCGGGUUCGAGUCCUCCCGCUUACACACAAAAAAAAAGAUGCUGCAAGUGGAGGGGCACUGGUAAACAAAACCCCUCAGGAAGCACGGGAGUUAAUAGAGGGGAUGGCAGAGAAUUCACAACAAUUCAGUACAAGAGAGGAUGUCCCAAUACGUAAGGUGAAUGAGGUAGAGACACCCUCUAUGCAGCAGCAGCUAACUGAGUUGACCGCGUUUGUUAGGCAACUGGCUGUGAGAAAUGCAUCACAAGCCAGGGUGUGCGGGAUUUGCACUGGUAUGGGUCAUUCUGCAGACAUGUGCCCAAUGAUUCAGGAAGAAACUGCAGAACAGGUGAACAUGGCUGACCACGCGCCCGCGCCAAGGAAGCAGUACGACCCUUACUCAAGCACCUACAACCCCGGGUGGAGAGAUCAUCCCAACCUCAGUUAUGGAGAAAAUAGGCAGCCCAACAUUACACCGAACAGGCAGUCUAACUUUGUGCCAAAUAGGCCACCAGGGUACCAGCAGCAAUAUCAACCCCGACCACCUCCGUCCCCAAGCUCUGGCCCAUCUUUGGAGGAGAUGAUGAAACAAAUGAUGACAACUAUGGCUCAAAAUCAGCAAAUGACGGAGGCAACCAUUAUGCAAAAUCAGCAAAGGACGGACUCCGAAAUGAAGGAUAUAAGGAAUCAGAUAAGUCAAAUGGUCACAACAAUCAACCGUUUGGAUUCCCAGAACCAAGGUAAAUUGCCAUUUCAGCCCGAAUUAAAUUCGAAGAACGUGAGCGCAAUGACCCUAAGGAGCGGGAAAGAAAUUCAGGGGUCUGAACCUGUGAUCCCUAAGGAUAAGGAUGAGGAAAAGAUCGAAAAUGAGCUUGAAAGGGAGGACAGCAAUGGUGCAGAUCUAAAGGUACUUCCUGACCCAAUAAUUACAGCUAAAACUAACCCGCCUCCUUUUCCUAGCAGGUUGGAAAAAUCGAAAAAAGAGGAUAAGGAGAAGGAGAUCUUGGAGGUUUUUCGCAAGGUUGAGAUAAAUAUCCCCCUCUUAGACGCAAUCAGACAAGUACCAAAAUAUGCCAAGUUCCUAAGGGACUUGUGUGUCAACCGAAGGCAGUUGAGGGAAGAUGAACGGGUUAUUGUUGGGGAGAAUGUGUCAGCAGUCCUGCAGAGAAAGCUCCCACCAAAGUGCGGGGACCCAGGUAUGUUUACUAUUCCCUGUAGGAUAGGUAAUACUGUGAUAGAAGGGCCAUGUUGGAUCUGGGAGCAUCAAUUAAUCUCAUACCUAAAUCUAUCUAUGCUUCUCUAAAAUUAGGUCCAUUAAAAGAAACUGGAAUAAUCAUUCAAUUAGUUGACCGAACUAAUGCAUAUCCUGAUGGGUUGGUUGAAGAUGUGUUGGUAAAAGUUAAUGAUUUGAUGUUUCCAGCUGAUUUUUAUGUACUUGAUAUGGAUGAUGAUCACUCCCCUGAUCCCUCACCUCUGUUAUUGGGUAGACCCUUUAUGAGCACAGCACAGACGAAAAUUGAUGUUAAUAAGGGUAUCUUGUUCAUGGAGUUUGAUGGGAAAAUUGUGCAUUUCAAUAUCUUUGAUACUAUGAAAUAUCCCUCAAACUCCAACUUUAGCACAGUUUUCUCUGUGAGUGCUAUUGACCCUGUAGUGCAGGAAGUGUUUGAAACUGAUGGCAGGGAUGAGUUGGAGGUGGCUUUGACCAAGCACCUCGAGUUGGAGACAACUCCUGAGGUGGAAUGGAGCGAGGACCUAAAAUGCACAAUAGGUGCAUUACACUCAUUGCAGUCCACCACGAAAAGGUAUGAAGUCUUACCUAUUUUUACUCCCGAACCUCACCAGAGGGUGUUGCCAUCUGUGGUGCAGGCACCUGUACUAGAAUUUAAACCUCUAUCAGAGCACCUGAAAUAUGCAUAUCUGGGUGAUAAUGAGACACUCCCGGUGAUUAUCUCAUCGACACUGUCAAAAAUCCAGGAGGAGAAACUGAUCCGGGUCCUUAGAGAGCAUAAAGAGGCGAUAGGUUGGACAAUCGCAGAUAUUAAGGGGAUCAGCUCGGCCAUCUGUAUGCACCGGAUUAGACUAGAAGAGGAUGCCAAACCUGUUAGGCAGGCUCAAAGGAGGCUCAACCCCCUAAUGAUGGAAGUUGUAAAGAAAGAAAUUUUAAAAUUGCUAGAUGUGGGGAUUAUUUUUGCAAUAUCAGAUAGCCCUUGGGUAAGCCCGAUCCAGGUAGUCCCAAAGAAGGCAGGGGUGACGGUGGAGGCAAACCAAACGGGUGAGCUCGUGCCAGUGCGCAAACCCACUGGAUGGAGGCAGUGUAUAGACUACCGUAGGCUAAACGCCGUCACCAAAAAGGACCAUUUCCCUCUCCCUUUCAUUGACCAAAUGGUUGAACGUUUAGCUUGUAGAGCUUAUUAUUGCUUUUUGGAUGGAUUUUCAGGAUACUUUCAGAUAGCAAUUGCUCCAGAGGAUCAAGAGAAGACAACCUUCACGUGCCCGUUCGGGACCUUUGCUUAUAGACGAAUGCCAUUUGCGUUGUGCAAUGCACCUGCAACAUUCCAGAGGUGUAUGGUAAGUAUUUUUUCUGAAUAUGUGGAGAAAAUUAUUGAAGUUUUCAUGGACGAUUUCAGUGUGUAUGGUGAUAGUUUUGAUACGUGUUUAGAUAAUCUGAAAUUGAUCCUGAUAAGGUGUAUAGAGACUAAUCUUGUGCUUAAUUGGGAAAAAUGUCAUUUUAUGGUUGAGCACGGGAUAGUCCUGGGUCAUAUUGUAUCGUCUAAGGGCAUAGAAGUUGACAAGGCUAAAAUAGAUAUUAUUUUUGCAUUACCUUACCUCGCGAGUGUGCGGAAGGUGCGUUCUUUUCUUGGACAUGCAGGUUUUUAUCGAAUGUUCAUCAAGGAUUUUUCAAAAAUUGGAGCCCCGUUAUUCCAACUCCUACAAAAGGAUGUGACCUUCGAAUUCGAUGAUAAGUGUGAGGAAGCCUUCAACAAGUUGAAAGAAUUGUUGACCUCACCCCCAAUUAUCCAGCCCCCUGAUUGGAGUCUACCAUUUGAGAUCAUGUGCGAUGCCAGUGAUCAUGCCGUAGGGGCUGUAUUGGGGCAAAGAGUAGGGAAGGCAGCUCACGUCAUCUACUAUGCAUCCCGAGCAUUGAAUGGAGCCCAAUUGAAUUACUCCACUACUGAAAAGAAGCUUCUUGCAGUUAUUUUUGCUUUAGAAAAAUUCAGGUCAUAUUUGCUAGGUGCUAAAGUAAUUGUAUUUUCUGACCAUGCAGCAUUAAGGUACCUAAUGACCAAGAAAGAUGCCAAACUGAGGCUCAUUAGGUGGAUAUUGCUACUGCAGGAAUUUGACCUGGAGAUACGGGAUAAAAGGGGCUCAGAGAAUUUAGUAGCUGACCAUCUGAGUCGUAUACCCGUUGGAGAGGAUAAUGAACCAUUGAGGGAUGCGUUCCCUGAAGAGCACUUAUUUUCUUUAAAUUCUCAGUUGCCUUUGUAUGCCGAUCUGGUCAAUUAUUUGGUAACUGGUAAUUUUCCUGCAGGUUGACCAAAAUCGAAGAGGGAUAAAUUGAAGAGCGACGCCAAGUAUUUUAUUUGGGACGACCCGUACCUAUGGAAGAGGUGUGCAGAUCAAGUGAUGCGGAGAUGUGUAAGUGAAAUGGAAUUUCAAUCGAUUUUAGCUUUUUGUCAUACUUUUGCCUGUGGAGGUCAUUUGGACCCAAGAGAACUGCUCAUAAGGUUUUAGAAAGUGGAUUUUAUUGGCCUUCAUUGUUUAAGGAUGCCUAUGUGUUUUGUAAGUCAUGUGAUCGCUGUCAAAGGGUAGGUAAUAUACCCCGUAGAGAUCAAAUGCCCCAAGUCCCGUUGAUUUUUAUUGAAAUUUUUGAUGUCUGGGGUAUAGAUUUCAUGGGGUCUUUUCCUACUUCAUUUGGUUUUUUAUAUAUUUUGCUGGCAGUUGAUUAUGUGUCUAAAUGGGUGGAGGCUAAGGCCACUCGAACUAAUGACUCGAAAGUAGUUGCAAAUUUUGUCAGGUCUAAUAUUUUUGUGCGAUUUGGAAUGCCUAGUGCUAUUGUCAGUGAUAGGGGAACGCACUUUUGCAACAAAAUCAUAGCUGCGUUGUUUCGCAAGUAUGGUGUACUCCAAUGGGUCUCAACGUCGUACCACCCUCAGACCAAUGGUCAAGCGGAGGUGUCGAAUCGAGAGAUCAAGUCUAUCUUGGAGAAAAUGGUGCGCCCCGAUAGGAAAGACUCGAGUCAAAGGCUGGAGGACGCACUUUGGGCCUAUCGGACGGCGUACAAGACUCCUAUAGGGAUGUCACCGUACAGGUUGGUAUUUGGGAAGCCGUGUCACCUUCCAGUGGAGUUUGAGCACAAAGCUUUUUGGGCGAUAAAGUAAUGCAACAUGAAUUUAGAGGAAGCCGGUGCCCAACGAAAGUUGGAUUUGCAAGAAUUAGAAGAGAUCCGGAACGAGGCUUACGAAAAUGCACUAAUUUAUAAGGAGAGAAGCCGGAUAUUUCAUGAUCAACAAAUUUCAAGAAAAUCCUUUGAAGUUGGUCAGAAGGUCCUACUAUACCAAUCCAGGCUCAAGCUAUUCCCAGGUAAACUACGUUCCCGUUGGAUUGGACCUUUUCUUGUUACUCAUGUUUUUCCAUAUGGUGCAGUUGAAAUCCGGAGCGCUAAAACAGACAACAAAUUUGUGGUGAAUGGACACCGUCUCAAGCAUUACUACGAAGGAUUUUCAGGUGAAAAGGUGGAGACAAUAAGUCUAGACGCGCCACCGUGUCCUAAUCAGUGACAUUUUACUAUGUCUAGCCAAAGACAUUAAAGACAGGCGCUCAUUGGGAGGCAACCCAAUUGUCCCUUUUAAUUAUUUGUUUGAUUUCGUGUGAUAGUUUAAAUAUGUUUUCCUUGAAUUCGACUGAUUUUGGGUUUCAGUUUUCGUUUUUGCUGAAUUGUAGGUGACCUUCAGUCUUGACGCGCCCGCGUGAUGACAUGCAGGAAGCUCACGAUCAGAAUCGUCUGAAAGCUCUCUUGCCCUUUUGACGCACCCGCGUGAUGACGUGCAGGAAGCUCACGAUCAGAAUCGUCUGAAAGCUCUCUUGCCCUCUUGACGUGCCCGCGUCACGUUCGCAGGAAAGGUACGGGUUUCAAAAAUUUAAAGAAAAAAUAAUAAUAAUAAUAAUUUAAAAUUUUGAAAUUAACUUCCGUAAAAAAAAAAAAGAAGAAAAAAAAUUUCACCGUGGCUUAAAUAGAGCCUAAAGAAGAGAAAAAAGAAACAAUUUCUUUCUUUUUUUUUUCUUUUUCUUCUUUCUUCCUUCUUUCUUUCUUUCUUCUUUCUCUUUUCCCUCUCUCUUCUCCCCUGUUUCUUCUCCCCUGUCCGUCGCCCGUGCGCCCCAUCGCUGCUCCACCUCCACACGCACGCCGACGCUGCGAGCCACCUGCGACCCCAGCGCCAGAUCUGGACCAUCGCCGAAACCCGCAGCCUCCGCCACCUCCACCUGAGCUCUGCCUCGCGCGCAACCCAGCUGCUCUGCGCCCGAAGCUCCACCGCCGCCACAGCCUCCCCACGCAGCUCCCUGCUCACGCGGCCACAAGCCCAUUGGAAACGGGACAGAGACUGCCGCCGAGCCACUUGCCCGCGUGACCGCCGCUGUUUUCCACCACCUCCCUCACGCGAGCUCUUUCCCUCUCAGCAGCAAUCCACUUCACAGCGCACCCGCUGCGCGCCGUCGCAGCCCUCGCAGCUCCAGCCCGUCUGGUCUAGUCCGCCGCGCGCACCAACCACCCACGGACGCUACCCCCAUCGCUAACCCACGCGGCCUCCACUCCAGUCUGUCCGCCGCCGCUGCUCGUGUCUCCCUUGCGCACCUCACGCCACCCGCUACUGUCCCCUUCCGUUUGGUUAGCAUCCACGGUGGAGGUAAUUGGAGGUUAUUUUCUCAAUUGUGUGACUUCCGCCUGUGAUACUGGUUGCAUUAUUUUUGCUGGGAAUUGCUACUUCUUUUGGGUUGGGUUCAACUGUGCAAUUAAUUGGCCAACUGGAGCCAUUUGUUGGGAUUUUGGGUGAGCUGAAAUACUGCAUUUGUGUGUUACAUUGGGAGGUUUAUUGGGUACAUUCUAACCGCUGUUUUCCAUUGUUACUCUCGCUGGGGUGUCUAUUAAAUUGCGAUUGAAGUAUUUUGGAUAUUGCAUGUUGAGAUUGAGGUUUCAUUGAAUUUGGCCUACGUUCUGCCCCCAGUGGUACUGGUGGGAAUAUUUUCAAUUGAAUUUGUUACCUCUAGUUGGUUGGCUACAUUAUUAUGGUCGAAUUCCUAAGUUGUCGUCAUUGCAUUUGUUGAUCUUGAUUUGGGGCAUUAACCGGCCAACUGGAGCCAUCUGUGCGUUUUUAGGCGCUAUUAUUGGUUUCUUCUCCCUUAACUUUGUCAACUAUAUUUGGUUGGGUAUUUGGUUGACUGCCACGGACUUGUAACUGUGUUUUGCUUCUAAUUGACCAGUUGCACAGCAGUUUUUUUUUAAUUGAUAGGGUGGUUAUACCUCUGGAUAUUUGUAUCCACUGGUUUGAGGACAUGGUGAGACCAAAAUCCUCCUCUAGGUCUAGGACCCCUAGAACCUCGCAAUCCCAACCCCAAGCCUCUACUCUAGUCAAUACCCCUAUAAAUCAACCUACUGCUCCCGGUGUCCGAACCUGGUUAGGUAGGGGUAGAGGUGCCCACGUGGCUUCCGCCACUCACUUGGGAGGGCAUUUGGAAUUCACUAGAGCCGCCGAUCAGCGACGCUAUGCUCAAGCUUGUGAGCGGCGUAUCAUUCCGUGCAAAUGCGCGGACCACAUUACUAUGGUUUUUCUGGGGAUCCAAGGGGAGGUUGAGCGCAUGUACACCGCCAUUGGAUGGCGCCCCUAUCUGGAUAUUUUCCAGCCAGCCUUUGUCGAGUUGACUAGAGAGUUUUACACCACUUUUAAGUUUGAAUUACCGACUAGGUAUACUGUUGCGACUCCCGAUAUCAUUCACUUCCGUCUCAUGGGCCAGGAAUUCAAUUUCUCUAUCACCCAGUUCAAUCUGGCUUUCGGUUUCAUCACUCGGGAGUAUGCAGAGACUAGGGAAUACGGUGAGAGUGCCUGCGAUUUUGUGGAACCUUUCCUUACCGCCUACCGUGAGGUGUGGGAGGACAUGUCUGUGGACAUGCAGCGUUACGAUCCCUCUCGGUCUCGGAGCUCCUUUCUAGAGGACCCGAGUGCUCGGUAUGUUCAGCGGCUUUUAGCAUAUAGCUACUCGGGCAGAAAGAACAGCUUCGGUAUUAUCUCUCGGCCGGAGCUCUUCUUCCUUUGGUGUAUGAAGAAUGGGUUCAAGGUCAAUUUGGGUUGUUGGUUGGCGGCACAGUUCAAGACCGUCAUGGCAAAGAAGAACAAGCCGUUGAUUCUUGGGUCGUAUAUCACGUACUUGGCGGUCCAGCUAGGCGUUCUGAAUCUACAGGAUCACGAUUUGCACUUGGCCUGCGACAUGGAGUAUCUCACUGCUGACCGGCUAGAGAAGAUGGGGGUUCUGGAGCUUGUCGAUGGCCACUACCGAUUUGUGCCCCCGGGACCGCCCCGCGCCCCGCCUCGCUCUUCCUCCACCCAUUCGGCCCCAGUUGGCGGUGAUCCUGGCCCGUCGACAUCCGCUCAGCUCCCUCCACCAGCAGGGGCUGAAGAUUGGCACCAAAUCAGGACGCAGAUUCAGAAUUUGGACGCCCGGAUGAUUAGCAUCGAGAGCAACGUGGCGGCUAUAUCACAGAAUCUGGCGGCAUUCCUGCAGCACUCGGGUUUCCCGCCCCCAAUCCCACCUCACCCUCCACUAUGACCCGGUUUCAGGGAAGUUUGGUUACUUUCUCCCUCACUUUUGUUGUUUUUUGACACAUUGAGGACAAUGUGUCCUAUAGGUGUGGGGGGGUCUAUAGUCUUUCUAGUUUUUAGUAGUUGUUAGUUUUUAGUUUUUUAGUAGUUUUAGUUUUAUUUCUAGUUGCGUAUUUUCUUUCUUUUCUUAGUGCUUAUUCCCCAUGUGAAAAGAAAAAGAAAACAAAAAAAAAGAGAAAAAAAUGUUGGUUUAUUGACUCUAACUCUACUUUUGCCAAGUUUUUUUUAAAUAAAAAUGUAUCGGGUUAAUGUGGUUGGAUCCAGAAUAUCUCCCUGGUGAAUAUCGGAUUGCUUGGCUCUUUUGAUUUCUGUGUUAAUUUCUCUAGGCAUAGGGAAUGACUGUUGGCAUUUUAAUGUGAACUGGUCCAAUAUUGACUCCAGUUCUCUAUGUUUGGCAAUAAUGAGGCGAGCUGUUCCUAUUUUUGGUUCUUAGUGUUGUUAUUAUGUGUUUUUGGCUUUGUUUGGCUGUGAAUAAUCUGGACUGUACUCCGCUAUGAGUUACUACUGAGUAACCGAGGAUCGGCACCUAAAAGUGUCGAUUCUCGCGUCAAAAGGUGGUACUUUAUAUGAGUACGUGGUCGUAUAGCAGUAGGAGCUGAGUAACCGGGCUCCUUCAUCUAAAAAUGUUGGAGUUCGCGUCAAAAGGCCCCGACGGCUAACGACUAAGUCUUUUUGUGUUAAUUAUUAUUGCUUUGAAAAACAAAAAAAAAAAAGAACGAAAAAAGAGAGAAUAAAUAAUAGGAAGGCUUGCCGGUUUAUGGACUUAAUAUGGAGACUUGUGUGAAUAUUUGGACCAUUAGCUAAUAAAUGUUGUGCGCCAUUCCCUUUUCUUAGAGUAGUUAACCUGGAAAUUGAAGGAAUUUGCAGUUUAGGGGCUAACCGGGGGGGAGGCUUCUUGGAUUUUAAUCACCAAUGCUCGAUAUAUGUUUUUCUCUUGAAGAUCUUGGCAAUAUAGGAGAUUGGACAAUGGCCAUCAUCGAAUUUUGGUGUUCGUUUACUAUUCUUAUGCUUGAGGACAAGCAUGGUUUAGGUGUAGGGGGAAUUGAUAGGGUGUAAUUUUACUAUUUAUUUUAUUAUUAAUUUCUCCUAUCACCUGACCUGAUGUGGAUUAAUUGCUGGAUUCUGCUCACUUUUAGUACUUUGUAUUUAUUUCAGGGAGUAGAACGGAAAUUUGAUAACAGGUGCUAAUUUGGCAGAAAAAAGUCCAGAUGAUAGAGCUUGCCCCAAGGGCAUUUUUGGAAAGGAGAACUUGUGCCCAUCUUGGUAAUUUGGGAGAAAAGGGAAACAGACAAAAUGGGUCUAACAUGGAUUGGAAGCGGCCGCACAGUAGCAGGGAAGAGGGCAGACGUAAAAGCAAUUGCAGGGGGGAAAAGGAGUUUUUUUAGUUUUUAGCUUAGCAUCUGAUUUUCCCUGGGAGACUUUUGUUAAAGAUUUCCUUUUGGCUGAUAUUACGCAUGGCAGAUGGCUUUUAACUUAUUCCUCCAUCUUUGACUUUUCUUCUUUAGCUUGUAGUAGUGGAUUGCUACUUACGAAUGUCAGCACUUAGCCAUUCGUGGCUUUUGAUCUUUUCUUCCUUAGAAAUUCUGAGUAGCCUCUUUUCCUUUGUGCGCCAGACGAAGUGAAAACUAUAAACUUUUGUAGUGUUUCUAUUCAUUCAAUAUAUUGAGACGAGUUGGAUUCUACCAAAUUUCAAUGGACAUGGCCGCUGGUUUCUCUUCAAUUUUAUAUGGGCUUUGUUCAUCGAACAUGAACUAAUUUCACCACUCUAGUCAAGGAACAACGAAGACUCUGGUUCGCCUAAAAAUUGUGAGAUCGUUUUAAUUUAAUCUUUUCCUUUUAUUUAUUGGUAUCCGCACAUUUCUUGAUUGCUAUGCUUAUGGUUAUUUAAUUAAUUGAUUGUCUUGGAUCCAGAUAAUUAAUUGAUCUGAUAGCCUAUUGUCAAUUAGGGCAUUUAAAUCCGUAAUUGUUUAAUUGUCCUGAAAUAGUGACAACUGGCACGAUUAGAUUCGUGCCAGGGGGGAUAUGCGGGCUAAUCUAAAAUAACCCUGGUAGUGUGUUAUUUGGUUAGAAUAGGGCUCCUCUAAUAUGUAAGGCAAUUGGGGAAUUAAAUUCUACGGGCGUACCUAGAAUUAUUUCUUAAUUAGAGUAGUGAUUAACGGGCGUACCUUGAUCACCGACACAGUAAGGAGGGGUUGACUGCCAUCGCUUGUUUGGCAGUUAUAACAUAUUUAUCAGUAAAUAAUUGGGAUUGCCUUGCAUCAAUGAUCAAUUAGAUGAACUAUUGCUGAAGUUACUUCUUGGCUAGAUCUUUAGUUAAUAUUACCUUGAUUUUGGUGAAUUGCCAUUUGAUUUUUAGUUGCCUACUUUAUUUUAUUUUUAAUUGUUUCCUUGCUUUAAUUGAGUUAGGCCUUUAAUUAUUGUUAUUCUAAGUUUAGUGAAUUGUGGUUUAAUUCCUAAUUAGUUAUUUAUUUUUACUUUCUUAUUUGAAUUUAUUUGCUUGUUAUCAUUCCUACGAAAUCACCCCCCUGUGUUACUUUGGAUUUCUUAAGAAACAAAUAUACCCAGUCCCUGUGGAUACGACCCUACUUGCCCUGUCCACGAAUUCAUAAUUAUUUGUGAAAAGAAAUAACCAUUCCACUCGGGUAUAUCGGAUCAAGCAAACUCUUCGGGAACAGGGUGAAUCAAGUAACCCAUUGCACACCUAAAAUCCCUGCUCCAGUACUUGGAAUUGGGUUUUGGUCAUUUUAACUGGCAAUUAAGUUUAAUUUUAUUAUUGCACAGGCUGACGACCCUGUCAUUGUAUUUGUACCAAAAGUGAAAACUUAACUAUUUUAGUUGUAUUUAUUUCAUCAUGUUGGAUUGUAUUCAAAUAAUUUUUGUUUGAUUGUUUUUAUAAGUUUCAAUUGUAAAAUUAAAAUGAAUAAUAACUUGAUGAUGUGUUGAUAUUUUAGUACUUGAUUAUUUAUUAAAAUUUAAUUAUAAUAAAAUUUUAUUAACUCAACGAGAAAAAUUUUAUUAAUCCCGUGGGGGCACCCGCGGGGAAAGCGGGGCGGGGCGAGGGGAGUGGGAGGCGGAGGACGGGGCGGGGGCGGGGGAUGGGGGAGGGGUCCCCCGCCCCAACCCCGCCAUCCCCCGUCCCGUUGUCAUCCCUAGUAAUAGACUGGCAAGCAUUGUGGUGGUCAUUGAGCAACUUAUAGGAGAAAUAGUCCUAUAAGCUGUUCAAUGACCAAUCACAACUUGCUAAUUGGAUGACUAAUAUAGCUCUAGCUGUAAUGUUUUAAUUAAAUUACAUCACUAACGUUGGGAUGACUUUUUAACCAAAAAAAAAAAGCCUUAGUUCAAGCUUUUCCCUUUAUUGUGCAUUUUUUAAAGCAUUUGAAAGGCACUGCAAAUCUGUCAUUUUGGACAUUUUAUUAUUGACUAACAAUGAAAGCCGUGGACGUCUACCCAUAACCAACACAAGAUUAAAUUAAUAUUAGAAAAAAUAAUUGAGUAAUUGGAAAAAAAAAAAAAAGAAGAGUCUAAUUUUCAUUGAAACCCACCGACAAACUAUACGUGUCCAUGGCUUUUGAAUAGUGCAUUCAACGUUUAAUUGUAUGGUCCAGUUCAUUGCAGAUUACAUGGAGUAAAGAUUGCGCUCUUUCCUUUUCACCCCUUUUGGAAUCGAUACUGUGGAGAAUUGGGUUUUUCCCUCCUUUUUUUCUUUUCUUUCCUUCUGUGGUUUGCAAAACAUACGUAAAAAUAUGAAAUCCGAAGCAUUCUUUAAUUGGUAUUAAGUAUUGUUGUUGAAAUUAAAAAGAAAAAAGAAAGAACAACAAAAUUCCCAAUCUGGGUUGAUUGUUGAGCUCUAGAUUGGUUGCAUCGUGCUUCCAUAGAAGCAAGAUUUGUAAAAUCGGAAUCCUACAUAGGAUCGAUUUUAGUUUCACAGGAUCGGAUUGUAAAAUCGUAAGAUCCUACCAAAAGCUCUCAAUUGCAAUUAAAGGUUGCAAUUCUUUAAUAAAUUACAAAUAUACCACAAAUAUUUUCAUUUACUUGCAAAAUGGAGCUUCGUAUUUCACAAAUUUACAAAAAAAUUGUAGGAUCGUACGAUCCUACCGAUCCUACGAUCCUACACGAUCCUACCGAUCCUGCUACGAUUCUAUGCGAUCCUACAAAGAUUAAUAUGAUUUGCGACUCUGCAUACGAUCCGGAUCGAUUUUGGUUAUCCGGAUCGUAGGAUCGUAUGAUCCUACGAUCCGGAUCGCGAUUUUGACAACUAUGCAUAGAAGCUCUCUUAGUGUGAUACACUGCUUUCAAUCAGUUUAACACGGGAAAAAAAAAAAGAGAUGAAAAGCAAAUUUGGUGGAGAUAAUUUCAGAAACCUCCCCUGAAGAUUUUGACUAUUCUACUGGUUUCCCUUCAGAUUUUAAAAAUUACACUAAUCUUCCUUGAAGUUAAUUAUCUUGUAACAUUUAAAUUCAAUCAAUAAUUUAAAAAAUGAUAUUAUGAGAGAGAAAAUAAUAUGAUUUUAUCAUUGCCCCCCAUCUUACUACAUUAUUUAAUUAAUUUAAUAGCAACCCACACAUUAAAGAAAAAUAUUAAAAUUUGUUGUUUAUCAUUAAAGAUCAAAUCGCUUAUAACAUCAAAUAAUAGUAUAUUAUUUAUAUUUUUCACUUAAUAUAAUAUCCAAAUUACUCUUUUCAAUUACAUACCCAUUGUUAGAGAAUCAACAACAAAUAACCAAAAAAUUUGCAACCAAAAUAUUACAAAAAAAAUAAACUUUAACAUCAUAAAUAUUCUUAUCAACAUAUUAAAGUUAGUUACUGAAAUUUUUAUGCUGUUAAACUUCACUCUUUUUGAAUACAGAUUUUUUUGAUUAUUUGUUAUUAAUUAUGUUUGAUGAUGGGUUUAUAAUUGAAAAGAACAAUUUGAAACUUACAUUAAGUAAAAUAUAUAGAGUGAUAUACUAUUUUUUAUAACAUAUGUGAUUCAAUCCUUCUUGAUAGGAUUGGUAAUAGAGGUAGAGGGGGGAGUCGGCUGCAUCCGGUCUUCUUUUCAUAGAUAGUACAAUAUUGCGAAAUCAAUCGCAUUCACACAAUAAUAUUUCGAAGUCAAUGCAUGGCUAAGUUGCAUAAAAGUACGAACACUUGUUAUUAUAUAGCUUAAGAUUCAAAACUUUCGAGCAUAACCCUCCACCCAACACAAUUGAAUAAUGAAUAUUCACGAUUGUCAAAUCUGUCAAAGCACAGUUUGAGGACAACCCAUUCCAACCUGCAAAAGAUUUUUUACUUUUCUAAAGUUGUUGAGAGCUGUAAAAAGACUUACCAUGCUUGCAUCCUCCGAGCCUUGGGAGUUAAAAAUGAAGGCACUGAGUGCUAUAAAAAGGGGAAUAGAGGCUGCCUAGAAGCAUAUCAGCCUAAAACAAGAAUUUGUAGUUAAGAUGGGAAGCAAAGCAAAAGCAAUGGGGUCUGGGCUGACUCCUCUUCUUGCCACUGUUUUAGUGGUGUUUGUUGCUCUUGGCUUGCCCUCACAAACUGCAGCUGAUGAUCACUACAAGUAUUCAUCUCCUCCUCCUCCUUACCACUAUCCCUCACCACCACCACCAGUGCAUAUACCUCCACCUCAUCCUGUUUACAAGUACAAAUCUCCACCACCCCCACCACCACACCCAGUUUACAAGUAUAAGUCACCACCACCACCUCCUCAUCCGGUAUACAAGUAUAAGUCUCCUCCGCCACCACCACACCCAGUUUACAAGUACAAGUCACCACCACCACCUCCUCAUCCGGUACCACACCCAGUUUACAAGUAUAAGUCACCUCCACCACCUCCUCAUCCGGUACCCACAGUUUACAAGUAUAAGUCACCACCACCACCUCCUCAUCCGGUAUACAAGUAUAAGUCUCCUCCGCCACCACCACACCCAGUUUACAAGUAUAAGUCACCACCACCACCUCCUCAUCCGGUGCCACACCCAGUUUACCACUACAAGUCACCACCACCACCUCCUCAUCCGGUACCACACCCAGUUUACCACUACAAGUCACCACCACCUCCUCACCCAGUUUACAAAUACGAGUCUCCACCACCACCAGUUUAUAAGUACAAGUCACCACCACCUCCUCCACCAGUUUACAAGUAUAAAUCUCCUCCACCACCACCACCAGUUUACCACUACAAGUCUCCACCACCUCCUCCCCCAGUUUACAAAUACAAGUCUCCACCACCUCCUCACCACUACUAAGCAAUUGCUUCUGAGGUAAUAACACUUGUUCAAUAUACCCACUUCUGCAUGAUAAAGCAUAUCUCUAUCAACACAAACUGUCAUGUCUAUCAUGCUAAGUGCCUUCACUUCAUCCACCAAAAUGACUGCUAGAAAAUUUUUUUUAUGUUACCAAAGAAAGGCAUCAUUUUUUCCCUCUGUUAUCAAGAACUUGUACAGUAUAUAGAUUAAAGAGUAUUUUUUUAACUAGCUUAUCAACUGAGAAAUGCAUAUAGCUGAUAGCCAGCUGAAUAUUUGCAGGCAAAGGAGAAGGAAACCAUGUUUGAGACCUUCUUGAAGAUGUAGAAGCAUAAGAAUAAAAGCCCAAUGUGAAGAUGAUGAUUUCAAGUUUUUCUACGUUACCAUUUCUUUAUCUAAAUUGGUUGUAGCGCCCAAGUUCCUUUGUUUAUGGGAUUUGUAUCGUUUUACGUACCAUGCAGUACAUGUCAUGUUUGUAAGGUUUUCUAUCCUGCCGGCAAACCGCAGGUUCCAUGUGAUAAAUGAAUACUAUUUAUGUUACGACACUUUUCUCUGUUUCUCUUAUAUUUUGUCUUUAAUAUUCUUAAUCAUAUUUUUAACAAAAAUAUUCAAACACUUAGGCAAUCUGGUCUAAUGCUAAUUGUAUGUUUUACUUUUCUUUUUCACCUGCUCCCCUUUUCAACUCAAAAGGAUGCAAUAGUUUGUGAUCACUGUUUAAGACGGAAGCAUGAUACUAAUGAAUAUCUCAUUGAAACUCAAGGAAACUAACAUUGCGAAAAGUGUAAAUCUUGAUUUGAUGCAACUAUUUAUUCGUGGAAUCUAUAGUUACAAAACUCAAAUUCUGACUGCGCCAUUGAUAAAUUAUUAAUGACGCUAUCAUCAUUAUUUAUCCCUAACUAGUUUCGACUACAACUGAACCCAAUAUUUUCCCCAUGAUAAAAGUUUUUGACUAUUUUACUGGCCUCUCUUCAAAUUUUAAAAAUUACACUAAUCUUCAUUGAGAUUAAUUAUCUUGUAACAUUUAAGUCCAAUUAAUAAUUAAAAAAUGAUAUUAUGAGAGAGAAAAUAAUAUAAUUUUAUCAUUGCCCCCCAUCUUGCUAUAUUAUUUAAUUAAUUUAAUAGCAACCCACACAUUAAAGAAAAAUACUAAAAUUUGCUGCUUUUCAUUAAAGAUCAAAUUGCAUAUGCCAUAAAACAUAGUAUAUCAUUCUAUAUGUUUCACUUAAUGUAAGAUCCCAAUUGUUCUUUUCAAUUACAAACCCAUUGUCAAACAUGAUCAAUAACAAAUAAUCAAAAAAUUUGCAACCAAAAUAUUACAAAAAAAAACUUUAACAUCAUAAAUAUUCUUACCACCUCUAGUGCAUUCACCCUCAUAAAAUAAUUCAAGACCCUACUGUCAUAAAAUGACUGAUCAACUCCUGUAAACCUAAUUUGACAACAUUUAAAUGGAGAACUUUAGCUAAAAGAAUUAUGGUCAAGCUAAAGAAAAAACCAGUUAUUUUCCAACAUAUGCAACCAUUGAUCAGGGGAAAAAAAAAAGCAAAAAGACAUCUUCAAUCAUUUAAUAGCUUACAGGGCAAAUUAACCCUUGAGUGAAAACUGGUUGCUCUAGAAUUAAAAUUUUACCUUAGUUACCCAGGCAACUUUUUUGUUGCCUUUUCUUUUUCUUUUUUGGGUAUAUAGCUCCAGUUUUGCCCCCUCUGUCAAGCUUAUAUAAUUAUUAAGAUAAUAAAAGUGCCUUUAAUAGUAUUAAUAUAUCCAUUGACUUGAGCUGUCAUCGAUCGGUUUGGGCUACUUCGAUUCCAUGAGAACAAAUGGUAAUAAAAGUACUCAGAAAAUGGGGAGUCAUGAAACCCUUUUGUUCUAUUCAUUGCUAAGAUGCUUUUCUCUAUAAAGAGACUUCCUAACGAAAAUACUUUGUAGAUUUCUUUACUCCAAGUGGUGCAUGGAAAAUUAAUAUUUUCAAUUAUCAAAUAAAAUUCCCUUUUUUCGGCGUAGAUUUCAUCCAUCCAGCUGUUAACACAUUCUAUAAAUCCGAAUUGACUAAUCUUUUCGUUUCCAUUUUCCAACUUGCGAAUACGGCAUAUAGUGUCUGCUAAACACUAUAUAUUCUCUGCCAAAUAUGAAUACAUAUCACUUUUCUGAGCAAGUGCAGAGUCAUUAUCAUUUUUAUUCCCACCUAACAAAUUAGGGAUAAAAAAGUUAAUAAUCUUUACAUGCUAUCAGGUCACAAGUUAAUAAUCUUUUAAAGAACAUGUUAAAUUAAUUUAUUGGUAUGAAUAGUAGUCAAAGAAGUAUGUUAAAGUUAGUAAUCUUUAAAAUAAUAUGUUAAAAUCAUUCGUACAAAUUAGUCAGAGAAGUAGCAUAAACACCGCGAUGCAAUUAAUACUUUCAAUCUCAAGGUCUCUAUUAUGGAAAUUUGCAUCGGUCAAUAUACACUUGGCAUAAUAUAAUCUCCCAACUCAUUUCUUUACAAAUGCACCUUUAAUCACCACCAAAAGGUGUGGACAUGAUCUUUACCCUAGAAAACUAUUCACCGACAGGCAAAUUGACGUCAGAAAUACUGAGGAAUUCUAGUUUCCUUCGGGUUCAUGCCAUGUUGUAUCCUUCAACUGUAACUCGAUUUCUAAGCUGUAAUUUGUGACAUAAUAGUCCUUAAACUAUGAAACCCUUCUUACUUAAUUACAAUGGUUAAUACAAUGCCCGUGACUAGACAAGUAUGAAGCAACCAUAACAGAAAAAAAAUCCAAAAUUAGAGAAAAGAAAGAAGUUUCGCGACCACCACCAGUUUACAAGUCACCUCCACCACCUCCUCCAGUUUACAAGUCACCUCCACCACCUUACCAUUAUUCCUCACCACCACCUCCAGUGCAUUCACCCCCACCACCACCAGUUUACAAGUCUCCGCCACCACCUUACCAUUAUUCCUCACCACCACCUCCUGUGCAUGCACCUCCACCACCAAUUUACAAGUCACCUCCUCCAGUUUACAAGUCUCCACCACCACCUUACGAUUAUUCCUCACCACCACCUCCAGUGCAUUCACCCCCACCACCACCAAUUUAUAAGUCUCCCCCACCGCCUCCCCCAGUAUAUAAGUCACCACCACCACCUCCUCCAGUAUACAAAUCACCUCCACCACCUCCUCCAGUUGACAAAUCUCCACCACCACCAAUUUAUAAAUACAAGUCUCCUCCACUACCUCCUCCAGUGUACAAGUCAUCACCACCACCUGCUUACAAGUCUCCACCUCCUCCAGUUUACAGUUCCCCACCACCACCAAUCUACAAGUCUCCACCUCCACCCUACCAUUACUACUACAAUUCUCCUCCUCCUCCUCGUCACUACUAAGCAAUUGUAUCCAAGUUUUUGAGGUAAUAACGCUUAACCAAUAAAUUAACUUUCGCAUGAUAAACCUUAUCUCUAUCAAGACAAACUGCCAUGUGUAUCAUGCCAAAUACGUACACCUAGAUCCAUGAAAAUGAAUGGUAGAAAGUUUUCUUAAGAACCAAGAACAGCAUUAGUAUUCCCUCUGCUUCCAAAAACUUGUGUAUUAAAUAGAUUAAUGAAUUGUUUAACAUGCUCAUCUACUUGAAAAUGCACAAUACCCAUAACCCACUGAAAUUUUUGCAGGAAAAGGGAAAGAGAAUCUGUGUUUGAGAGCUUCAUGAAGAUGUUGAAGAAUAAGAAUAAAAGCCCAAUGCAAGGAUGUUUUCAAGUUUUUCUAUGUUUCCACUUUAAUUUGUAAAUUGAAUUUUGCGACUCAAUUAAUUCCCUGUUUGUGAGGUACGUAUUGUUUUACGUACCAUGCCGUACAUUUUUUUUUUCCAACAAACGGUAUCAUGUUAUAGAUAUUAACACUUGACCUUACAAGGAUUAGUUACAAAAAGGGGAUACUACCCUCAACUCUGUCCUAGCUAAAUCAGUCAGCCAUAUUGGGAAAUUAGUUUCCCAUUCAAUAUCAUGUACAAGCUUCACAGCAUAUUGUGCUAAUUGAUGGCUGAUGUGAUUUUCAGUUCUAGGUAUAAACACAAAAGAACAUUUUUCAAAAGCUAGACUAAGUUCCUGCACAUCUUCUAAGAUAGUUGCAGUCGUGUAGUCAUACUCCUUGCGUUUAGUAAUCUGCUCUACCACUGAUUUGCAGUCUGUAUGGACUAUAAUUUGUGUCCAACCUGCUUGGGUAGCCAUCAGCAGAGCAUUUCUCACAGCCCGAGCUUCCACUUCACUUGCCGAUCCCUUUCCCUGUGUGACAAUUCCUUUUGCUUUCAAAAGCUGUCCUUUCCAAUUUCUUGCUAUAAUCCCUUGUCCGGUCCUGACUCGUUUAGCUGAUAUCGCUGCAUCGGUAUACAGCCUUAUCUCUUCCUUCCUUGGCCGCACUCUCCUGGUAGGUAAGGCAUCAUUCAGCUUCCCUGCGAUCUCCUUCUGGUCUGUACUCCCUACCUGUUCAAACUCAAGCCAUUCCUCCUGUGCUUUCCUUACUAUUUUUACUGGAUCCUGGUUGGCUUGUUCAAAAAAUUUUUUGUUCCUGGCUUUCCAAAUUUGCCAAAGGAUAUUGAUAGUAAGACUAACUCUCUCCUGACCUUGGUUCAGUGCCAGCGAUUGUGUGACUUGUUCCCACCAUAACCAAAAGUUAUAUUGCAUACCCAGUAAUCCAUCCCACCUGACCGGUGCUAGCUUCCACGUUUCCACAGCCUUUUCACAGAAGAAAAACAAAUGCUCAAUAGUUUCCAUAUCUUCACCACAGCAACCACAUCUGCCUUCCCCUCUAUGUAGCCUUUUCGACAUCUGUUCAUUGACUGGCAGACAAUUUUGUAAGCACUUCCACAUGAAGUGUUUUAGUUUGGCCUUCACCUUCAAAUGCCAUAGCUGCUUCCACACAUUUCGUUUUCGUAUCUCCCAACUUGUUUCUGCCUCUUGGCCUGUCCUUGUACCUGCUUUUCCUUCCCGUUGCCUUGCUAAAGCAUAACCAGAUUUCACGCUAUAAAUUCCAGCUUUGGAAUGCCCCCAUACCAACCUAUCCUUUCUUCUUCCUAUACUUGUUGGAAUUCCCUUUAUGUGCUCUGCAUCUUUUGCACAAAACCACUUGAGAAGCAAAUCAUUUUUCCAUUUCCCUUCCUCUAUCAGCUCACUUACCCAUUCCAACUUGCAUCCCACAGGUUGUGUGGUUGAUGCAAAGCCGGUAUCUGAACCAACUAUCCAUCUGUCCCGCCACAUGUUGACUGACUUGCCAUCUCCAAUUCUUUUCCAAAGACCAUCAUACAGAAAGGAGGCUGCACUAUGAAUACUCUUCCAACACCAUGAGGCUGAAGAGACUGGCUUCUUGUCCAUCCAUUUUUCAUCACUCAUAUACUUCGCCUUCAUUACCUUACUUACUAACAAAUUUGGAGCCAUUAAGAAUCUCCAAAUUUGUUUUGCCAGUAAUGCUGUGUUGAAGGCCUCCAAAUCUCUAAAGCCUAAACCUCCUCUUCCCUUAACUUCUAAGAGCUUCUUCCAGCUUGCCCAAUGUACACAGGUACCCUUUUCUCCCUUCCCCCACCAGAAACUCGCUAUUUUACCUGUGAUUUGUCUACACAAACCCCUUGGAAGUCUAAAGCAAGCCAUCACAUAUGUUGGCAUAGCCAUAAUCACUGAUUUGACCAGAAUUUCUUUCCCUCCUUGGCUCAACAGUUUUUGUUUCCAACCUUGCAACUUGUUACUAAUUUUGUUCUGGACAAAUGCAAAGACCUGUGUCUUUGAUCUUCCAAUUGCCAUUGGGAGUCCUAGGUAGGUUCCAUUCCUUGCCUCUUUAAUGUUAUCUAAUACCUCCCUCACUCCAUUCUUCCUUUGAUCAGUGGUAUUUUUGCUAUAGAAGAUAGCUGACUUUUCAAAAUUCACCACCUGUCCGGAUGCUUGACCAUAUCUUUCCAAUAUGCUUUUGACCUUCCUCGCCUCCUGCUUGGUUGCUUGGCAGCAUAGUAGAGAAUCAUCUGCAAAAAAUAGGUGAGAAACCAUCGGACUGUCCUUGCAUAUUUUGAUCCCUGUAAUUUCCUUGUUCAUCAUAGCUUUAUGGAUCAAACAUGAAAGACCUUCAGCGCAUAUAAUAAACAAGUACGGGGAUAGGGGGUCUCCUUGUCUAAGCCCUCUACUCGGUUGAACACAGCCUACCUUUUGCCCAUUUAAGUUGAAGGAGUAAGUCACAGUAGAUAGGCAAGACAUGAUCCAUUUAACAAAAAUUGGACAAAACCCCAUUUUCAUCAUAACUCUCCCCACAUAUUUCCAUUCGACUCUAUCGUAAGCUUUGGACAUGUCCAGUUUAAGAGCCAUAAAUCCUACCCUUCCCUUUCUCCUAUUUUUCAAAAAAUGCAGGAUUUCAUGUGCAACUACUACAUUAUCAAGAAUUUGACGGCCUGGGAUAAAAGCGGAUUGAGAGGGACUAAUACAAUGAUGCAAGACACCUUUCAAUCUAUUAGCUAUGAUUUUAGAAAUGAUUUUAUACAGGACAUUGCACAAGCUAAUAGGUCUAAAAUGCACCACAGAUUCAGGAGUAUCAACUUUAGGAAUCAACGAAAUAAUAGUAUCAUUCACAGCUUUGAGCAAAUGCCCAGUAUGAAAGAAACUCUUAAUAGCUGCUACCACAUCAUCCUUGAUAAUAUCCCAAUAGUGUUGAAAAAAUAGAGGAGACAUACCAUCCGUUCCUGGUGCUUUAUUAGGGUGCAUCGAGAACAAAGCUUUCCUGAUCUCACUUUCCUCCACUUGUCGUAUCAGUUGUCCAUUCAUAUGACUCGAAAUAGUGCUUGGAAUUUCAGCUAGAAUGUCCUCAAAGCAGUCCGGGUUAGUAGUGGUAAAAAGGUCUUUAUAGUACUCACAAAGUUCCUCCUCAAUCUCAUGUUCCUCCUUGCACCAUGUCCCAUCUUUUUUCUGCAAUAUAGUGAUCUUAUUUCUCCUCCUCUUUGCCAUGACCGAAGAAUGGAAAAAAGCUGUAUUCUUGUCCCCUUCUUUGAGCCACUUGUUCCUGGAUUUUUGACUCCAAAACAUCUCUUCCUCUGCAUAAGCUUUAUUCAAUUGUGCUUUUAGUUCAGCCACUUGUACUCUUUUCCCUUCAUCCUUUCUUGCUUUCACUUCAGCCAAUUUCUCCUUUAACACUUUAAUUCUAACCUUUGAGUUUCCCUGCACCUUUUUCCUCCAAUCCAGAAUAGCCAUGCGACAUUCCUUUAUUUUUGUAGCCACUCUAAACAUCCUGGACCCUGACUUCACCUUUGUCCAUGCUCCUUGAAUCACCCUUUUUGCUUCUGGAUUUAGCGUCCAUCGUUGAUCAAAGUAAAAUCUCCGUUUUCUCCUUGUGUUUUCCGGGUUUGUAUCCACAAGAAGCAUUAGAUGAUCAGAGGCUUCAGUAUCUAAAUGAGUACACUGUGCCUUUUCAAAUCUUUGCAGCCAUUCGGUGCUGCAUAAACAUCUAUCCAACCUCUCUUUCACUUCCCCAUCCCCCUCCCAACUAUUGCACCAAAUCCACGGGACCCCUUGAUAACCUAAGUCAACCAGGUUAUUGUCUUUGAUAAACCUGUUGAACUCCCUAAAACAUCUUUCAGCUCUAUCCCUUCCUCCCCACUUCUCCUCACUAGACCUCAAAUCAUUAAAAUCUCCUACAAUGAUCCAGCCAUCCCCCCAGUCCCUCAUCCUGUCCUCUAAAUAUUUCCAUUGUGCUUUUCUAAUGUUACUAUCUGUGCUUGCAUAAACACACACUAGCCCCCAGUAUCCUUUAGUAUCCUUGUCCUCAACUCUAGCACUAAUACACCAAUCAGUACUUACAAUCUGGUCUAAAAUCACCUCAUUGUUCCAGAAUAAUGCUAGACCGCCUGCUUUACCUAUUGAAUUCACAAAAAAGCUAUUGUCAUACUGAAUCUUCCUUUGAACCUUGCCCAUAAACCCUUCCUGAUUCUUAGUUUCACAAAGGAACACCACCUUAGGAGAGUGGAAGUUAGUCACUUCCUUUAGUUGGGGACUUGUCAAGGGGCCUCCUACACCUCGACAAUUCCACACCACAACCUUCAUUUACACUUUGGAGGCUUUCCGGGGCUAGCCUCCAUUUCCCCUAUUGUACUAACAUUUAUUAGAUCCAGUUUCAUAACCUUUACCUUCGGUACAUUAUCAUCAUCCUCCUCUAUCGGUUGUGUUCCCUGAAACAUACCAUCAGCCUUCCUUUUAGCACACGAAACCUGCGUUACUUGUCCAUUUGUAUCUGCCUUUAAGGAUGUUUUAGCCGGCCUCCCUCUUCUUUUAAAACUGCUUCUUUUUUCAGCUUUGUUAUCUUCUUCCCCUGGAGUAGCCUCCUUUCUUGGCAUUCUUGCAUUUGUCUCCUCCUGCUUUAUUGACCCUACCCGCAAACUUUCACAUUCCUGUUUUGAGCUGUCCGUUUCCAUAUCCUCAUAAUCUACUGGUGGGAUUACGCUGCUCCCUCCUUUACUCCCUUCCUGUACCCUACCCUCCUUUUCACCAUUUCCCUCCAUUAAGACCACAGCCAAACUUUCCACCCGUUGGUUUGCCUUUCCAUACUGCCUGCUGUCUUUUAGAAUCUCAUCCCACCUCUCUUCAUAUUGUCUCGUCAUCAUUUUCUCCUUAUCCCCCCUUUCCUUUCCCCCCAAGACUCUACCAUUUUUUCCCCCAAGAGUUAAUGUAUCUCCAGCCAUUUGUACUCCAGUUUGAACUUCACUACUAGGAGACCCUGCCCCCACCCUCCUUGCAUCAAUUUCACUUACUCCUUCCAGCCGUCCCUUUAAGGGAGAUACCAUUAUAUUUCCAGCUCUCAUCCAGGCACCAUAUUGUUCCUCUCGCUUCUCCCCCCCACCCUUCCUACCACAGUACAAGUCCUAUCACUAUGCCCAAUGAUACCACACCUAUAACAGAAAUCAGGGCAGCGUUCAUACCUGAACUCAACCCACACUGCCUGGUUCUUACAGUUGAUCUUUGUCCCUCUAACCAGUGGUUUCGUUAUAUCUACCUCAGCCAUAAUCUUCAUGUGGCGACCCUCUUUCCCACCACUUCCUGGGAGAAUCACUCCCCUCACUGAUUUAAAGAUCCCUCCUAUUUUCAAACCCACUGCUCUGCUCAACCAGUGCACCGGUAGGUUCCAUAGUUGAAUCCAAAGAAAGGAAUGCUGGAAAAAGCUGCUGUUUGUAUCAUACCCCUCUACCCACUCCUUCACUAUCAGCAACUGGUUGUCCAUGACCCAAGGCCCUCCAGAUAAGAUCUUUUUCUUUUCCCCUUCAUCUCCCAGAUGGAAAUGGAAUAAGUUAGGACCUAACUCAGUCACUUUCAUCUUUGAGGGGUAUCCCCAUGCAUGAUUUGUAAAGUUCUUUAACCCCGUAAAGUUGGCAAUUUUUUCACCAAUCAGCUUUCCUACCAGGCUUCCUUGACACUCAGAGACGCCUUCUUCCAGGUCCUCACCACUCAGAUCGACACCUCCUAACUCUGUUUCAGACAAGUCAAAAUUUUGAAAGGCUCUUUCUAAAGCAUCCGCCAUUGCUGUGACGAGAGCUCCUUGAGAAACCAAGCACUAUUUCUGAGCUAUGAGUGACCCACUGACAGACCUGUGAAGAAUUGCAAAGACAGACAAAGCUGUGUUAUCCGUACACACUAAAAACCAACCAGAAAAACAGAGAGGAACUCGACAGAAAAAGCACAGGCACAAGAAGAAACGAAAGAAAAAAGAAAAACCAACAAACCACUAUCCCACUCCCGACCACAUAACAGCAUUAAAGAAAGGGACACAAAUACGACACUCCAACUUCCGAUCACAUGCUCUGACUCAAUGGAUCAUAUCUUGCCCAAAGCGUUUACUCCUCCAACCGAUUCCAAACCACUACAGACAUUGUCUCCCAUUUUGAAGCCGGAAGAAAGGUGGCUUCUGGACAGGGAACAUGAAAGCAAAGGUUGAACUAAAGAUUUGAUUUUAGAUCUGAAAAUUACGCUGUAGGAAAAAGUGCUAUGUGUUUGUACCUCACCCACUCUCCCACACCGAGGAGGGGAACCUCUAAAGUUAGAGAGAGAAGCUCUCAAGUUAGAGAGAAGCUUUGGAAGUUAAUUACCAACGUACCAUGCCGUACAUGUUUGUAAGGAUUUCUAUCCUAUUGGCAAAAGUCGGUUCCAUACAAUUAAUCAAUUCAUUUCACUUCUAUUGGCUCUACUAUUUAUGCAUGUUACGACACUCUUUCCCUUAUAUUUUGCCUUUAAUAUUAUGAGUCAAUAGUAAUAAUGGGCCUUUUUCUUAAAAUUAUACUAUUAUACAUAGGUAGUUUGGUCUAACGCUAAAUUCAUGUUUGUCUUUCUUUUAUUCCCUUUACAUCUCAAAGUAUACUAUAGUUUGUAAUCAUUGUGGUGAUGAUAUUACCAGCUGGUACUUAUAGUUUAAGGCAGAGACAUGAUAUUAACAACUAUCUCAUUGAAACAUAAGUCAAAAUCAUGACAAGUGUGAGUCUUGGUUAAUGCACAAUUUGUUAGUGGAAUUUAUAUUUAUAAAACUCAAAAAAAAUUUUUGACAAUGCUAUUACUAAUUAAUUAAGGACUUCAUUGCUAUAAUUUAUCGCUUACUAAUUUAAACUAUAAAUGAUCUCAAUACUUUUCUCCAUGAUGUCGAUUUCUUUAGACUACGAAAGGGAAAAAUUAGUGACAUAUCCCUUACUGAUUACAACAUCAGCAAAAAUUAGUUAUAAACUUUUCCGGUGGUUUUAAAUCCCUCGGGCACUAAGGUUUUUUGCACAUCGAGUGAAUUAAGGAACAUAGGCAAUUCGUUCUGCAUACCAAGUCCUUGUUUAAGAUGCACGUACUAAAAUGCAUCCACUUCAUUAAUUUGGAAAAUUGCCAUAGUUUUUUUUAAGCAUUUUGAUUUUUUACAUGAUUCAAAAUUUUCUUAUUGGAUACAAUCACUUUGUGUCAAGAACACAUUUUCAAUCAUCUUUUUUAUCUUCUCAAUAAGAAAAUAAAAAUUUAUUCAUGCUUUUCUAACAUAUCCAAUCAUUGAUCUGAAAAAUAAAGAAUUAAAAAAAAAAGACAUUUUCAAUCAUUGCUUACGGGGCAACUUCCCCAUGUGAACCUCAUCAAACAAAGCCAAUAAUAUGAAGGAACAUCUAAAUACACUUUUGCCCUAAAGGCUGGUUGCCUUGGGGUCAAAAUUUAACCUUCGGGAGUAUAAUUACCCGCCAAAUUUAUUAUUUUUUUUAUGGGUAUAUAGUUCCAAUUUUGCCUCCUGUUAAGCUUAUAAAUAUAUUACGACCCAGAAAAUAAAGGAAUCUUGAAUAGUAACAUGUCCAUUGACUUGAGUUGUUAUCAAUUUGGCUACUUCGAUUCCAUGAGGCCAAUCCAAUUCACACUAGCUAGAGAAAAUGGUGAUAAAGGCACUUAGAAAUUUAUAUGUAAUAUUGAUUGGUAGUAACUGAUAAGUAUAUAUUUUACGUGUUUUAAAUAUGUUUUAUUAGUUAGUUUUGGUGUGUUUUAACUACUUUUAUAACUAAUUAACUAGGAAUCUAGUGAAAAUAUGCAUUUUGUGGUUUGAAGUGUAAAAAUUGUAUUUCUAUGGAUUUUAAUGGUGAAAACUUCAUGUUUUUGUAGGUUUAAUGAUUCAAUCAUCAAAUGACAUGAUUUGAGAAGAUAAUUAGAUGAUUGAUGAUGUUUUGAAGUGAUAAAAAGAGAAUACAAAGUGCAAGAGAGGAAAUGCAAUCAAGAAUAAAAGAAGAAAAUUUUUGUAGCUUUGACAUAUUGUCGUAUUUCGGCAAUAUAUUGAGCUACAAUGAUCGGAUUAAGGUGAUUCUUAAACCAUUUGAAGCUAAAAUAUAGAUCUACAUUUGGCAUGAAGGCAUCGAAACCCAUGUCAGUCAUUUUCCUUGUCAAAAUGUUGAAAUACAGAAGUGCAACUCUGUUCUCGAAAGCUAAAACAGAGCUCUGGCUAGUCGAGGGUAUUUUCAUCAUUUCUUAGUCCACAGAGCUCCAAAUGAGAUGAUUCUUAAGGCAUUAGAACCCUAACUCAAAGAGCUACAACUUUCAUAUUUUGUACAAGAGUUAGUUCGGCCUCUAUCAUUAAGAAAAUAGUAGUUGAAGUGGUGCCAAAUGCAUAGAAGUGAAAACGCGAGCUAUCAAUACUCGACCUGAAGUCGCGUAUUCCUGAGGUCAUGCAUUCUCUUCUAUUUUCUGCAACUUGCCCUGCUUUCACAUAACUUUUUCAUCUCAAUUCCAACUAUCAAUUUCGGCUAUAUCUGAUCAAGAAAAGUGUGGAAAGUUUGAAAGACAACUCAUAGGAGUUUCAAGAGUCAAAAAUUACAAUUAGAAACAACUCAUUUGGCUCUUGAAUCCUCUAUAAAUAGAGGCCUUUGAAGAACAUUUUCACAACUUUGGAAGGUUAGAGAAACUCCACAAAAACAUAGUCUUCACUAGAAUUUCCUUAGUUCAUUAGUUAGGGUAGUAUAGUAUAGUUAGUGUAGCUUUUCCUUCUUGUAUUUAUAGUUAGGUUUGAAUGAAGAUUCAGGAGCAAAGAUAGAGAGGUUGAUCUCAUGUGACAAGGGUGAUAUCUCUUCUACUACUUUCUCUUUUGUAUUUGAUUUCAUAUUUAACUAUACUACAAAUUUGGCUUUGUUUUUUUUUUUUUAUCAUGUUUAGUUAAAGUUUAUGCCUAGAGUAUGGAUGACCUUUUUAUAUCUUGUUUGUGAUAUUUAACUGGUUAUUUGAUGAUGUUAUUUUUGAGCAAGUUAUUUAUCACUUUUGCUUUUCUAAUCAUGAUUAACUGGCCAUUAGUUGUGAUUAUCUAAAAGUGUUAAGUUUGUAAUGAGAAUUGGAGUUUAACACUAGUUCAAGGAAGUGAUAAAUUUAGGGAGUUCACUCAUGAGAGUAGAGGAACACCUUUGUGACCUAAGUGACUUGUUUCAUAUAAUUUCAUAGAAAAAAUGAACUUGUAAUUAAUUUCAUAACCACGAGAGUAAGUAUGGUUUAGCUAUAUGUAUAGUUGAUUCACUACGAGAGUAGGUUUCACAUACAUUAGAAAAUUACAUCAUAACUAGUCAAGAUAAUAUCAUUCAUUUAAUCAGUAAUCUCAUUUGCAUGAGUAGUAAGGCAUUCCAUAUCUCUAGGAGGUUUUUAGUAUUAUUUUCAUUACUUUUAUGUUUAUGGUAGUCUAGAUAAUAAUGGAGUUCGAAAACUACUAGUAAUUGAAAAUUUUCCCUGUGGGAUCGACCUUUAAUACCCUAUACUCGCUCUCGACUCGUAUACUUGAGAAAAAUCACGUGUGCGGUAUUUAGAAUUUAUAAAUGUAAAACUUGACUGUAGAUGAACUAAUUGAUAUAUGUAUACCCCGCACUCGUCAGUAACCAGCUUGUAUUGAUCCCACUAUUGUGGAUAAUUGUGCUCUUAUGAAAAAAAAUUAUAAAAAAAUUAGCAAAAUUUAUGAUAACAAAUUAAAUUUAUUCAUACAAAUCAGUGAAAGAAGUAGAAUUUUAAAGUCCAUGAUGAAAUUAAUACUUUCAAGGGCUCUAUUAGGAAGACUUCACUUGUUGGUGAAACUACACUAGCACAGUUAUAUGCACAUUUACUGUUUUGGUAUCUAAUUUCCUUGCCUUAAGUUGGGUGCAGAUGUUUAUAUUACAAAUAGAUGGUAUCAUAAAAUUGUUGUAUUCACGUUUGUUCUUUUUUUUCUUCCUUAAGUUUUUUUCUUUAUUCUCGUGACUUCAAAAAUACGAACUCAAGAAAUUGGCUGCUUAAUCAAUAUGUCAUACAGGCUUCGCUAGUGAGGUAUAACUUCACAACUAGAGUCAAUAGAAAUUAUCAAAUGAUUUUUUAACAUCCAAAUUAAGCAAUAAAUUUUGUUUUCAUUUUAUGACAUAUAAUAGUACUACUUCAUGAGAGAUUUUAUAGUUUCUUUUAGGUAUCAUACCUACAAGUGAUAUUUGUCAUUGGAUAGUGACAGAAGUGUUAAUGAUUGUAAGAUUAAAUAUUGUUAAAUAUUGAAAUUUAAACUAUUUAUCUUUAUUGAAAGAUACAAGUUAAAGAAUCGUUCAAGGGGGCAAUUUUCCAUCUUGUCUUUUUGAAAAAACGCUAUCACAUUGUAUAGGCAUGAUAGGUUCAAAUUUGUCAUUAAAUUUAUGAUUGAUUUUCCUUUUAUUCAAGCCAAAUAUUGUUUUAAUUAUCAAAUUCUACUUAUAUUUGGUUAAUUGUACUAAUUGUAGGGCGGUAGAGCAAAAGUUGCUAAAAAUAGGCGAUUUUCUGCAAAUUGGUUGUCAAGGCUGAAGGAUUUGGGAUUCGCAUGUUCAAGGCCUGUUUCCAAGUUUGAUUCAAACUCUGGACAGUUUUAGAGGAAGAUUUGGAAGAUUUGAAAUUUCAUUAUUAGUUUUAUGGUUGAAUUAGGAAUCUUGGAAUAAUUUCUUUUGUGAUUUAUUUUUCUAUUUAGGAGACUAGUUGUUAUUUAGUAGUAGACUUCAAUUAGAAAACAAAGAGAAAAAGAAGGCCGGAAUCCCGCUUGAUUAAUACCUUGGCCAGGGAACAAUCUCGGUGGGGAGGACGGCCACUUAGCCUCUCAAUUCAUCUUGCUUUUCGUUAGUUUGAGAGGAAAACCAAUUGCAACUAGAUUCAAUGGAGUCUGGCAGAAUUUCUUCUAGGAUGCGUAGCUAAAUCCUCAAUUUUUAGUCGAAGGUCAAUUUGAAAAUUCGGUUCCAAAUAUCUGUGAAAUCGAAUUAUUUUACUUAUUUCUUUUAUUUAUUGGUAUUCGCACGUUUUCUGAUUUAACUUUUUAUGAUUGUUUUGUUAUUUGAAUGUCAAGGGUCCGAUAUUCGAAUUAACUUAAUAAUCUACUGCCAAAUUAACCGGUUAAAUCCGUAAUUGUUUGAUUGAUUAAUAUCAGUGGCGACUAGCGUGAUUGGUCCCAUGUUAGGAAAACGUCUGAUCUAAUUUAAACAAACCGUCGUAGCGUGUUUGUUGAUUAGGGUUGGGCUUUUCUAAUUCUUAAUUCAAUUGAGAAAUUAAAUCCCCCGGUCGUACCUAGGAUUAUUUUUUUGUUAGCGAAAUAGUUAAUGGUCGUACCUUGACUAUCGAAAAAGUAAGGAAGAGUUGAUUGUUUAUCGCGUGUACGACAACUAUAAUCAAUCUAUUAAUGAGUAAUUGAAUUAUCUUUGCAUCAGUAAUCAGUUGAAUGGACCGUGUCUGAAAAGUUGUACCUUUGGCUAGAGUCUUAUCUGUUGUUGAUUCAUUCAUAUCUAUCUUCAUGCGUUGUUUUAAUUUAGUUAAUUAGUUAUUUUUAUAAAAACCCCUCAUCUCUGGACUCUAAAAGAAAUAAAUUAUUUCUAGUUCCUGUGGAUUCGAUCCUACUCACCAUACAAUCCAACCUGCAAUUGUAUGAACCCCAAUCUCGCUUCCUAGUCCACCAUUUUUCUCUAGGUAAUAAUCUCCCUUCUAAUUUCUUCACAAAAUGCACCUUUCAUCACCUCCAAUAGCGUCGACAUGAUCUUUACCCCAGAAGACUAUUCACCGACUCUCAAUUGACGUUAGAAAAUCUAAGAGUAAUUCUACUUUACCCUAAGAUUGAUAUCAACAAGACAAGGACAAUUUAGAAUUAUUACACGCCUCUUCUUAAUAGGAAAAAGAAAUAGAGAAGAAAGUCAGGCCAGGUCUAAUUUCUUUUCAAAGGCAAUACAACAUUACGAAAUCAAGCAUUCAUUCAUACAAAUAUUUCAUAGUCACCGGUUUGCUGAGUAGAAAAAUUUAGACAAAAACUUAAUAUUAUAUUGUUUAAGAGUUAACAAUUUAGAGCUUAAUCUCCUUGUACUUUGGAGUUAACAAUUUAGAGCUUAAUCUCCUUGUACUUUGGACUAAACUUGAACGUGAAAGGAAAUCCCAAAACCAUAUUGGGCAUGAAUUCACACUUAAUAUACCCAAUAAAAGAUGGCGACUGGUGAAAGGCAGUGGAGACUGGUGGAGAGAUUUGAGGAAUAGAAGCAGACGGAAAAGCAACAAAUUUUUGCCGAAAAACGGUCACUUUCAUGGUUAAUUUUGCUACUCUCCAAUUGUACUUGACCAAUUACAACAAUUUCAUGGAGUUUGAUACGUGAAAAGAAUUUUUUAUAAAUUUUAUUUUGAUCCAUAAUGUUAUCUUUACAUAUAUAAAACAUUUUACAAUUUUGAUUUUGGCGCAGUUAACUUUUGGUAAACAAAAAUGCUCAUGUUUAAAAAACCGGAAAUAAAACAAAACAAGAAACAAAAGAAAUAAGAGGGUAGCAUAGACAUUUUGGAUUUUUCCGUUAAUUUGGAUGAUUUCCACCCACGUUCUAAUUUAAUCCAAAACACAAAGGAAUUACGUAGAGGUUUUAAAUAAUGAGGGAGCUUCAUGAUCGAACCCCAAACCACAAGGCGAUUUACUAUAUUUUACUCUUAAAUUUUGGUUUCAUCUCAUAGCAUACAAGAGUUCUAUUUCACUAUCUGUAGACAAAGACUUUCUAUGGUUGAUGUACCAUAGGAAAAAAUCUGCCUAUACAACGUGAUAGCAUUUUUUCAAAAACACAAGAUGGAAAAUUGCCCCCUUAAACGGGGAAAUUCAUGAUCUUUCCUCGAACAAAGAAUACUCACGCCUAUUCAAGAUGGAAAAUUGCCCCCUUAAACGUCUAUUUGUCAAUUCUUGAAAAAAGAAUACUCACGCCUAAAACACGGCCUCUUCAUCUGCAGAAUUCUAAAAAGUUAGGUAAACUCUAUAAACAAGUUGAUAGGUACAAUCGUACCCAAGAUCAAGUACAGAUAGUUGUACAUUCACUGCUGCAAUAACUAAUCUGAUGACUUACAAACAUAUCAUGGUCAAUCGUUGAAUGGUAAUGAGUCUUUUGUUAUGCAUUAGUAUUAGUGUGUACACUCUAAUAGAUUGAUACUUAUACUCUUUAAAUUAUCAUAAUAAUACCCUUAAUUAACUUUAACUCUUAAAAAGAAUACGUGUUAAUACACGAGAGUGUGUAACCUGAAUUGUUACUUAUACAUUAGUGUGUAAUAGAUAGGGAUGGCAAUGGGGGCGGGUGCCCGCAGGCAACCGCCCCGCGGGGGGCUCUCGGGGCGGGGAGGGGGGAAUUUUUUCCCCCCGUUUAGAAACGGGGCAGGGGACGGGGGAGUAUACCCCCGCCCCAUCCCCCGCAAAAAAAAUUAUAUAUAUAUAAUUAUAUAUAAUAUGUAAUUUAAUUAGUUAUAAACUUAUGAUAAUGAUAUUAUUAGUUAGAUGUAUUAUAUAAUGUAUAUUAGUGUAUGUAAUAUAAUUAAUAUUAUCAAUUAUACGAAUAAUUAGACAUGUCUACUAAUAGAAUUUAUUAAUUAGUUAUACUAAAUUUACUAAUACAUUUAUACUAAAUUUCUAAUUACAUUUAAUAGAAUAACACUUUUUUCUAAAAAAAAAAGCACAAACACAAUAAUGAAUUAGUGAUUGUAUUUUUACCAAAAAUGAAAACUUAACUAUUUUAGUUGCAUUUAUUUCAUCAUGUUGGAUUGUAUUCAAAUAAUUUUUGUUUGAUUGUUUUUAUGAGUUUCAAUUGUAAAAUUAAAAUGAAUAAUAACUUGAUGAAUAAUAAUGUCAAUCGUUGAAUGGUGUGUACACUCUAAUAUUAUGCAUUAGUAUUAGUGUGUACACUCUAAUAGAUUGAUACUUAUACUCUUUAAAUUAUCAUAAUAAUACCCUUAAUUAACUUUAACUCUUAAAAAGAAUACGUGUUAAUAACUCUUAACCUGAAUUGUUACUUAUACAUUAGUGUGAAAUAGAACGGCAAGCAUUGAGCAACUUAUAGGAGAAAUAGUCCUAUAAGCUGUUGGAUGACUAAUAUAGCUCUAGCUGUAAUGUUUUAAUUAAAUUACAUCACUAACGUUGGGAUGACUAAUGGUUUAAAAAUAAUUGAGUAAUUGGAAAAAAAAAAAGAGACUAAUUUUCAUUGAAACCCACCGACAAACUAAACGUGUCCAUGGCUUUUGAAUAGUGCAUUCAACGUUUAAUUGUAUAGUCCAGUUCAUUGCAGAUUACAUGGAGUAAAGAUUGUGCUCUUUCCUUUUUCACCCCUUUUGGAAUCGAUACUGUGGAGAAUUGGGUUUUUCCCUUCUUUUUUUCUUUUCUUUCUUUCUGUGCUUUGCAAAACAUAGGUAAAAUUAUGAAAUCCGAAGCAUUCUUUAAUUGGGAUUAAGUAUUGUUCUUGAAAUUAAAAAGAAGAAAGAAAGAACAACAAAAUUCCCUGAUUGGUUGCAUCGUGCUUCCAUAGAAGCUCUCUUAGUGUGAUACACUGCUUUCAAUCAGUUUAACAUGGAAAAAAGAAAGAGAUGAAAAGCAAAUUUGGUGGGGAUAAUUUCAGAAACCUCCCCUGAAGAUUUUGACUAUUCUACUGGUCUCCCUUCAGAUUUUAAAAAUUACACUAAUCUUCCUUGAAGUUAUAACAUUUAAAUUCAAUCAAUAAUUUAAAAAAUGAUAUUAUGAAAGAGAAAAUAAUAUGAUUUUAUCAUUGCCCCCCAUCUUACUACAUUAUUUAAUUAAUUUAAUAGCAACCCACACAUUAAAGAAAAAUAUAAAAUUUGUUAUUUAUCAUUAAAGAUCAAAUCGCUUAUAACAUCAAAUAAUAGUAUAUUAUUUAUAUUUUUCACUUAACAUAAUAUCCAAAUUACUCUUUUCAAUUACAUACUCAUUGUUAGACAAUCAACAACAAAUAACCAAAAAAUUUGCAACCAAAAUAUUACAAAAAAAAAUAAACUUUAACAUCAUAAAUAUUCUUAUCAACAUAUUAAAGUUAGUUACUGAAAUUUUUAUGGUGUUAAACUUCACUCUUUGUAAUAUUUUGGUUACAGAUUUUUUUUGAUUAUUUUUUAUUAAUUAUGUUUGAUGAUGGGUUUGUAAUUGAAAAGAAUAAUUUAAAACUUACAUUAAGUGAAAUAUAUAGAGUGAUAUACUAUUUUUUAUAACAUAUGUGAUUCAAUCCUUCUUGAUAGGAUUGGUAAUAGAGGUAGAGGGGGGAGUCGGCUGCAUCCGGUCUUCUUUUCAUAGAUAGUACAAUAUUGCGAAAUCAAUCGCAUUCACACAAUAAUAUUUCGAAGUCAAUGCAUGGCUAAGUUGCAUAAAAGUACGAACACUUGUUAUUAUAUAGCUUAAGAUUCAAAACUUUAGAGCAUAACCCUCCACCUAACACAAUUGAAUAAUGAAUAUUCACGUUUGUCAAAUCUGUCAAAGCACAGUUUGAGGACAACCCAUUCCAACCUGCAAAAGAUUUUUUACUUUUCUAAAGUUGUUGAGAGCUGUAAAAAGACCUACCAUGCUUACAUCCUCCGAGCCUUGGGAGUUAAAAAUGAAGGCACUGAGUGCUAUAAAAAGGGGGCUAGAGGCUGCCUAGAAGCAUAUCAGCCUAAAACAAGAAUUUGUUGUUAUGAUGGGAAGCAAAGCAAAAGCAAUGGGGUCUGGGCUGACUCCUCUUCUUGCCACUGUUUUAGUGGUAUUUGUUGCUCUUGGCUUGCCCUCAGAAACAGCAGCUGAUGAUCACUACAAGUAUUCAUCUCCUCCUCCUCCUUACCACUAUCCCUCACCACCGCCUCCAGUGCAUUUACCUCCACCAGUGUACAAAUACAAGUCCCCACCACCACCUCAUCAUGUUUACAAGUACAAAUCUCCACCACCCCCACCACCACACCCAGUUUACAAGUAUAAGUCACCACCACCACCUCCUCAUCCGGUACCACACCCAGUUUACAAGUAUAAGUCACCACCACCACCUCCUCAUCCGGUAUACAAGUAUAAGUCUCCUCCGCCACCACCACACCCAGUUUACAAGUAUAAGUCACCACCACCACCUCCUCAUCCGGUACCACACCCAGUUUACAAGUAUAAGUCUCCUCCGCCACCAGUUUACAAAUAUAAGUCUCCUCCACCACCACCUCCAGUGUACAAGUACAAGUCUCCACCACCACCAGUUUACAAGUACAAAUCACCACCACCUCCUCCCCCAGUUUACAAAUACAAGUCUCCACCACCACCAGUUUACCACUACAAGUCACCACCACCUCCUCACCCAGUUUACAAGUACAAAUCUCCUCCACCACCAAUUUACCACUACAAGUCACCACCACCUCCUCCCCCAGUUUACAAAUACAAGUCUCCACCUCCUCCUCACCACUACUAAGCAAUUGCUUCUGAGGUAAUAACACUUGUUCAAUAACACUUGAUAGCCAGCUGAAUAUUUGCAGGCAAAGGAGAAGGAAACCAGUGUUUGAGACCUUCUUGAAGAUGUAGAAGCAUAAGAAUUAAAGCCCAAUGUGAAGAUGAUGAUUUCAAGUUUUUCUACGUUACCAUUUCAAUAUCUAAAUUGGUUGUAGCGCCUUAGUUCCUUUGUUUAUGGGAUUUGUAUCGUUUUACGUACCAUGCAGUACAUGUCAUGUUUGUAAGGUUUUCUAUCCUGCCGGCAAACCGCAGGUUCCAUGUAAUAAAUCAAUACUAUUUAUAUUACGACACUUUUCUCUGUUUCUCUUAUAUUUUGUCUUUAAUAUUCUUAAUCAUAUUUUUAACAAAAAUAUUCAAACACUUCAGCAAUGGUUCACCUAGUUGAUCAUCGAAGCAGAGGCAAUUCCAAUUAUUUAUCAAUAAAUAGGAUAUAACUACCAAACAAGCGAUGGCAGUUAACCCCUCCUUACUGUGUCGGUGAUCAAGGUACGCCCGUUAAUCACUGCUCUAAUUGAGAAAUAAUCCUAAGUACGCCCGUAGAAUUUAAUUCCCCAAUUGCCUUACAUAUUAGAGGAGCCCUAUUCUAACCAAAUAACGCACUAUCAGGGUUAUUUUAGAUUAGCCCGCGUAUUCCCCUGACAUAAAUCUAAUCAUGCCAGUUGUCAUUAUUUUGAGGUAAUUAAACAAUUACGGAUUUAACACCUCAAUUGACAAUAGAUUAUUAAAUUAAUUAAUUAUUCGGAUCCAAGACAAUCAAUUAAUUAAACAACCAUAAGCACUACAAUCAGAGAAUAUGCAAAUACCAAUAAAUAAAUAAAAAAUAAAAUUAAAUCGAUCUCACAAUUUUUAGGCGAAUCAGAGCAUCCGUUGUCCCUUGACUAGAGCAAGGAAAUUAGUUCAUAUUUGAUGAACUAAACCCAUACAAAAGGGAAGCGAGAAAUGCAGCCAUUAUCCUUUGAAAUCUGGAAAAUUCAACUUGUCCGAAUAUCGAAUAGAUAGUAAUACUACAAAAGGUAAUUCAUAGCUUCCCUUUCGUCUGACACACAAGAAGAAAAAAAAGGGCUGCUAAUAACUAAAGGAGGAAAAGUCAAAGUCCUAAGCUAUGCUACAAGACGAAAAACUAAAGAAGACAAAAAGGCAGUGCUCAUUCCCUGCAAUCUCAAUUCCUAUUCUAUCUAAGUGCUCUCCAAUGUGCGGCGGCUCCCCUUCCGGAGAGGACGAAGUGGCACCCUUUUUUCCUGCGCAAUUUUCCUAUAUAAAGUAGUGCUCCUUGCAGCGGCUCCUGUGCGAAAAAAUGAAGACUUCGGCCCAAUUUGCCUAACAAGGGCUCACGUUUUGUUGUUCUAAAAAUGUCCCUAGGACAAACUCUAUCAUCUGAACUCUUUUCUUGCCAAAUUAGUACCUGUUAUUAUAUUUUCGUUCUACUCCCUGAAAUAAAUGCAAAAUAUCAAAAGUGAGUAGAAUCUAGCAAUUAAUCCACAUUAGGUCAGGUAAUAGGGAAAAUUAAUAAUAAAAUAAAUGAUAAAAUUGCAAUCUAUCACGGGACCACUGUGGUAAGGUGUGUUUCGCCUAUUAUAAGGAGUUCGGAGAGUUAGACGUGUUGGAGGCGGAGGCGCGGUCACUCCUGCACGCCCUCCAGCUGUGUGCAGAUCGCGAGGUACGGGCGUUGACUGUAGAAUCUGAUUCAAAGGUGCUUGUUCAACUAGUUUGCUCGGAUAUGAGGUCGAAGUGGCCGGUGUGUAUCGUAUUGCGGGAAAUAAGACAUUUGAUCCGGCGGAUGGGUGCAUCCCUUCAUCAUAUAUUCCGUGAGGCCAAUUCGGUGGCGGACGCAUUGGCUUCUCUGCAAUUGGGAGGGCAGCAGUACUACACCUCAGGCGUGGCGCUGCCUUUCAGGCCCAGAGGAGAGGCUCUGCUGGAUCGUCAAGGAGUACCUCGCAUCCGUGAGGCGCUCACUAAGGUUUGAUAGGCUAUGUCCUCCUUUCAAAAAACUUAUUUCAUCUACUCCUUGUAAUCAUUUUUCUUAUCAAUAAAUUGAGGCUUUUUAUUUAAAAAAAAACAUAUAAUUUAAGGCAAAAAUAUGAUCCUAGCGAGUAUCGCACUGAGACAUUAGGAAACAUCAUUAAAAGAGUAUUUCUUGAGUUAGUGCAACUAUUUCUUAGGGGAAUUUAUAGUUACAAAAUUCAAAAAUUUGAGAUUCUAUUACUGAUUAAUUAAGGGCGUUAUCACUAUUUUUCUUAUUAUCACCAUUAUUUACCCCACAUACUAUAAGUUUUUUUAGGGCACAGGAAAAGAGGUGGGCCGAUGUUUAGUUAUGUACAAAAGUUCAAAAUUUGUAGAUAACUUAUCAUGUGCCCUUAGAGCGUAGAAUACAGAAAAAAUAUCUUAAACUAUAACUAAUCCUAAUAUUUUUCUCUAUGAUAAACUAGCUCUUAUCCAUUUCUUUAGAUGAUGAAAGGAAAUAGUUAGUCACCUGUCCUCUAGUGAUUACAACAGCAUCAAAACAAAUUAGCACUCUUUUCCCGUAGUUUAAAAAUCCCUCAGCCACUAAGAUUUUGCAUGUCGAACGAAUUAAGGAACAUAGAAGGUUCGUGCUGCACCACAGUGUCCUUGUUGACGAUGCAAAGACAGAAAUGCAUCCGCGUAUACUUCCUUAAGCAUUUUGAUUACUUUAUGAUUCGAACUUUUCUUGUCUGACAGCUGGACUUAAUUGAAAAACACAAGUAACAAUAUUUCAAAGUUGAUUCGUCAAAGUUUACCCAAUUGGUGAAACUUUCUUCAUAGAGCUGACUUUGUAUUAGGUGACAAUGAUAUGGAAUUGAUGUCCUUCCCUUUUUCCUUUUUUUGUGUUGAAGACGCACAACGUUUUCAAUGGCAAAUUUAUAUGGGCUUUUCACGACAAAAUGUGUUCUGAAAAGUUCAUUCCAGAGGUUAAAAUUUUGUGUGUUAAAAAUUUGCUUCUCAGGACUUUGAUGGGAAAGUCUUGGUGUUUCCAAAAAGUUUAAGCAGGAUGCUUCUGGCUUUCUCUCCAUGUAUUUGUGAGUUAGAUCUAAAAUUAUCAGGGCUCCAGAGAUCUCUUGAAAUCGCAGCAUAUAUUGAAGUCUUUCCAGAAGGAGUCUUUUUUUUUUUUUUUAUGAAUUAUGAUAGAUAAUUAAUCUGACGGUGCAUAUAUAUAUAUAUGUGAUUUGCAGUAGGGUGUUUGACGAAAUGGUUAGGCUUCCUAAGUAAUGAUAGGAAUGCCAUUUGCAAAGAAGGACAGGGGGCUGGUGCUGUCAUAUUUUAUGCGAUUUGAUCCGUUGUUGUAUAAGUUUAAACUUUUGACGUGCAAUUGUGCUAUAAUAUUAUACUAAAUAUAUGUGUGAAAUAUUUUGUCUAUAUACAUCACUUUUAUCAUGAAUACAACAGCUGAGUAUAAUAAUAUAGUAUAAUGUAAUUGUACACCAAAUAAUGUAGCAAAUAUAACAAUUGAUCCGAAUUACACGGAACCAUAACAACAAGAUCACCGCCUCCCAAAUUUUACAAAAUUAGGUUUUUUUUUUUUCUCUUAGAUUAUUGAAAAUUUUCAAAAAUAAUCUACAUAAUUUAAGCUUUUGUCCUACAAAAAUUUGAAGAGAUUUUACAUUACAAGCUUAAGCUUAGAUAUAUUAAACUUUGCCCCCAAGAUUAAUUUUCCGUUUUUAUCUAUGAACCGAUCCAUAUAGCUAGUUAGACUGUAGUCCUCACAUUUGUGGGAUUUAACACCCAAGAUUCUCCUUCUUGGAAUGUAAAAUGUAGAUCUUCUAUGUUAAUAAUUCAAGACCCUACUGUCAUAAACGAAAUGACUGAUCAACUCCUGUAAACCUAAUUUGACAACAUUUAAAUGGAGAACUUUAGCUAAAAGAAUUAUGGUCAAGCUAAAGAAAAAGCCAGUUAUUUUCCAACAUAUGCAAUCAUUGAUCAGGAAAAAAAAAAAAAAGCAAAAAGACAUCUUCAAUCAUUUAAUAGCUCACAGUGCAAAUUAACCCCUAAGCGAAAACUGGUUGCUCUAGAAUCAAAAUUUUACCUUAGUUACCCAGGCAACUUUUUUGUUGCUUUUUUUUUUUUCUUUUCCUUUUUGGGUAUAUAUAUAGCUCCAGUUUUGCCCCCUCUGUCAAGCUUAUAUAAUUAUUAAGAUAAUAAAAGUGCCUUGAAUAGUAUUAAUAUAUCCAUUGACUUGAGCUGUCAUCGAUCGGUUUGGGCUACUUCGAUUCCAUGAGAACAAAUGGUAAUAAAAGUACUCAGAAAAUAGGGAGCCAUGAAACCCUUUUGUUCUAUUCAUUGCUAAGAUGCUUUUCUCUAUAAAGAGACUUCCUAACGAAAGUACUUUGUAGAUUUCUUUACUCCAAGUGGUGCAUGGAAAAUUAAAAUAUUCAAUUAUCAAAUAAAAUUCCCUUUUUUCGGUGUAGAUUUCAUCCAUCCAGCUGUUAACACAUUUUAUGUAUCCGAAUUAUAUAUUCUCUACCAAAUAUUGUAACUUUUCUGAGCAUCUUUACAUUUUUAUUCCCACCUAACAAAUUAGUUGUUGAGCAUCUUUACAUGCUAUCGGAUCACAAGUUAAUAAUCUUUUAAAGAACAUGUUAAAUUAAUUUAUUGGUAUGAAUAGUCAAAGAAGUAUAUUAAAGUUAGUAAUCUUUAAACACCACGAUGCAAUUAAUACUUUCAAGCUCAAGGUCUUUUUUUUUUUUUUUUUUGGUACUGUACUUCCUUGCUUUAUAGUAUGCACGUUUAUUUCUGUGGAUUGCUUAAGCUUAUAUUGUUAAUAAUUGGGCAUUUAACCAUAAAUUAUAAUGAUUAUGAAGUCAUAUAUAUAUAUAUAUAUAUAAGAAAAUUACCACAAUUAUUCAAUUUUUUUUGCAAAUUCAAAUUUUAUUAAUAAGAAAUAGGCAGUAAGCUUUUACAAACGGAAAAAAAAAAUCCUACAACAACUCUAGGACCUUUGAAAGAAAGAAAAAAAAAAGAAAAGAAAAGCUUAAGGACUCUACCUCAUAGAAGCUAAACAAUCCUACAAAUAAACUGCAAAAUAAAUCACAAUAACGCAAAAUUUUUGUCUUUCUUCCGUAUGAAAUGAAACUACGAAGUCAAGAAUUGACUCCUUUAACCGCUAUUGCCAGCGGGCUCCGUCAGCAAGAUACAACUUUGCAAUUUGAUUCAAUAGAAAUCCUCAAAUAGCUAUUUUGACAGGCAAAUUAAGCAUUAAUUUUGGUAUCCCUUCAUAAAAUACAAGAGUACUUUUGAUUAUAUCUAUAGAUCAACUUUCUAGGCUAUUUUGAUGUAUUAUAAGAAAAUCUGCCUCAACAAUUUUGAUAGCAUUUUUCCAAAAGCAGAAGAUGGAAAAUUGCCCAUUUGUACUGGGGAGUUCGUGAUCUUUUCCUCCUUCUAGUCUACUUACAAUUCUUGGAAAAAGGAAUACUCACAUCUCAAACAACUGCCUGUUCAUCUGCAAUGUCCUGCCGAAUUCUAGAAAGUUAGGUGGCAAUGCUAAUUACAUUUCAAAAUUGACUGCUGCGAUGACUAAUUCGAUGGCUUACUACAUGGUCAACGUUUGGAUCCCUUCCUGUCCUUUUUGGAUGCACAUUUUUUUUCUCUAGGCAAUAUAUAAUCUCCCAACUCAUUUCUUUACAAAUGCACCUUUAAUCACCACCAAAAGGUGUGGACAUGAUCUUUACCCUAGAAAACUAAUCACCGACAGGCAAAUUGACGUCAGAAAUACUAAGAGGAAUUCUAGUUUCCUUCGGGUUAAUGCCAUUUUGUACCCUUCAACUGUAACUCGAUUUCUAAACUAUAAUUUGUGACAUUAUAGUCCUUAAACUAUGAAACCCCUCUUACUUAAGUACAAUGGUUAAUACAAUACCCGUGACUAGACAAGCAACCAUAACAAAAAAAAAUCCAAAAUUAGAGAAAAGAAAGAAGUUUCGCGACCAAAGUAUGUAUCAAGGCAUAGUAUAGAAAUAAAAGUGUCCAAAUUAAGAGUUUAGGGAUAAAAGAGAUCAAGAUAUAGUUUAGGGAUUGAUUUGUCUCAAUUAGAGUUUUGAUGUCAACUAAGAAGAGAGAUAUAGUUGAAGGGUAGAAUAUAGAUAUAACAGUUCAAUGAUUGAUAUCAACGAGACAAUGACAACUUUGGAUUAUUACCAACCUCUUCUUGAUGGGAAAAGGAAAUAGAGAAGAAAGUCGGGCCUGGUCUAAGCCUGCUUCGGAGGCAAAACAACAUUAUGAAAUCACCGGCAUUCACACAAAUAUGUCAAAGUCACCGGCAUGCUAAGUUGCAUAAUUUAUACAAACACUGAAUAAUAUAUUGUUCUUAAAAUUUUUGUUUAAGAUUUAACAAUUAGAGCACGGUACACGAAUUAGCAAUAUUAAAUAAUGAAUGUUCACGAUUGAUAAAGUUAUCAAAGUACAGUUUGAGGACAACCCAUUCCAACGUGUACAAGAUGUUUAGCCUUUGAAAAGUUAAUUAGAGAAGGUGACGAGAUUUUACUAGGCUUAAAUCUUCUAGGCCUCGGAAGUAAAAAAUGAAGGCCUUUGAGUGCUAUAAAAAGGGGGCUAGAUGUUGCCUAGAAGCAUAUCAGCCUCAGACCACAUUUUGUAGCAAUGGGGAGCAAAGCAAAAGCAAUGGGGUCUAGGCUGACUCCUCUUCUUACCACCGUUUUAGUGGUAUUUGUUGCUCUUGGCUUGCCUUCAGAAACUGUGGCUGAUUACUACAAGUAUUCAUCUCCUCCUCCUCCUUACCAUUAUUCCUCACCACCACCUCCUGUGCAUUCACCUCCACCACCGCCAAUUUAUAAGUCACCCCCACCACCUUACCACUACUCCUCACCGCCACCUCCAGUGUAUUCAUCUCCACCACCACCUUCGCCAGUUUACAAGUCUCCGCCACCACCUUACCAUUAUUCGUCACCACCGCCUCCGGUGCAUUCACCUCCACCACCACCUGUUUACAAGUCACCUCCACCACCUUCGCCAGUUUACAAGUCUCCGCCACCACCUUACUAUUAUUCGUCACCACCGCCUCCGGUGCAUUCACCUCCACCACCACCGAUUUACGAGUCACCUCCACCACCUCCUCCAGUUUACAAGUCUCCGCCACCACCUUACCAUUAUUCCUCACCACCACCUCCAACGCAUUCACUCCCACCACCAGUUUACAAAUCACCGCCACCACCUCCUCCUAUGUAUAAGUCCCCUCCACCACCUUAUCAUUAUUCCUCACCACCACCUCCAGUGCAUUCACCCCCACUGCCACCAAUUUACAAGUCUCCGCCACCUCCAAUCUACAAGUAUAAGUCACCACCACCUCCUCCCCCAAUUUACAAGUCACCACCACCACCUCCUCCAGUAUAUAAGUCCCUACCCCCACCAGUGUAUAAGUACAAGUCUCCACCACCACCUCCUCCAGUAUACAAAUCACCUCCACCACCUCCUCCAGUUUACAAAUCUCUACCACCACCAAUUUAUAAAUACAAGUCUCCUCCACCACCUCCUCCGGUUUACAAUUCCCCACCACCACCAAUCUACAAGUCUCCACCUCCACCCUCCCAUUACUACUACAAUUCUCCUCCUCCUCCUCCUCAUCACUACUAAGCAAUUGUAUCCAAGUUUUUGAGGUAAUAAUGCUAAACCAAUAUAUUAACUUUCGCAUGAUAAACUUUAUCUCUAUCAAGACAAACUGCCAUGUGCAUCAAGCCAAAUACGUACACUUCGAUCCAUGAAAAUGACAAGUAGAAGGUUUUCUUAAGAACCAAGGAACAGCAUUAGUAUUCCCUCUGUUUCCAAAACUUGUGUAUUAAAUAGAUUAAUGAAUUGUUUAACAUGCUUAUCUACUUGAAAAUGCACAAUACCCAUAACCCACUGAAAUUUUUGCAGGUAAAGGGGAAGAGAAUCUGUGUUUGAGAGCUUCAUGAAGAUGUUGAAGAAUAAGAAUAAAAGCCCAAUGCGAGGAUGUUUUCAAGUUUUUCUAUGUUUCCACUUUAAUUUGUAAAUUGAAUUUUUCGACUUAAUUAAUUCCCUGUUUGUGGGGUACGUAUUGUUUUACGUACCAUGCCGUACAUGUUUGUAAGGAUUUCUAUCCUAUUGGCAAAAGUCGGUUCCAUACAAUUAAUCAAUUCAUUUCACUUCUAUUGGCUCUACUAUUUAUGCACGUUACGACAUUUUUUCUCUCUUUCCCUUAUAUUUUGUCUUUAAUAUUAUUGAGUCAAUAGUAAUACUGGGCCAUUUUUUUUAAAACUUAUACUAGUAUACAUAGGUAGUUUGGUCUAACGCCAAAUUCAUGUUUGUCUUUCUUUUAUUCCCUUUACAUUUCAAAGUAUACUAUAGUUUGUGAUCAUUGUGGUGAUGAUAUUACCAGCUGGUACUUAUAGUUUAAGGCAGAGACAUGAUAUUAACAACUAUCUCAUUGAAACAUAAGGAAAAAUCAUGACAAGUGUGAGUCUUGGUUAAUGCACAAUUUGUUAGUGGAAUUUAUAUUUAUAAAACUCAAAAAAAAAAUUUUGACAAUGCUAUUACUAAUUAAUUAAGGACUUUAUUGCUAUAAUUUAUCGCUUGCUAGUUUAAACUAUAAAUGAUCUCAAUACUUUUCUCCAUGAUGUCGAUUUCUUUAGAUACGAAAGGGAAAAAUUAGUGACAUAUCCCUUACUGAUUACAACAUCAGCAAAAAUUAGUUAUAAACUUUUCCGGUGGUUUUAAAUCCCCGGGCCCUAAGAUUUUUUGCUCAUCGAGUGAAUUAAGGAACAUAGGCAAUUCAUUUUGCAUACCAAGUCCUUGUUUAAGAUGCAAGUACUAAAAUGCAUCCACUUCAUUAAUUUGGGAAAUUGCCAUAGUUUUUUUAAGCAUUUUGAUUUUUUACAUGAUUUAAAAUUUUCUUAUUGGAUACAAUCACUUUGUAUCAAGAACACAUUUUCAAUCACCUUUUUUUAUCUUCUCAAUGAGAAAAUAAAAAUUUAUUCAUGCUUUUCUAACAUAUUCAAUCAUUGAUCUGAAAAUUAAAACAUUAAGAAAAGGACAUUUUCAAACAUUAAGAAGUAGUAUUUUAAAGACCAUGAUGAAAUUAAUACUUUCAAGGUCUCUAUUAGGAAGACUUCCUUUAUUAAUACUCUACUAGGCAGAGUUAUAUGCACGUUUACUGUUUUGGCCUUAAGUUGGGUGCAGAUGCUUAUAUUACAAAUAGAUGGUAUCAAAAAAUUGUUGUAUUCACGUCUGUUCUUUUUUUCUUCCUUAAGUUUUUUUCUUUAUUCUCGUGACUUCGCUAGUGAGGUAUAACUUCACAACUAGAGUCAAUAGAAAUCGUCAAAUGAUUUUUUGACAUCCAAAUUAAGCAAUAAAUUUUGUUUUCAUUUCAUAACAUAUAAUAGUACUACUUCAUGGGAGAUUUUAUAGUUUCUUUAGGGUAUCAUACCUACAAUUGAUAUUUAUCAUUGGAUAGUGAAAGAAGUGUUAAUGUCUCUAAGAUUAAAUAUUGUUAAAUAUUGAAAAUUUGAACUAUUUAUCUCUAUUGAGAGAUACAACUUAAAGAAUCCUACCCAAAAGAGACUAGAAUUUUCUCUGUUUUUCAUCAUCUGUAGACAUAAACUUUCCACGGUUGAUAGCAUUUUUCAUCAUCUAUAAGGAAAUUUUGCCUAUACAAUGUGAUAGCAUUUUUCAAAAAGACAAGAUGGAAAAUUGCCCCCCUUGAACGGAAAAUUGCCCCCUUGUCAAUUCUUUAAAAAAGAAUACCGUCCCGCAGAAUUCUAGAAAGUUAGGCAAAACUAGACAAGUUGACAGGUAUAAUCAGACCCAAGAUCAGGAACAAGCAGUUGCACAUUUCAAAAUUCGCUGCUGCAACAACUAAUUUGAUGACUUACAACACUAAAUGGUCAAACUUUGAAUGGCAAUGAAUCUUUUGUUGUACAUCAUGAUGUAAUUUUCAUGUUACAUAAUAGAUUGAUAUCUAUGUUCUUUAAAUUAUCAUAAUAAUUAAAUUUAACUGAAAAAAAGAACACAUAUCAAUACACAAAAGUGUGCAACGUGAAUGUUAUUUUAGUGUAUUGCAGAAGACCUAUAGUCUCUUCAUAUCUCUUCCUGCACGUAUCAAUUCGUUUCCUCUAGAUAAUAAUCUCCCAACUCAUUUAUUUACAAAUGCACCUUUUAUGUUUUAUUACCUCCAAAAGCCUAAAAAUCAAUUCACCGACUCGCAUUUGGUAUCAGAAAUUCUUAUUACGAAUUCUACUUUACUCAAAGAUUGACUGUUAAUAAUGAGACAACGACCAUUUUGUAUUAUUACACCGUCCUUCUUGAUAGGCAAAAGAAAUAGAGAGGAAAGCGGGUCCGUAUAUGGUCUUUUAUUCAUAGAUAAUACAACAUUACGCCAUCGAGCAUUCACACAAUAUUUCAAAGUCAUUGCAUGCCUAAGGCCUGCUUGAUAAUCUAAUUCCGUACUUAAAUUUAAUAAAUUCAAAUCUUAACACAUUCAAAUCGUUUGAUAACAAAAAAUUGAACAUCUAAAUUAAUUAAGUAACACUGAAUUUUCUAGGCAAAACUUGCUCCCAAAAUUAAGUGAUAAGUUAUUCACUUAUCACUGAAUAUGAUAUGUAUUCAAAUGUAUUAGAUUUAAUACUUAAUAAUUUAAUGAAUUCAAAUUUCAUAUUUCAUAUUUCAGUUUUAUCAAACACACCUUAAGUUGCAAAAUAAUACCAAAACUUGUUAUUACAUAGCUUGAGAUUCAAAAAUUUAGAGCAUAAUUCUCAACCAAACACAAUUGAAUAAUGAAUAUUCACGAGUGUCAAAUCUAUCAAAGUACAAUUUGAGGACAACCCAUUCAAACGCGUACACGAUUUUUAACUUUUCUAAAGUUGUUGAGAGCUGUUGAAAGAGAUUUACCAUGUUUACAUCUUCCAAGUCUUGGGAGUAAAAAAUGAAGCCACUGAGUGCUAUAAAAAGGGGGGUAGAGGCCACUUGAGAUCCUCGGUGACAUGUUUUCUAUGCCAAUCCAAUGCCACCAAUAGUGUUGCGCCAAGUGUCAUGUUAUUAUUUACACUUGUGUUAAACUAAGCCAAGUUGAAUUAUUAGAAAAUUAAAGUGUAAAUAAUAACAUGACACUUGGCGCAAUACUAUUGGUGACAUUGGGUUGGCAUAGAAAAUAUGUCACCGAGGAUCCCAAGUGGAUAGAUGCUGCCUAGAAGCAUAUCAGCCUAAAACAAGAAUUUGUAGUAACAAUGGGGAGCAAAGCAAAAGCAACGGGGUCUAGGCUGACUCCUCUUCUUACCACUGUUUUAGUGGUAUUUGUUGCCCUUGGCUUGCCCUUGGAAACUGCAGCUGAUUAUUACAAGUAUUCAUCUCCUCCUCCUCCUCCUUACCAGUAUUCCUCACCACCACCUCCAGUGUAUUCACCUCCACCAACCCCUGUUUAUAAGUUACCCCCACCAUCUCCUCUAGUUUACAAGUCCUCACCACCACCUUACCACUACUCACCACCUCCUGUGUAUUCACCUCCACCAUCACCAAUUUACAAGUCACUGCCACCACCCCCUCCAGUAUACAACUCCCCGCCUCCACCAGUGUACAAAUACAAGUCCCCACCACCACCUUCUCCAAUUUACAAAUCUCCACCGCCACCAGUUUACAAGUACAAGUCACCCCCACCACCUCCUCCGGUAUACAAGUCUCCUCCGCCACCUGUUUACGAGUACAAGUCUCCUCCACCACCUCCUCCAGUGUACAAGUCCCCACCACCUCCAGUUUACAAGUACAAGUCACCACCACCUCCUCCCCCGGUUUACCAAUCUCCUCCACCACCAGUUUACAAAUACAAGUCACCACCACCUCCUCCCCCAGUUUACCAGUCUCCACCUCCACCCUAUCAUCACUACUACGGUUCUCCUCCUCCUCACCACUACUAAGCAAGUGCAUCUAAGUUUUGAGGUAAUAAUACCGAUCCAAAACUUUAUCAACGCAAACUGCCAUGUAUAUCAUGCUAAGGACGUACACUUGAUCCAUGAAAAUGGCUAGUAGAAGAUUUUUUUUAAGAACCAGAGAAAUACAUUAUUUUUUCGCUCUGUUUUCAAGAAUUUGAGCAGUAUACAGAUUAAAGAGUGUUUUUUUUAAACUUGCUUAUCAACUUAGAAAUGCACAUAGCUGAAAGCCAACUGAAUAUUUGCAGGCAAAGGAGAAGGCAAUCGGUGUUUGAGACCUUCAUGAAGAUGUAGAAGAAUAAGAAUAAAAGCCCAAUGCGAGGAUGAUUUCAAGUUUCUACGUUACCAUUUCUACAUCUAAAUUGACUUUAGCUCCUGAGUUCCAUGUCUAUGGGGUUUGUACUGUUUUACGUACCAUGCAGUACAUGCUUGUAAGGUUUUCUGUCCUGUUGGCAAGCCGCAGGUCCAUAUAAUAAAUGAAUACUAUUUAUAUUACGACACUUUUCUCUCUUUCUCUUAUAUUUUGUCUUUAAUAUUGUUGAUCAUUUUUUUUUUUUAUCAAAAGUAUCAAAUGCUUAGGCAAUUUGGUCUAAUGCUAAUUGUUUUACAUUUAUUUUUCACCUACAUCCCUUUUCAACUCAAAGGAUGCUACAGUUUGUGAUCAUUGUUUAAGACCGAAGCAUGGUACUAAUAAAUAUCUCAUUGAAAGUCAAGGAAACUAACAUUAUGAAAAGUGUAAAUCUUGAUUUGUGAAACUAUUUAUUCGUGGAAUUUAGAGAUACAAAACUCAAAUUGUGACGGUGUUGUUGCUAAAUUAUUUUUUUUUUAUAAUAAAACACAGUUCAUUCAAGGAUUACUGGAAAUCGUCCAGCACAAUUGAGAUACAUUGUUGCCCAGGUGGCAGAUAAAUAUGCACUAAAAUUAUAGAUAUGCAAUUUAACAAAUACAUAAGAUUUGAGAAAUUAAGGACAAAUCUAAAAAGGACCAUAAAUUUGAAAAACAUUUCAUCCUAGAAUAAGUCGCUGCAACUCUCUUUGUGCAUGCUGUAAUCGUCAGAUCUACUAAUCAACAGUUGUAAGGUCCAGUAAAGAUGGUGAGAUCUGCCGAGAUUGAUCCAAAUCUGAAAUAUUCCCUCAGAUCUGCUAUCCAAUUGGUUCAAACUCAAUACUGAAAGUGAAAUCUGAUGAGAAGACUGAAAAAAUUGUAGAUCUAACAUAUAGAUCUAAAAAAACUCCAAGAUUUGAAAAAGUAAAGAAACAAAACUAAAUAAAACUCUCAUUAAGAUAGUUUAGGAGAGACUAAAACUCUCAAUAGGACACCCUAGGAGAGAAGAAAACUCUCACUAGGAUAACCUAUGAGAGACUUUAUUGAAUGAAAGGAAAAGCAAAGGACAAAGGAAGAAGAAGGGAGACCUUGGCUUAAGGCCAAGGUCUCCCUCCUAUGGAGGAGGAAGGGUAGAGGAGGAAGCCUAGAGAGAAGGAAGAGAAUCCCUCCGCUAGAGGGAAGGAAGAGCCUCUGAGAGGGUACCCGUGUUGUUGCUAAAUUAUUAAGGACAUUAUCACCAUUACUUUUCCCUUACUAGUUUCAACUGCAAUGAUCUCAAUCUUUUUGUGACUAAUUCUUUUCUUAAUAAUUUAUAAAUACAAAACUCACAAAGAAUAUGUGACUUAUUCUUUCCUUUCGUCUUCUAAAGAAAAUGCCAACUGUUAGUUUAUCAAGGGAAAAAGGAUCGACAUCAGUUGUUAUUGAAACUAGUAAGGAAUAAAUAAUGGUGAUAAUGUCCUUAAUAAUUUAACAACAGCACCAUCAGAAUUUGAGCUUUGUAUCUAUAAAUUCCACGAAUAAAUAGUUUCAUCAAAUCAAGAUUUACACUUUUCAUAAUGUUAAGUUUCCUUGACUUUCAAUGAGAUAUUUAUUAGUAUCAUGCUUCGGUCGUAAACAACGAUCACAAACGAUAGCAUCCUUUGAGUUGAAAAGGGUAGUGAAAAAGAGAAGUAAAAAAUACAAUUAGCAUUCCCUCAAAUUGUAGAAAGUUAGGUAGCAUUAUAGACAAGUUGAUAGCCGUAAUUAUACUAAAAAUCAGGCAAAAGCCAGCAAUUUUACAUUUCAAAAUUCACCUAUUCAAUAACUAAUUCGAUGGCUUGCUACAUGGUCAAAAUUCACCACAUAUCCCUUUCCUCAAUCAGGGGCUUCUACAAUUACCAGUUCCAAUUGUAUGGUAUAGUGUAAAUAUCAACAAAUUAGAUGUAGACACUAAUAUAAUAAAUAUGGAUGCUAAGGCAACAACAUACAAAAACAUAAUAAAUUUUGGCAUUCCUUAAAAAAUUACGUCCCCAAAUCAAUCUCAUACACCCAAUUUCUAAUUUAUUUAACUCAUUCCGUCUAUUAACUGCACCAUACAAUCCAACCUGCAAUUGCAUGAACCCCAAUCUCGCUUCCUAGUCCACCAUUUUUCUCUAGGUAAUAAUCUCCCUUCUAAUUUCUUCACAAAAUGCACCUUUCAUCACCUCCAAUAGCGUCGACAUGAUCUUUACCCUAGAAGACUAUUCACCGACUCCCAAUUGACGUCAGAAAAUCUAAGAGUAAUUCUACUUUACCCUAAGAUUGAUAUCAACUAGACAAUGACAAUUUAGAAUUAUUACACGCCUCUUCUUAAUAGGAAAAAGAAAUAGAGAAGAAAGUCAGGCCAGGUCUAAUUUCUUUUCGAAGGCAAUACAACAUUACGAAAUCAAGCAUUCAUUCAUACAAAUAUUUCAUAGUCACCGGUUUGCUGAGUAGAAAAGUUUAUACAAAAACUUAAUAUUAUAUUGUUUAAGAGUUAACAAUUUAGAGCUUAAUCUCCUUGUACUUUGGACUAAACUCGAACGUGAAAGGAAAUCCCAAAACCAUAUUGGGCAUGAAUUCACACUUAAAUAGACCCAAAAAAAGAUGGCGACUGGUGAAAGGCAGUGGAGACUGGUGGUGAGAUUUGAGGAAUAGAAGCAGACGGAAAAGCCACAAAUUUUUGCCGAAAGAGGGUCACUUUCAUGGUUAAUUUUGCUACUCUCUACUUGUACUUGACCAAUGACAGGUUGUCAGUCUGUGCAAUAAUAAAAACCUGUUCAAACUAAAAGUAAUUUCUGUAGAUAGUGGUAAGCAGGGUCGAAUCCACAGGGAUUAGGUGUAACUGUUUCUUUUCAAAUUCACAAUAACAAAGGGGGUGUUUUUAUGCAGAAUGUGACAAUCAAAGAAAUUCAAUUAAAAGUAAAAUAAUAAAAAUAAAAUAGCCAACUAGAAAUUAAAUAACAAUUUACUAAAAUCAAAUGAGUGAUAAUUAAGGAUCUAGCCAAGGAAUAACUUCAGCAGUGGUUCACCUAAUUGAUCAUUGGAACAAAGGCAAUUCCAAUUAUUUACUAAUAAAUAGGUUAUAACUGCCAAACAAGCGAUGACAGUCAAUCACUCCUUACUGUGUCGGUGAUUAAGGUACGCCCGUUAAUCACUGCCCUAAUUGAGAAAUAAUCUUAGGUACGCCCGUAAGAUUUAAUUUUCCAAUUGCCUUACAUAUUAGAGGAGUGUCAGGAACAAGGAAAUAGAAUGGGACGUCGUUUAAUGCAAAGGGUUGUGCGUUUAAGGCCUUAGAAGCAAUACUACGUCGUUCUAAUAACAUAGGCGGUGCUGGUGUGAUAGGCCAAGUUAGUUGAGGGUCAAUUACAUAAAUAGCCUUCUGUAACAGAUUUUUGGUUAUGUUUUUGAAUGAAAAGUAUCUCGCUGCUUUCUCUCUCUUGUCUGUUAUUUCCCUCCCUUUUCUUCUUUCUCUCUUCCCUCUUCUUAAUCUUGUUUCUUUCUUCUGAUUCUUCCCCCAAAUUCAAUACAAUUCCAGAAAUUAACCUGCAAGUCUGACAUUUGGUAUCAGAGCGGUCGAUUCUUGGCCGCGAAGGUAUCAGAAAUGGCUGAGAGCACGCGAUUCAGGACACUGGAGGAGCAACUCAAGAAGCAGGAGAAUCGGUUGCAAGAACUGGCGGAAUCCAUGGCUGCACUGCAGAGUACGAGUUCCGAGGAGUUGCGGCAUAAGCUACAGGCGGAAAUGGAGCAGAACAAUGCAAAAUUGGACGCGGUGGUGGGAAGUCUGGACCAGAAGUUCAAUAAAAUGGAACAGAGACUCAGUACAGUGUUGAAGCUGCUGAUGAAGGAGAAAGGUCUCCCUGAUGUCGAAGGAGGAAUUUCUGAUCCAAUCUUGCCGACUCCUCCAUCUCAUCUGAGGUUAGCAUCCUCAGUCGAAGGGAUUGGGCACCAACAAGAGUACAGAGGUAGGCAAUUCACUCCUAAUGUACCUCGAUUAGAACUGCCAAUGUUUAACUCUGGAAACCCUAGGGAAUGGACCAGGAAAUGCCAGAAAUAUUUUUUGAACUAUCAGAUAGCAGAGAGUCAAAAGGUAGAGGUAGCAGAGAUGUUUUUGGAAGGUAGAGCUGACAAUUGGUUUCAAGGAGUGAAAUUGGUGAGGCCAGGGUUGUCUUGGGGGGAAUUUAGUGAACUUUUGUGUGAAAGAUUUUCUGGAAGUAGUUCUCGUGACAUUGUGGAGGAAUUUAACAAGUUACAGCAGAAAGGAACUGUUGAGGAAUAUGAGGAGAAAUUUGAAGAACUAAAAGCUCUAAUGCUGAUGAAAACCCCCAGGUUGGAUGAACUUUACUUUGUUUCCAGUUUUAUUAGUGGCCUCAGGGAAGAAAUUAGACCUAUGGUGAAGAUGUUUAAGCCUCAAACACUGAUGAAGGCCUUUGAAGUUGCGGAGUUGCAGGAGUGUUCCCUGGAAAUCCAAUCGAAACAAAACAGAACUUCAAGGAGGACAGCAAUGGAACCCAAGUUUGGAAUGUAUAAGGGCACUACGAGUGAUUAGGGUCGCCAAAAUUCAUAUAAGUUGCCUGGAGUCACUCCUGUCUCCAGGAGGACUAAUGCAGUACACAAGGAAUUUAGUAAGAUAUCAGCGGAGGAAAUGCAGUAUAAGCGUAAGCACAGCCUGUGCUAUAGGUGUGGAGAGAAGUUUGGAAUAGGUCAUCAGUGUAAGAAAGGAAGUCUGAACUGUGUGAGCACUGAGGAAGAGGAGGACACUGAAUUUGAGGAUGCGGAAGGGGAACAGGAUGAGUUAACAGGAAGGGUCGGGGAACUUGCAGAAGUCUCUUUGAAUGCUUUAUCUGGUGCCAUAAGGAGGAAAUCCAUCCUGUUGAUAGGGAACUUAGGGGGGCUUCCAGUCAAAAUUUUGGUGGACACAGGCAGUUCUAACAGCUUCAUUCACCACAGGAUUGUCAACCUACUGCAUCUACCAUAUCAGGCAGUCAGUCCAUUUACUGUGACUCUAGCAGAUGGAACUGACAUUACCAGUGGAGCCAUCAGUCCCAGCGUGUCUUGGUUAAUUCAGGACUAUCAAUUCCAAUUUGACUUAAAAGUAAUGGAAUUAGGGGGAUGGGAUAUAAUUCUGGGGGUGGACUGGAUGUGCCAGUAUAGUCCCAUUACAUUUGAUUUCCACUCUCUUAGCAUUGCCCUUAGUGAUAGGGGUUCUUUACUACACCUCCAAGGACUUGUGAAGCAACCUACUAUGGAACUGGUGAGGGGCAGGGAUCUCAGCUCGUUUAUACAGGAGAAGCAAAGAAACUGUGCAGCCAUGCAUGCUGAUAGGGCCAGGGAAACAGGAGAGCAGCUUCCAAAAGCUAUAGAAAGGAUCCUGGAACAGCACUCUCAGGUUUUCUCCACCCCAACAGGAUUACCCCCAGAGAGGGAAUUGGACCAUCAGAUCAACCUCAAACCAGGAGCUGAACCCUUCAAGCUCAAACCUUACAGGUACCCCCACUCACAUAAAGCAGAAAUUGAAAAAAAAGUUGCUGAGAUGCUCACUAAUGGAAUUGUUAUACAUAGCACAAGCCCCUAUGCCUCCCCUGUAUUGUUAGUAAAGAAAAAGGAUAACUCCUGGAGAUUAUGCAUAGAUUACAGGAAGCUGAACGAGCUGACUAUAAAGGAUAAGUUCCCUAUUCCCAACAUAGAUGAACUAUUGGAUGAAUUACAUGGAACCAGAUACAUGUCCAAACUGGAUCUCAGAGCUGGUUACCAUCAGUUGAGGGUGAAAGCUGUUGAUACCCCUAAGACUGCCUUCCAGACACACCAUGGCCACUUUGAAUUCUUAGUGAUGCCUUUUGGACUCACAAACGCGCCAGCUACAUUUCAGUCCUUGAUGAACAGAAUAUUUCAGCCAUAUCUCAGAAAGUUUGUCCUAGUCUUCUUUGACUACAUAUUAGUGUACAGCCCCACACUAGAGAUGCAUGCACAGCAUCUACAGAUUGUGCUCAAUAUUUUAGAAGAAAAUCAGCUGUAUUACAAGAGGUCAAAGUGCUCUUUUGCCCAGUCCUCAAUUGAAUACUUGGGGCACGUGAUCUCAGAGGCAGGAGUGAGUAUGGAUGUGGCUAAGGUGGAGUGUAUCAAGUCCUGGUCUGUUCCUAGUACAGUCAAGGAGCUGAGAGGGUUUUUGGGAUUAAUUGGUUACUACAGGAGAUUCAUUAAAGGCUAUGGAGUGAUUAGCAAACCCUUGACUGUAUUGUUGAAAAAGGAAGGUUUUGCAUGGAACCAUGAAGCUCAAAUGGCCUUUGAAGAUUUGAAAAAGGUUAUGACCACAGCCCCAGUGCUGAGCAUGCCUAAUUUCGAACUUCCUUUUGUCAUAGAGACUGAUGCCUGUGGAAUAGGUAUUGGAGCAGUGUUGAUGCAGCAAGGACAUCCUAUUGCUUUCCUUAGCAAGGCAUUAUCAGUUCAGAAUUUGGGGUUAUCAGUCUAUGAAAAAGAGCUUUUUGCCUUAGUGCUAGCUGUAACUAAGUGGAGGCAUUACCUGGUGGGUCAUCACUUCAUUAUCAGGACAGAUCACCAAGCUCUCAAACAUUUGAUAGAGCAAAGGCUUACUCAUCCACUCCAGCACAAGUGGCUAACUAAGCUACUUGGUUUGGACUAUGAAAUACAGUAUAAAAAGGGUGCAGACAAUGGGGUGGCAGACGCCCUCUCCAGGAGAAGGAUUGAGGGAAACACUGUUGACUGUGGAGAGACUGGGCAUCAGACCUGCGCCAUAACCUCAGCUCAGCCUAGUUGGAUGCAGGAAAUGCUAGAAAGCUACAUUGGAGAUGCAGAGGCUCAACAGAAGUUAUCUGAGCUAUUGCUGGAUCCCAAUGCAGAUCCAGAUUAUCAGUUAAAGAAUGGGAUGCUCAAGUUUAAAGGGCGGCUGUACAUAGGAUCUGCUAACAACAUUAGGACCAAGGUGGUCAGAGCAUUGCAUGACUCAGCCCUUGGGGGGCACUCAGGUCCUGGAAUCCGUAAGGAUGUCCUUCAAUAUGUGAGAUCUUGUGAUGUGUGUCAAAGGAACAAACAUGAAAAUGUUCCUUAUCCUGGGUUGCUGCAACCAAUUCCUGUACCUCAGCAGGCUUGGUCACACCUCACCAUGGAUUUUAUUGAGCAACUACCCCCAUCCCAUGGAUUUGAUACCAUUUUGGUGGUGGUGGAUAGGUUAACCAAGUUCAGCCACUUCAUUCGACUCACUCACCCUUUUUCUGCACAGCAGGUAGCACAGCUUUUCCUUGACAACAUAUACAAGCUGCAUGGACUUCCUGAGACCAUUAUAACUGACAGGGACAUAAUCUUUCUUAGUAAGUUUUGGCAAGAGUUAUUUGGUAUGGUAGGGGUAAAGCUGCACUACAGUUCAUCGUAUCACCCUCAAUCAGAUGGUCAAAGUGAAAGGGUCAAUCAGUGUUUGGAAAACUAUCUCAGGUGUAUGUGCAGUGAGCAUCCUUCUCACUGGAGCAGUUGGCUUCCUACAGCUGAGUUAUGGUACAACACUAACUUCCAUACUAGCUUGCAGGUGACACCAUUCGAAGCACUAUACGGGUAUAAACCAAAUCACCUUCCCUUAGGACCUUUUCAUGAUAGCCUGGUACCUGCUGCUGGUAACAUGGUGCAGACUAGGCUCCAAAUUCUAUCCCUCAUCAAAGAGAAUCUAGCCACCGCCCAGAAUCGAAUGAAAAUGUUUACUGAUAAGCACAGGACUGAACGUGUCUUCCAAGUGGGGGAUUGGGUAUUUCUCAAGCUGCAACCUUACAGGCAACAAUCAGUGGCCUUACGGAAGAAUUUGAAGUUGGCUGCCAAAUACUUUGGACCUUUCCAGAUCCUUGCGAGAGUAGGGGAAGUCGCCUACAGACUUAAGUUGCCAGAGGGAGCUCGAGUUCAUUCCGUGUUCCAUGUGUCCUUACUUAAAAGGAAAGUGGGAGUUACACAGCAGGUAAAGCCCAGCUUGCCAGAAGUAGACGCAUCAGACCAAUGUUUGCUGAAGCCAGAGAAGAUUCUCCAGAGGCGUGUUAUCAUACGAGCUGCCAAACCAAUCAUCCAGUACCUGGUGAAGUGGAACAACUUACCAGAAUCCGAAGCAUCAUGGGAGGAUAAAAGCUUCAUUGACAGACAAUUUCCGGAAUUUCAAGCUUGAGGACAAGCUUUGCUUAAGGGGAAGAGAUUGUCAGGAACAAGGAAAUAGAAUGGGACGUCGUUUAAUGCAAAGGGUUGUGCGUUUAAGGCCUUAGAAGCAAUACUACGUCAUUCUAAUAACAUAGGCGGUGCUGGUGUGAUAGGCCAAGUUAGUUGAGGGUCAAUUACAUAAAUAGCCUUCUGUAACAGAUUUUUGGUUAUGUUUUUGAAUGAAAAGUAUCUCGCUGCUUUCUCUCUCUUGUCUGUUAUUUCCCUCCCUUUUCUUCUUUCUCUCUUCCCUCUUCUUAAUCUUGUUUCUUUCUUCUGAUUCUUCCCCCAAAUUCAAUACAAUUCCAGAAAUUAACCUGCAGAUCUGACAAGGAGCCCUAUUCUAACCAAAUAACACACUACCAGGGUUAUUUUAGGUUAGCCCGCGUAUUCCCCUGACAUGAAUCCAAUCAUGCCAGUUAUCACUAUUUUGAAACAAUUAAACAAUUACGGAUUUAACGUCCCAAUUGACAAUAGAUUAUCAAAUUAACUAAUUAUCCGGAUCCAAAACAAUCAAUUAAUUAAAUAAUCAUAAGCACUGUAAUCAGGGAAUAUUUGAAUACCAAUAAAUAAAAAGAAAGGACAAAAUUAAAUCGAUUUCACAAUUUUUAAACGAACCACAACCUCAGUUGUUCCUCGGCUAGAUUGAGAAAAUUAGCUCAUGUUCGAUGCGAAAAAUCCACAAGAAAUUGUUAAGAGAGCCGCGGCCAUUGUCCCUUGAAAUUGGGGAAAUUCAAUUCGGUUGAACUACGAAAGAAAAGUAAGCUACAGAGAGUUGCCGAUUGGGUUUUGCUUGUCCCUAACAUGCGAGGGAGCAAAGCCACGAAAGGACGACAAAGGUCAAAAAGAAAGGCUACAGAGCAUGUUCCAGGUCUUUUUGUGCUCUCCACAUCCGAGCCAACGAAAAGAAAUAAAAAACUACCAGGAGCUAAAGGAAAACCGCAAGAAAAGUCAAAGGCUAAAAAAACUUCCUAGUGCUUGUUCUCUGCUUAUCUCUUUAUCUAAUUCUAAGUCCCCGAUUUUUUGCUCCGUGCGGCGGCUCCCCCGGAGAGAAAGGAUUGCAUCCGCUGCCCUCUUCCACCAAUUACCAAAAUGGGCACACCGCUUCUUUUUCAAAAAUGCUCCUGGAUAAACUCUAUCAUCUGGACUUUUUUUCUGUCAAAUUGACAUUUAUUAUUAUAUUUUCGUUCUACUCCCUGAAAUAAAUGUAAAAUAUUAAAAAUGAGUAGAAUCCGACAAUUAAUUCACAUCAGGUCAGAUAAUAAAGAAAAUUAAUAAUAAAAUAAAUAAAUAAAUUGCAACCUAUCAACCAAAUACAACAAUUUCAUGGAGUUUGAUACACAAGCCCAAAUACACGAGAGUGUGUAACCUGAAUUGUUACUUAUACAUUAGUGUGUAAUAGAACGGCAAGCAUUAUGGUGGUCAUUGAGCAACUUGUAGGAGAAAUAGUCCUAUAAGCUGUUCAAUGACCAAUCACAACUUGCUAAUUGGAUGACUAAUAUAGCUCUAGCUGUAAUGUUUUAAUUAAAUUCCAUCACUAACGUUGGGAUGACUUUUUAAUCAAAAAAAAAAAAGCCUUAGUUCAAGCUUUUCCCCUUAUUGUGCAUUUUUUAAAACAUUUGAUAGGCACUGCAAAUCUGUCAUUUUGGACAUUUUAUUAUUAACUAACAAUGAAAGCCGUGGACAUCAACCCAUAUCCAACAAAAUAUUAAAUUAAUAUUAGAAAAAAUUAUUAAGUAAUUGGAAAAAAAAAGAAGAGGCUAAUUUUCAUUGAAACCCACCGACAAACUAUACGCUGCUUUCAAUCAGUUUUAACACGGGAAAAAGAAAAGGCAUGAAAAGCAAAAUUUGUGGGGAUAAUUUCGGAAACCUCCCAUGAAGUUUUUGACUAUUUUACUGGCCUCCCUUCAGAUUUUAAAAAUUGGACUAAUCUUCCUUAAAGUUAAUUAUCUUGUAACAUUUAGAUCCGAUCAAUAAUUUAAAAAAUAAUAUUAUGAGAGAGAAAAUAAUAUGAUUUUAUUAUUGCCCCCAUCUCACCACAUUAUUUAAUUAAUUUAAUAGCAACCCACACAUUAAAGAAAAUGACAGGUCGUCAACCUGUGCAAUAAUAAAAUUAAACCUAAUUGCCAGUUAAAAUGACCAAAACCCAAUUCCAAGUACUGGAGCAGGGACUCUAGGUGUGCAAUGGGUUACUUGAUUCACCCUGUUCCCGAAGAGUUUGCUUGAUCCGAUAUACCCGAAUGGAAUGGUUAUUCCUUUUCACAAAUGAUUAGGAAUUUGUAGACAGGGCAAGUAGGGUCGUAUCCACAGAGACUGGGUAUAUUUGUUUCUUAAGAAAUCCAAAGUAACACAGGGGGUGAUUUUGUAGGAACGACGAUAAUUAAAUAAAUUCAAAUGAGAAAGUAAAAAUAAAUAAUUAACUAGAAAUUAAACCACAAUUUACUGAACUCAGGAUAACAAUAGUUAAAGGCCUCAAUUAAUUAAAAUAAGGAAACAAUCAAAAAUAAAAUAAAGUAGGUAAUUAAAAGUCAAAUGGCAAUCCACUACAAUCAAGGAAAUAUUAACUAAAGAUCUAGCCAAGAAAUAACUUCAGCAAUGGUUCACCUAAUCGAUCAUUGAUGCAAAGCAAUCCCAAUUAUUUACUAAUAAAUAGGUUAUAACUACCAAACAAGCGAUGGCAGUCAACCCCUCCUUACUGUGUCGGUGAUCAAGGUACGCCCGUUAAUCACUGCUCUAAUUGAGAAAUAAUCCUAGGUACGCCCGUAGAAUUUAAUUCCCCAACUGCCUUACGUAUUAGAGGAGCCCUAUUCUACCCAAAUAACACACUACCAGGGUUAUUUUAGAUUAGCCCGCGUAUCCCCCUGACACGAAUCUAAUCGUGCCAGUUGUCACUAAUUUGAGGUAAUUAAACAAUUACGGAUUCAAUACCCCAAUUGACAAUAGAUUAUCAAACCAAUGAAUUAUCCGGAUCCAAGACAAUCAACUAAUUAAAUAAUCAUAAGCACUGCAACCAAGGAAUAUGCGAAUACCAAUAAAUAAAGGAAAAGAUAAAAUUAAAUCGAUCUCACAAUUUACAGGUGACCCAAAGCAUCAGUCGUUUCUUGACUAGAACGAGGGGGUUAGCUCAUAUUGGAUGAACUAAGCCCGCGGGAAAUUCCAGCAAAAGUCACGGCCGUUGUAUGCAUUUCAAGAGCCGCAAUUCGUCAAACACUUGGAAAGCGAAUGUAAGGCACGGGUAACAAUUGAAACUUUCUAAUUGUUCCUAGCAUUCGUAAAGCAAAUUCACUCCAGAAGUACAGUGAGGAAAAGUCAAAGAAAGUGGGCUUCAAUUCCUUGCUCCUGACAUGCGUGGAGACAAGCCAAUGCAAGACUACAAUAAACUAACAAGGAAAAGUCAAGAAUUGGAGCUAAGCUCCCCUGCCAUGCGCAGGAAUCCCAAAAGUAAAAAGUAAAGCUUCAAAGAAAAGUCAACAAUUCUUCCUAAGCUACAGACGGAAGAUCCAGCACAAAAGCCAGCUCCCUUUUUGAUCCCUUUUUCCCCCUUCUUAUUGCGGCGGCUCACCAGGAGAGGAGAGCCCUCCGUCCGUCCUUUCUUCCGGAAAUUACCAAAAUGGGCAUGACAUCUUCUCUUCCAAAAGUGCCCCUGGGACAAGCUUUCUCAUCUGAAUUCUUUUUUUUUCCAAUUUGGCACCUGUUAUCAUAUUUAUAUUCUACUCCCUGAAAUAAACGUCAAAUACUAAAAGUGAGUAGAAUCCAGCAAAUAAAUCCACAUCAAGUCAGGUAAUAGGAGGAAUUAAUAAUAAAAUAAAUGAAUAAAUUGCACCCUAUCAAUUCCCUCCACACCUAAACCAUGCUUGUCCUCAAGCAUAAGAAAAGUAAACGAACACCAAAAUUCGACGAUAGCCAUUGCCCAAUCUCCUAUAUUGCCAAGACAUUCAAGAGAAAAACACAUAUCGAGCAUUGGUGAUUAGAAUCCCAGAAGCAUCCCCCCGGUUAGCCUCUAACCCCCAGAUUCCUUCAAUUUCCAACUUAACUACUCUAAGAAAGAGGAAUGGCACACAACAUUUAUCAGCUAGUGGUCCGAAUAUUCACACAAGUCUUCAUAUCCAAUCCAUAAACCGGCAAGCUUCCCUAUUAUUUAGUCUCUCUUUUUUUCCGUUUUUUUUCAUUUUCAUUCUUCCCCUCUUUUUUUUUUUUUUUUAAAGCAGUAGCAAUCAACACAAAAGACUUAGUCGUUAGCCGUCAGGGCCUUUUGAUGCGAACUCCAACAUUUUUAGAAGGAGGAGCCCGGUUACUCAGCUCCUACCGCUAUACGACCACGCACUCAUAUAAAAUACCACCUUUUGACGCGAGAAUCGACACUUUUAGGUGCCGAUCCCCGGUUACUCAGUAGUAACUUAAUAGCGGAGCACAGUCAAGCUUAUUCUCAGCCAAACAAUGCACAAACGCAAAAUAACAGCACUAACAAUCAAACAUAGGAGCAGCUCGCCUCAUUAUUGUCAAACAUGGAGAACUGGAGUCAAUAUUGGACCAGUUCACAUUAAAAGGCCAUAUUCAUUCCCUACGCCUAGAAAAGUUAACAAAGAAAUCGAAAGAGUCAAACAGUUAAAUAUUCACCAAGGGGAUAUUCAGGACCCAACCACACUAACCCGAUACAUUUUGUAUUUUAAAAACUUGGCAAAAGUAGAUUUGGAGUCAAUGAGUCCACAUCUCAAUUUUAGCCUUCACAUGAAAGGCAAUCACCAAGAAGAAAGAACGGAAAAAUAAGCAACUAGAAAUGAGACUACGAAAAACUACUAAAACUAAAAACUCACUUUUUUUCUUUUUCUCUUUUUUUUUCUUUUUGAAUUUUUUUUUCAUUUUUAUUUUUUUUUAUUUUUUUUAUUUUUUAAACAUUAACUAUAAACAUUAACUACUAAAAACUAAAAACUAAAACUACUAAAAACUAAAAACACUAAAAACUGCUAAAAUGAAAAGCUGAAAACUGAAAACUACUAAAAACGGAGCACACUAGCAUAACUUUAGAUCCCCCCCACACCUAUAGGACACAUUGUCCUCAAUGUGACAAAUAAGAACCAAAAGUGAAGCACAAGUGAGAGGGGAAUCAGCCAAACUUCCCUGAAAUCGGGUCACAGCGGAGGGCGAGGUGGAAAUGGAGGUGCAAAGCCUGUAUGCAUCAGGAACUGUGCCAAAUUCUGUGCUAUGCCGGCGACAUUGGCGUCGACGUUGGUCAUCCGGGCCUGCAAAUCCUGAACCAGCUCCCUGAGAUGCUGCCAAUCAUCGGUCCCAGGUGGUGGAGGUGGCGCAGAAGUAGAGGUAGACGGCCCAGCAGUGUCCGCGGCCGACCCAGGGAAUGAAGAUGGCCCUGCCCGGGCCGAAUGGUGUGCACCCGGGGCUCGAGGUGGUCCCGGACGGGUAAACUGGUGAAAACCAUCUGGCAGACGCUCGACGACCCCCAUUUUCUCUAAGCAAACUACGUCCAAGUGCUCCAUCUCAAAUGCCAAAUGGAGGUCGUGGUCAUCCAGGUUAAGAACUCCCAACUGGGUCGCCAAGUGAGUGAUGUAGGACCCAAGGAUCAGUGGUUUGUUCUUCUUGGUCAAGACCGUCUUGAACUGUGCGGCCAACCAACAUCCCAAGUUCACCUUGAUAUUGUUCUUCAUACUCCAGAGAAAGAAGAAUUCGGGCCGAGAGAGUAUACCGGAGCUGUCCUUGCGCCCCGAGUAGCUAUAAGCUAAGAAUCGCUGAACAUAGCGGGCGCUAGGGUCCUUAAGAAAGGAGCUCCUGGACCGGGAAGGAUCGUAGCGUUGCCUAUCGACGGACAUGUCCUCCCAUACAUCAUGGUAGUGGGAGAGGAAAGGCUCUACGUAGUCACAGGCACUCUCCGCAUACUCCCUAGUCUCAGCAUACUCUCUAGUGAUAAACCCAAAUGCCAGAUUGAAUUGAGUAAUGGAGAAAUUGAAUUCUCGACCCAUGAGCCGGAAAUGAAUGACAUUCGGUGUUUCACCCGUGUAUCUCGUAGGUAAUUCGAACUCAAAGGUGGAGUAAAACUCCCGGAUCAGCUCAACAAAAGCGGGACAAGAAAUAUGGAAAUAUGGGCGCCACCCAAUGGCUGUGAACAUUUGCUCAACCUCCUCCCGUAUACCCAGGGCAGUUAGAGAGAGUCUAUGACAAGACUUACAGGAUAUUAUACGCCUCUCGCAGACCUUAGCGUACCUCUGCCGAUCGGCGGGUCUGGUAAAUGUUAAGUGCCCCCCAAAAUGAACAGGUGCAUCUACCUGAGCACCCCUAUCCCUACCCAAACGGGUUCGAACACUAGAAGAGGAGGGUAGGUUGGUAGGUGAGUUGACAGGAAUAGAGGCUUGUGGAGGGGGUUGAGACUGAGAGGUCCUAGACCUAGAGGAGGAUUUCGGUCUCACCAUUCCCCCCAAAGUAAGUUCAAGGCAACAGAAAAUCCGACAAGUAUAGAAACCAGCAAUUGACAAAGCAAAAAUCUCCCAGUAGUAACCCAGCCAAUAGCAAACAAAAGAGUUCCAGCAAGUAAUCAACAAGCAAUUCAGAAAUAUCUCAACUAAAAUCUCAAGAGAAACCCCAGCGAGUUAUCCAGCAAUUCAAGCAAUAUCCCCAAGCAAUGUGGUGGUCAAAAUGUCAUCUCCAAAUUGAACAAAUAAUCAGAGCAUUGCAACACAUUGAAAAUCUCAAUAAACGGCUCCAGUUGGCCAAGAAAAAUUGCUAACUCAUACUCAGCAAUAGUAGUGCAGCAAAGGGACAGUAACCACGCAAUAAAAACACUUAGCUUGCACUCAAAUGGUCACCCCAAAUAACAACCCAGUAUGAAACCCGCAGGCAGAGUAUUCCUCAAACCGUUAGCCUAAACCCAGUCAACAACCACGGCCAGAAAUAACCCCAUAAAUAGUGCAAUGAGUAAUCCCCAGCAACAUAAUCAGGUGUAAUCAACUGGAGCAAGCAAUUUACAUGGCAUAGAAACCUCCCAAUCAAACAAGUGCAUUAUUCUAGCGCACCCCAAAAUUCCAAGAAAUGGCUCCAGUUGGCCAAUUAAUUUCACAAUGUCACCCAACUCAGGAGAAAUAGCAAUUCCACACAAAAAUAGUCAAACCAGUACCACUGGCGAAAAAUCUUUCAAAUAUGCACAAUUUGCUACCAAAUAUCACCGGCUAACACUGAAAAAUUGAGGGCAAGUGUCAAAUACCUCCACAGGGACUACCCCAGGCGGCAGACAGAGAAGCGGCGUUGAAGCUGGUGGUCGAGCGGGGCGGCGCUCGCGUCGGCGUGCGCAGCGGCGACGGCGCGCGAGGAUGGAGUUUCGGGAGGUUGCGUGCGGGCUUGGCUGAAGACGCGGCGCGCGCUAGGGCUUCGCUGCGGCAGGCGUGCAGCAGGGGAGAAGAAAGAAAAGAGAAAGAAAGAAAGAAAAAGAAAGGAAAGAAAGAACAGAAAAGAAGGAAAAGAAAAAGGAAUUUUUCUUUUUUUUCUUUUUCUUUAGGCUACGGUUUAGAGGACAAAUUUUUCUUCUUCUUGUUUUCUACUUUUUUAUUUUUUUAUUUUUUAGUUUUUAAUUUAUUACUAUUAUUAUCAUAUUUAAUUGAGGAAAAAAAAUGUUUUUUUUUAAAUCCCUACCUUUCCCACGAACGUGACGCGGGCACGUCAAGAGGGCAAGAGAGCUCCCAGAAGUUUCAGAAUUUUCUGAUCGUAAGCGUCCUGCACAUCACCACGCGGGCACGUCAUGAGGACAGGAGAGCUCCCAGAAGUUCAGAAUUUUCUGAUCGUGAGCGCCCUGCACGUCACCACGCGGGCACGUCAUGAGGCCAGGAGAGCUCCCAGAAGUUUGAAGUUUCUGAUUCCUGCCCGUCAUCACGCGGGCGCGUCAUGACUGAAGGUCACCUACAAAUCAGCAAAAACGAAAACUAACACCCAAAAUCAGUCAAAUUCAGGGAAAGCAGAUUUAAACUAUGCUACAAAACCAACAAACAAUUAAAAGAAAUAAUUAGGUUGCCUCCCAAUGAGCGCCUUUCUUUAAUGUCUUUGGCUAGACAUGGUAAAGUGUCACUGAUUAGGACACGGUGGUGCGUCAAGCCUUAUUGUCUCCACCUCUCUACCUGAAAAUCCUUCGUAAUAAUAUUUGAGACGGUGUCCAUUCACCACAAAUUUGUUGUCUGUCUUAGCACUCUGGAUCUCAACUGCACCAUAGGGAAAAACAUGAGUAACAAUGAAAGGUCCAAUCCAACGGGAACGUAGCUUACCUGGGAAUAGCUUGAGCCUGGAUUGGUACAGGAGGACCUUCUGACCAACUUCAAAUGUUUUUCUUGAAAUUUGUUGGUCAUGAAAUGCCCGGCUUUUCUCCUUAUAUAUCAAGGCGUUUUCGUAUGCUUCGUUCCGGAUCUCCUCCAAUUCUUGCAAAUCCAACUUCCGUUGAGCACCGGCCUCCUCUAAAUUCAUAUUGCAGUGCUUUAUCGCCCAAAAAGCCUUGUGCUCGAACUCCACUGGAAGGUGACACGGCUUCCCAAAUACCAACCUGUACGGUGACAUCCCAAUAGGAGUCUUGUACGCCGUCCGAUAGGCCCAGAGUGCGUCUUCCAACCUUUGGCUCCAGUCUUUUCUAUCAGGGCGCACCAUUUUCUCUAAAAUGGACUUAAUCUCCCGAUUCGACACCUCCGCUUGACCAUUGGUCUGAGGGUGGUAUGACGUUGAGACCCUGUGGAGUACACCAUACUUGCGAAACAACGCAGCUAUGGUUUUGUUGCAAAAGUACGUUCCCCUAUCACUGACAAUAGCUCUAGGCAUUCCAAACCGCACAAAGAUAUUAGACCUGAUAAAAUCUGCAACUACUCUCGAAUCAUUAGUUCGAGUGGCCUUAGCCUCCACCCAUUUAGACACAUAAUCAACUGCCAGCAAAAUAUAUAAAAAACCAAAUGAAGUAGGAAAAGGCCCCAUGAAAUCUAUACCCCAGACAUCAAAAAUUUCAACAAAAAUCAACGGGACCUGGGGCAUUUGAUCUCUACGGGCUAUAUUACCUACCAUUUGACAGCGAUCACAUGACUUACAAAACACAUAGGCAUCUCUAAACAAUGAAGGCCAAUAAAAUCCACUUUCUAAAACCUUAUGAGCAGUUCUCUUAGGUCCAAAAUGACCUCCACAGGCAAAAGUAUGACAAAAAGCUAAAAUUGAUUGAAAUUCCAUUUCACUUACACAUCUCCUCAUCACUUGAUCGGCACACCUCUUCCAUAGGUACGGGUCAUCCCAGAUAAAAUACUUGGCAUCGCUCUUCAAUUUAUCCCUCUUCGAUUUCGGCCAACCUGCAGGAAAAUUACCAGUUACCAAAUAAUUGACCAAAUCAGCAUACCAAGGCAACUGAGAAUUUAAGAAAAAUAGGUAUUCUUCGGGGAAUGCAUCCUUCAAUGGCUCGCUAUCCUCUUCAACUAGUAUGCGACUCAAAUGGUCCGCUACUAGAUUUUCUGAGCCUUUUUUGUCCCUUAUCUCCAAGUCAAAUUCCUGUAGGAGCAGUAUCCACCGUAUGAGCCUCGGUUUUGCAUCUUUCUUGGUCAUCAGGUACCUCAAUGCUGCAUGAUCAGAAAAUACAAUCACUUUAGCACCUAACAAGUAUGACCUAAAUUUUUCCAAAGCAAAAAUAACUGCCAGAAGCUCCUUCUCAGUGGUGGAAUAAUUCAACUGGGCUCCAUUCAAGGCCCGGGAUGCGUAAUAGAUGACAUGAGCCGCCUUGCCUAUUCUUUGCCCCAGUACAGCCCCAACAGCGUGAUCACUGGCAUCGCACAUGAUCUCAAAUGGCAAAUUCCAAUCGGGGGGUUGGAUGAUUGGGGGUGAAGUCAGCAAUUCCUUCAGCUUGUUAAAGGCUCUCUCACACUUAUCAUCAAAUUCGAAGGCUACAUCUUUUUGUAGGAGUUGGAACAACGGGGCUCCAAUCUUUGAAAAAUCCUUGAUGAACCUUCGAUAAAAACCUGCAUGUCCAAGAAAAGAGCGCACCUCCCGCACACUCGCGGGGUAAGGUAAUGCAGAAAUAAUGUCUAUUUUAGCCUUGUCAACUUCUAUGCCCUUAGACGAUACAAUAUGACCCAGGACUAUUCCGUGCUCAACCAUAAAAUGACAUUUUUCCCAAUUAAGCACAAGAUUAGUCUCUAUACACCUGAUCAGGAUUAAUUUCAGGUUAUCUAGACAAGUAUCAAAACUAUCACCAUACACACUGAAAUCAUCCAUGAAAACUUCUAUUAUUUUCUCAACAUACUCGGAAAAGAUGCUUACCAUACAUCUUUGGAAAGUCGCAGGUGCAUUGCACAACCCAAAUGGCAUUCGUCUGUAGGCAAAGGUCCCGAACGGGCACGUGAAGGUUGUCUUCUCUUGAUCCUCCGGGGCAAUUGCUAUCUGAAAGUAUCCUGAAAAUCCAUCCAAAAAGCAAUAAUAAGCCCUACCAGCUAAACGUUCAACCAUUUGGUCAAUGAAAGGGAGAGGGAAAUGGUCCUUUUUGGUGACGGCGUUUAGCCUACGGUAAUCUAUACAUUGCCUCCAUCCAGUGGGUUUGCGCACUGGCACGAGCUCACCAGUUUGGUUGGCCUCUACCGUCACUCCUGCAUUCUUUGGGACUACCUGGACCGGACUCACCCAAGGGCUAUCAGAUAUUGCAAAAAUGAUGCCCACAUCUAGCAAUUUUAGAAUCUCUUUCUUUACGACUUCCAUCAUGAGGGGAUUGAGCCUUCUUUGAGCCUGCCUAACAGGUUUGGCAUCGUCUUCCAGCCUAAUCCGGUGCAUACAAAUGGCCGGGCUGAUCCCCUUAAUGUCUGCGAUUGUCCAGCCUAUUGCCUCUUUAUGCUCCCGAAGGACCCGGAUCAAUUUCUCUUCCUGGGUCUUUGACAGUGCCGAUGAGAUAAUCACUGGGAGUGUCUCAUUAUCACCUAGGUAUGCGUAUUUCAGGUGCUCUGGUAGAGGUUUCAACUCCAGUACAGGUGCCUGCACCACAGAUGGCAAUACCCUCUGGUGAGCCUUGGGAGUAAAAAUAGGUAAGACUUCAUACCUUUUCGUGGUGGUCUGCAACGAGUGUAAUGCACCUAUUGUGCAUUUUAAAUCCUCGCUCCACUCCACCUCAGGAGUUGUCUCCAACUCGAGGUGCUUGGUUAAAGCCACCUCCAGCUCAUCCCUGCCAUCAGUUUCAAACACUUCCUGCACUACAGGGUCAAUAGCACUCACAGAAAAAACUGAGCUAAAGUUGGAGUUAGAGGGGUACUUCAUAGUAUCAAAAAUAUUAAAAUGCACAAUUUACCCAUCAAACUCCAUGGACAAGGUACCCUUAUUAACAUCAAUUUUCGUCUGCGCAGUGCUCAUAAAAGGUCUACCCAAUAACAAAGGUGAGGGAUCAGGGGAGUGAUCAUCAUCCAUAUCUAGUACAUAAAAAUCAGCUGGAAACACCAAAUCAUUAACCUUUACCAACACAUCUUCAAUCAACCCAUCAGGAUAUGCAUUAGUUCGGUCAGCUAAUUGAAUAAUUAUUCCAGUUUCUUUUAAUGGACCUAGUUUCAAAGAAGCAUAGAUAGAUUUAGGCAUGACAUUAAUUGAUGCUCCCAGAUCCAGCAUGGCCCUUCUGAUCACAGUAUUACCUAUCUUACAGGGAAUAGUAAACAUACCUGGGUCCCCGCACUUUGGUGGGAGCUUUCUCUGCAGGACCGCAGACACAUUUUCUCCAACUAUGACCCGUUCAUCUCCCCUCAACCGCCUUCGGUUGACACACAAGUCCCUUAGGAACUUGGCAUAUUUUGGUACUUGUUUGAUGGCGUCUAAGAGGGGGAUAUUUAUCUCAACCUUGCGAAAAACCUCCAAGAUCUCCUUCUCCUUAUCCUGCUUCUUCGAUUUUUCCAACCUGCUAGGAAAAGGAGGCGGGUUAGUUUUAACUGUAAUUAUUGGGUCAGGAAGUACCUCUGGAUCUGCACCAUUGCUGUCCUCCCUUUCGAGCUCAUUUUCGAUCUUCUCUUCAUCCUUGUCCUUGGGAAUCACAGGUUCAGGCCCCUGAAUUUCUUUCCCACUCCUUAGGAUCAUUGCGCUCACGUUCUUCGGAUUCAACUCCGGUUGAGAUGGCAGCUUCCCUUGGUUCUGGGACUCCCAACGGUUCAUUCUGGUGGCCAAUUGACCUAUCUGAUUCCUUAUGUCCUGCAUUUCGGAGUCCGUCUUUUGCUGAUUUUGCAUAAUAGCUGCCUCCGUCCUUUGCUGAUUCUGCGCCAUGGUUGUCAUCAUUUGUUUCAGCAUCUCAUCCGUAGAUGAACCAGAUUGAGGGAGCGGAGGUGGUCGGGGUUGGUAUUGCUGCUGGUACCCUGGUGGCUUAUUUGGCACAAAGUUAGACUGCCUGUUUGGCGUGAAGUUGGAUUGCCUAUUUCCACCAUAACUGAGGUUGGGAUGAUCUCUCCACCCGGGGUUGUAGGUGCUUGAGUAAGGGUCGUACUGCUUCCUUGGCGCGGGCGCGUGGUCAGCCAUGUUCACCUGUUCCGCAGUUUCUUCCUGAAUCAUUGGGCACAUGUCUGCAGAGUGACCUAUACCAGUGCAAAUCCCGCAUACCCUGGCUUGUGAUGCAUUUCUCACAGCCUAUUGCCUAACGAACGCAGUCAACUCAUUUAGCUGCUGCUGCACAGAGGGUGUCUCUAUCUCAUUCACCCUACGUAUUGGGACAUCCUAUCUUGUACUGAAUUGCUGUGAAUUCUCUGCCAUCCCCUCUAUUAACUCCCGUGCUUCCUGAGGGGUUUUGUUCACCAGUGCCCCUCCACUUGCAGCAUCAAUGAUGCUCCUGUCUCUAAAAAUGAGCCCCUCAUAGAAAUAUUGUAUGAUCAACUGCUCACUUAUUUGGUGAUGGGGGCACCUGCGCAACAAGCUCUUAUACCGUUCCCAAUACUCGUAAAGUGACUCCUCGGGAUGCUGCUUGAUCCCACAAAUUUCUUUCCUUAGACUCGCAGCCCUGGACGCAGGAAAAUAUUUAUCCAGAAAUUUUUUCUUCAAUUGGUCCCACGUGGUGAUGCUACCUGGUGACAGGUAGUACAGCCAGUCCUUCGCAGAAUCUUUCAAGGAGAAGGGGAAUGCCCUCAUUUUUAUCUGCUCUUCUGUGAUUCCCGGGGGUUUCAUACUGUUGCAAACGACAUCAAACUCCUGCAGAUGCUUAUACGGCUCUUCACCUGGUAAACCAUGAAAAGAGAGUAAAAGCUGAAUCAGACCAGAUUUUAGUUCAAAUGGAAUGUUGUCAUUUAAAGCUGGGAAAGUAAUGCAUAACGGCUGCUGAGUUAAAUCAGGAGCAGCCAACUCCCUUAAUGUUUAUGCAUUAGCCAUGGUGCCUUCCUGCUGGUCAGAGUCACUCGAAGUGUUACCAAACGAAUCUGUUGGUUCAACUUCUGACUCGGGUCUUUGAGAUGUAGCACUAGAGUGCUCUUCUCUGAGCUGUCUGGUUUCCUUUCUCGUUCUACGCGCGGUCUUCUCUACCUCAGGAUCAAAAACCAAAUCACCUGUGCGACAAGAUCGAGGCAUACACUAGAAGAAAACCAGAAAAUUAGGACAAAAUUGAAUUUAAGAAGAAACAAAUAAUAACGCCAGUCCCCGGCAACGGCGCCAAAAAUUGACAGGUCGUCAACCUGUGCAAUAAUAAAAUUAAACCUAAUUGCCAGUUAAAAUGACCAAAACCCAAUUCCAAGUACUGGAGCAGGGACUCUAGGUGUGCAAUGGGUUACUUGAUUCACCCUGUUCCCGAAGAGUUUGCUUGAUCCGAUAUACCCGAAUGGAAUGGUUAUUCCUUUUCACAAAUGAUUAGGAAUUUGUAGACAGGGCAAGUAGGGUCGUAUCCACAGAGACUGGGUAUAUUUGUUUCUUAAGAAAUCCAAAGUAACACAGGGGGUGAUUUUGUAGGAACGACGAUAAUUAAAUAAAUUCAAAUGAGAAAGUAAAAAUAAAUAAUUAACUAGAAAUUAAACCACAAUUUACUGAACUCAGGAUAACAAUAGUUAAAGGCCUCAAUUAAUUAAAAUAAGGAAACAAUCAAAAAUAAAAUAAAGUAGGUAAUUAAAAGUCAAAUGGCAAUCCACUACAAUCAAGGAAAUAUUAACUAAAGAUCUAGCCAAGAAAUAACUUCAGCAAUGGUUCACCUAAUCGAUCAUUGAUGCAAAGCAAUCCCAAUUAUUUACUAAUAAAUAGGUUAUAACUACCAAACAAGCGAUGGCAGUCAACCCCUCCUUACUGUGUCGGUGAUCAAGGUACGCCCGUUAAUCACUGCUCUAAUUGAGAAAUAAUCCUAGGUACGCCCGUAGAAUUUAAUUCCCCAACUGCCUUACGUAUUAGAGGAGCCCUAUUCUACCCAAAUAACACACUACCAGGGUUAUUUUAGAUUAGCCCGCGUAUCCCCCUGACACGAAUCUAAUCGUGCCAGUUGUCACUAAUUUGAGGUAAUUAAACAAUUACGGAUUCAAUACCCCAAUUGACAAUAGAUUAUCAAACCAAUGAAUUAUCCGGAUCCAAGACAAUCAACUAAUUAAAUAAUCAUAAGCACUGCAACCAAGGAAUAUGCGAAUACCAAUAAAUAAAGGAAAAGAUAAAAUUAAAUCGAUCUCACAAUUUACAGGUGAUCCAAAGCAUCAGUCGUUUCUUGACUAGAACGAGGGGGUUAGCUCAUAUUGGAUGAACUAAGCCCGCGGGAAAUUCCAGCAAAAGUCACGGCCGUUGUAUGCAUUUCAAGAGCCGCAAUUCGUCAAACACUUGGAAAGCGAAUGUAAGGCACGGGUAACAAUUGAAGCUUUCUAAUUGUUCCUAGCAUUCGUAAAGCAAAUUCACUCCAGAAGUACAGUGAGGAAAAGUCAAAGAAAGUGGGCUUCAAUUCCUUGCUCCUGACAUGCGUGGAGACAAGCCAAUGCAAGACUACAAUAAACUAACAAGGAAAAGUCAAGAAUUGGAGCUAAGCUCCCCUGCCAUGCGCAGGAAUCCGAAAAGUAAAAAGUAAAGCUUCAAAGAAAAGUCAACAAUUCUUCCUAAGCUACAGACGGAAGAUCCAGCACAAAAGCCAGCUCCCUUUUUUAUCCCUUUUUCCCCCUUCUUAUUGCGGCGGCUCACCAGGAGAGGAGAGCCCUCCGUCCGUCCUUUCUUCCGAAAAUUACCAAAAUGGGCAUGACAUCUUCUCUUCCAAAAGUGCCCCUGGGACAAGCUUUCUCAUCUGAAUUCUUUUUUUUUCCAAUUUGGCACCUGUUAUCAUAUUUAUAUUCUACUCCCUGAAAUAAACGUCAAAUACUAAAAGUGAGUAGAAUCCAGCAAAUAAAUCCACAUCAAGUCAGGUAAUAGGAGGAAUUAAUAAUAAAAUAAAUGAAUAAAUUGCACCCUAUCAGAAAAAUGCAAAAAUUUGUUAUUUAUCAUUAAGGAUCAUAUCGCAUAUAACAUCAAAAAAUAGUAUAUUAUUUAUAUCUUUCACUUAAUAUAAUAUCCAAAUUACUCUUUUCAGUUACAUACCCAUUGUUAGACAAAAUCAACAACAAAUAACCAAAAAAUUUGCAACCAAAAUAUUACCAAAAAAAUAAACUUUAACAUCAUAAAUAUUUUUAUCAACAUAUUAAAGUUAGUUAUUGAAAUUUUUAUGGUGUUAAACUUCACUCUUAGCAAUAUUUUGGUUACAGAUUUUUUUGAUUAUUUAUUGUUGAUCGUGUUUGACAAUGGAUUUGUAACUGAAAAGAAUAAUUUGAAUCUUACAUUAAGUGAAAUAUAUAAAAUAUUAUACUAUUUUUUAUGGCAUAUGUGAUUCUUUUUUUUUUUUUUAUCAGAACGGCAACAUUGUAUUAAUAGUAAACCAAUUACAGUAUAGGUGGGCAACCGCCCUCACAAUCUGCCUGGACUUGUUCCAGCAGCCAAACUGGGAAGUUUUCCUUCCAUUCAGUAUUUUGUUCCAAAGUAAUAGCUACUUUAGCUAGUUUAUGGCUAACAAAGUUGUUCACCCUAUUUGCAAAGGUAAAACAACAUUCAUCAAAUUUUAUUCAUGUACAAUUGUUGCUAUCACCACGUCCUCCUCCUCCUCCUCACUGCACACUACUUGACUACCACCCUUCGCCAACCUUGCUGUUGCAUGUGCAACUAUCAUGGCCUCUCUUAGCGCCUUUGCUUCUUCGACCUUUGGACUGGCACAGCUAAAAUUUGGAACAGCCCAGGCCCACCCGCAAUCUUCCCAACCAAUCCCUGGCCACCCUUUUCCCACCCAGCUUCUAUGGCAUGUGUGAUUCAAUCCUUCUUGAUAGGAUUGGUAAUAGAGGCAGAGGGGGGAGCCGGCUGCAUCCGGUCUACUUUUCAUAGAUAGUACAAUAUUGCGAAAUCGAUCGCAUUCACACAAGAAUAUUUCGAAGUCAUUGCAUCGCUAAGUUGCAAAAAAGUACAAACACUUGUUAUUAUAUAGCUUAAGAUUCAAAACUUUAGAGCACAACCCUCCACCUAACACAAUUGAAUAAUGAAUAUUCACGAUUGUCAAAUCUGUCAAAGCACAGUUUGAGGACAACCCAUUCCAACCUGCAAAAGAUUUUUGACUUUUUUAAAGUUGUUGAGAGCUGUAAAAAGACUUACCAUGCUUACAUCUUCCGAGCCUUGGGAGUUAAAAAUGAAGGCACUGAGUGCUAUAAAAAGGGGGCUAGAGGCUGCCUAGAAGCAUAUCAGCCUAAAACAAGAAUUUGUAGUUAUGAUGGGAAGCAAAGCAAAAGCAAUGGGGUCUGGGCUGACUCCUCUUCUUACCACUGUUUUAGUGGUAUUUGUUGCUCUUGGCUUGCCCUCAGAAACUGCAGCUGAUGAUCACUACAAGUAUUCAUCUCCUCCUCCUCCUUACCACUAUCCCUCACCACCACCUCCAGUGCAUUUACCUCCACCAGUGUACAAAUACAAGUCCCCACCACCACCUCAUCAUGUUUACAAGUACAAAUCUCCACCACCCCCACCACCACACCCAGUUUACAAGUAUAAGUCGCCACCACCACCUCCUCAUCCGGUAUACAAGUACAAGUCUCCUCCGCCACCUCCUCAUCCGGUACCACACCCAGUUUACAAGUAUAAGUCACCACCACCACCUCCUCAUCCGGUACCACACCCAGUUUACAAGUAUAAGUCUCCUCCGCCACCAGUUUACAAAUAUAAGUCUCCUCCACCACCACCUCCAGUGUACAAAUACAAGUCUCCACCACCACCAGUUUACCACUACAAGUCUCCACCACCUCCUCCCCCAGUUUACAAAUACAAGUCUCCACCACCACCACCACCAGUUUACCACUACAAGUCACCACCACCUCCUCCCCCAGUUUACAAAUACAAGUCUCCACCACCUCCUCACCACUACUAAGCAAUUGCUUCUGAGGUAAUAACACUUGUUCAAUAUACCCACUUCUGCAUGAUAAAGCAUAUCUCUAUCAACACAAACUGUCAUGUCUAUCAUGCUAAGUGCCUUCACUUCAUCCACCAAAAUGACUGCUAGAAAAUUUUUUUUAUGUUACCAAAGAAAGGCAUCAUUUUUUCCCUCUGUUAUCAAGAACUUGUACAGUAUAUAGAUUAAAGAGUAUUUUUUUAACUAGCUUAUCAACUGAGAAAUGCAUAUAGCUGAUAGCCAGCUGAAUAUUUGCAGGCAAAGGAGAAGGAAACCAGUGUUUGAGACCUUCUUGAAGAUGUAGAAGCAUAAGAAUUAAAGCCCAAUGUGAAGAUGAUGAUUUCAAGUUUUUCUACGUUACCAUUUCUUUAUCUAAAUUGGUUGUAGCGCCUUAGUUCCUUUGUUUAUGGGAUUUGUAUCGUUUUACGUACCAUGCAGUACAUGUCAUGUUUGUAAGGUUUUCUAUCCUGCCGGCAAACCGCAGGUUCCAUGUAAUAAAUCAAUACUAUUUAUAUUACGACACUUUUCUCUGUUUCUCUUAUAUUUUGUCGUCUUUAAUAUUCUUAAUCAUAUUUUUAACAAAAAUAUUCAAACACUUAGGCAAUCUGGUCUAAUGCUAAUUGUAUGUUUUACUUUUCUUUUUCACCUGCUCCCCUUUUCAACUCAAAAGGAUGCAAUAGUUUGUGAUCACUGUUGAAGACGGAAGCAUGAUACUAAUGAAUAUAUCAUUGAAACUCAAGGAAACUAACAUUAUGAAAAGUGUAAAUCUUGAUUUGAUGCAACUAUUUAUUCGUGGAAUCUAUAGUUACAAAACUCAAACUCUGACUGCGCCAUUGAUAAAUUAUUAAUGACGCUAUCAUCAUUAUUUAUCCCCAACUAGUUUCGACUACAACUGAACCCAAUAUUUUCCCCAUGAUAAAAGUUUUUUACUAUUUUACUGGCCUCUCUUCAAAUUUUAAAAAUUACACUAAUCUUCAUUGAGAUUAAUUAUCUUGUAGCAUUUAAGUCCAAUUAAUAAUUAAAAAAUAAUAUUAUGAGAGAGAAAAUAAUAUAAUUUUAUCAUUGCCCCCCAUCUUGCUAUAUUAUUUAAUUAAUUUAAUAGCAACCCACACAUUAAAGAAAAAUACUAAAAUUUGCUGCUUUUCAUUAAAGAUCAAAUUGCAUAUGCCAUAAAACAUAGUAUAUCAUUCUAUAUGUUUCACUUAAUGUAAGAUCCCAAUUGUUCUUUUCAAUUACAAACCCAUUGUCAAACAUGAUCAAUAACAAAUAACCAAAAAAUUUGCAACCAAAAUAUUACAAAAAAAAACUUUAACAUCAUAAAUAUUCUUACCACCUCUAGUGCAUUCACCCUCAUAAAAUAAUUCAAGACCCUACUGUCAUAAAAUGACUGAUCAACUCCUGUAAACCUAAUUUGACAACAUUUAAAUGGAGAACUUUAGCUAAAAGAAUUAUGGUCAAGCUAAAGAAAAAACCAGUUAUUUUCCAACAUAUGCAAUCAUUGAUCAGGGAAAAAAAAAAGAAGCAAAAAGACAUCUUCAAUCAUUUAAUAGCUUACAGGGCAAAUUAACCCCUAAGCGAAAACUGGUUGCUCUAGAAUCAAAAUUUUACUUUAGUUACCCAGGCAACUUUUUUUGUUGCCUUUUCUUUUUCUUUUUUGGGUAUAUAUAUAGCUCCAGUUUUGCCCCCUCUGUCAAGCUUAUAUAAUUAUUAAGAUAAUAAAAGUGCCUUUAAUAGUAUUAAUAUAUCCAUUGACUUGAGCUGUCAUCGAUCGGUUUGGGCUACUUCGAUUCCAUGAGAACAAAUGGUAAUAAAAGUACUCAGAAAAUGGGGAGUCAUGAAACCCUUUUGUUCUAUUCAUUGCUAAGAUGCUUUUCUCUAUAAAGACACUUCCUAACGAAAAUACUUUGUAGAUUUCUUUACUCCAAGUGGUGCAUGGAAAAUUAAUAUUUUCAAUUAUCAAAUAAAAUUCCCUUUUUUCGGUGUAGAUUUCAUCCAUUCAGCUGUUAACACUCCGAAUUGACUAAUCUUUUCGUUUCCAUUUUCCAACUUGCGAAUACGGCAUCUUACAUAUUGUCUGCUGAAUAUGAAUACAUAUCCCUUUUCUGAGCAGGUGCAGAGUCAUUAUCAUUUUUAUUCCCACCUAACAAAUUAGUUAAUAAUCUUUUAAAGAACAUGUUAAAUUAAUUUAUUGGUAUGAAUAGUAGUCAAAGAAGUAUGUUAAAGUUAGUAAUCUUUAAAAUAAUAUGUUAAAAUUAUUCGUACAAAUUAGCCAGAGAAGUAGCAUAAACACCGCGAUGCAAUUAAUACUUUCAAUCUCAAGGUCUCUAUUAUGGAAAUUUGCAUCGGUCAACAUACACAAAGCAUUAUUGUAUGCACGUCUCUCUAUUAUGGAAAUUUGCAUAGGUCAAUAUACACUUGGCAUAGUUGCAUGCACGUCCAAUUUUUUUUUAUUUUUAUUUUUGGUAUUUUACUUCCUGCCUUAAGUUGCCUGCAGAUGUUUGUAUUACAAAUAUAUGGUAUACUAAAUAUAUAGUAUGCACAUUAAUUUCUUUGGGUUGCUUAAGGGUAUAUUGUUAAUAAUAGGGGGUUUAACCAUAAAUUAUAACAAUGAUGAAGUAAUAUAUAUUAGAAAAUUAACACAAUUAUGAUUUUUUUUUUUGUAAAAUUCAAAUUUUAUUAAUAAGAAAUGAAAUAGGCAGUAAGCAUUUACAAACCGAAAACAAAAUCCUACAACAACUCUAGGACUCUACACCUUAUUAAAAAAAAACAUUUUGAUAGCGUUUUUCCAAAAGCAGAAGAUGGAAAAUUGCCCAUUUGUACUGGGGAGUUCGUGAUCUUUUCCUCAUUCUAGUCUACUUACAAUUCUUGGAAAAAGGAAUACUCACAUCUCAAACAACAGCCUGUUCAUCUGCAGUGUCCUGCCGAAUUCUAGAAAGUUUGGUGGCAAUGUUAAUUACAUUUCAAAAUUGACUGCUGCGAUAACUAAUUCGAUGGCUUACUACAUGGUCAACGUUUGGAUCUCUUCCUGUCCUUUUUGGAUGCACAUUUUUUUUCUCUAGGUAAUAUAUAAUCUCCCAACUCAUUUCUUUACAAAUGCACCUUUAAUCACCACCAAAAGGUGUGGACAUGAUCUUUACCCUAGAAAACUAUUCACCGACAGGCAAAUUGACGUCAGAAAUACUAAGAGGAAUUCUAGUUUCCUUCGGGUUAAUGCCAUUUUGUACCCUUCAACUGUAACUCAAUUUCUAAGCUGUAAUUUGUGACAUUAUAGUCCUUAAACUAUGAAACCCUUUCUUAUUUAAUUACAAUGGUUAAUACAAUGCCCGUGACUAGACAAGUAUGAAGCAACCAUAACAAAAAAAAAAUCCAAAAUUAGAGAAAAGAAAGAAGUUGCGACCAAAGUAUGUAUCAAGGCAUAGUAUAGAAAUAAAAGUGUCAAAAUUAAGAGUUUAGGGAUAAAAAAGAAUCAAAAUAUAGUUUAGGAAUUGAUUUGUCUCAAUUAGAGUUUAGAUGUCAACUAAGAAGAGAGAUAUAGUUGAAGGGUAGAAUAUAGAUAUAACAGUUCAAUGAUUGAUAUCAACGAGACAAUGACAACUUUGGAUUAUUACCAACCUCUUCUUGAUGGAAAAGGAAAUAGAGAAGAAAGUCGGGCCUGGUCUAAGCCUGUUUCGGAGGCAAAACAACAUUAUGAAAUCACCGGCAUUCACACAAAUAUGUCAAAGUCACCGGCAUGCUAAGUUGCAAAAUUUAUACAAACACUGAAUAUUAUAUUCUUCUCAAAAUUUUUGUUUAAGAUUUAACAAUUAGAGCACGGUACACGAAUUAGCAAUAUUAAAUAAUGAAUGUUCACGAUUGAUAAAGUUAUCAAAGUACAGUUUGAGGACAACCCAUUCCAACGUGUACAAGAUGUUUAGCCUUUGAAAAGUUAAUUAGAGAAGGUGACGAGAUUUUACUAGGCUUACAACUUCUAGGCCUUGGGAGUAAAAAGUGAAGACACUGAGUGCUAUAAAAAGGGGGCUAGAUGUUGCCUAGAAGCAUAUCAGCCUCGGACCACAUUUUGUAGCAAUGGGGAGCAAAGCAAAAGCAAUGGGGUCUAGGCUGACUCCUCUUUUUACCACCGUUUUAGUGGUAUUUGUUGCACUUGGCUUGCCUUCAGAAACUGCAGCUGAUUACGACAAGUAUUCACCUCCUCCUCCUCCUUACCAUUAUUACUCACCACCACCUCUUGUGCAUUCACCUCCACCACCGCCAGUUUAUAAGUCACCCCCACCACCUUAUCACUACUUCUCACCACCACCUCCAGUGUAUCCAUCUCCACCACCAUCUGUUUACAAGUCACCUCCACCACCUUCGCCAGUAUACAAGUCCCCACCACCACCUUAUCAAUAUUCCUCACCACCACCUCCAGUGCAUUCACCUCCACCACCACCGAUUUAUAAGUCACCUCCACCACCUCCUCCAGUUUACAAGUCCCCGCCACCACCUUACCAUUAUUCCGCACCAUCACCUCCAGUGCAUUCACCUCCACCACCACCGAUUUACAAGUCACCUCCACCACCUCCUCCAGUUUACAAGUCUCCAUCACCACCUUACCAUUAUUCCUCACCACCACCUCCAGUGCAUUCACCCCUACCACCACCGGUUUACAAGUCUCUGCCACCACCUUACCAUUAUUCCUCACCACCACCUCCUAUGCAUGCACCUCCACCACCAAUAUACAAGUCACCUCCACCACCUCCUCCAGUUUACAAGUCUCCACCACCACCUUACCAUUAUUCCUCACCACCACCUCCAGUGCAUUCACCCCUACCACCACCAGUUUACAAGUCUCCGCCACCACCUUACCAUUAUUCCUCACCACCACCUCCUGUGCAUGCACUGCCACCACCAAUUUACAAGUCACCUCCACCACCUCCUCCAGUUUACAAGUCCCCACCACCACCUUACCAUUAUUCCUCACCACUACCUCCAGUGCAUUCACCUCCACCACCACCGAUUUACAAGUCACCUUCACCACCUCCUCCAGUUUACAAGUCUUCACCACCACCUUACCAUUAUUCCUCACCACCACCACUCUUCAAUUUGGAUGUAAUUCAAUUUUCCUUGUAAUCGGUGGCCCUCCUUCGGAAUCCAAAUAGUCAUUGAGUGCAGCCUUCUUUCUUUAUUUUUUACUCAUUUUCACCUCAUAAAUUGCUUUCAUCCCCUAAAACUUGUUCGCUGGAAUUUUGAAUUUACCCAUACAACUAAACUCAGAAAAUUCUUACACAAAGGGAUUAGUAGCAUGAAUAGCAAACACAGAAUAAGAGAUAACAGUAUGUUUUAUUGUAUUAAAAAUAUUAAAGUGGAUUAUUUCUCCAUCGAAUUCCAUUGUGAGAGUAUCGUUACUAACAUCAAUCUUAGUUUGAGCAGUACUCAAGAAUGACCUUCCUAAUAUAAUGGGUGAUGGAUUUGGGACACUUUCAUCAUCCAUAUAAAACACAUAAAAAUCAACAGAAAAAAUUAAUCCAUCUACUUGAACUAAAAACAUCCUCAACUACCCCAUUUAGAUAAGCAAAUAUACGAUCAGCCAAUUGAAUUAUUAUCCCUAUUUCUUUUAAAUGUUCUAAAUUUAGGGAAUCAUAAAUUGAUUUAGACAUCACAUUAAUAGAAAUCUUUAAAUCUAUCAUGGCAUUUUUUAUAUUAGAAUGUCCAAUCUUACAUGAGAUAGUAAACAUACCUAGAUUCUCGCAUUUAGGUGGUAGUUUCCUUUGUAAAAUUGCUGAAACGUUCUCAUCUACCACAAUAUGCUUGUCCUCCUCAAUUUCUUCUUGUUGACACACAAGUUUUUCAAGCAUUUAACGUAUUUUGGAACUUAUUUGAUUUGCGUCCAACAAAGGGAUAUUGAUUGCCACCUUGCGAAAAUCUCUAAAAUCUCCUUUUCUUUAUCUUGUUUCUUUGAUUUCUCUAACCUGCUUGGAAAAGGUGGUGAGUUAGUUCCAACUCUAAUUAUAGAAUCAACAAUUACCUUUGGAUUCACAUUUCUCAUUCCUUCCUCCUCAAGCUCUUUGUCGAUUCGAUCUUCAUUUUUAUCCUUUGGAAUCACAACUUCGGAUCCCUGAAUUUUCUUCUCGCUCCUUAAGGUCAUUACACUUACAUUCUUCAGGUUCAGUUCAGGUUGAGACGACAAUUUUUCAUAGAUUUGGGAUUCCAGGCGGUUGAUUGCUAUUACCAUCUGACUCAUCUGACUCUGCAGUGCUUGCACCUGUCCCAAUUGAUUCCUCAUACUUUGCAAGUCAAAAUCCAUCUUUUGUUGAUUAGCAAUUAAUUGCUUCAUUAUCUCUUCUAUAGAUGGACUUGAGUUUGAAAGAGGUGGUGGCGGGCGAGACUGAUACUGUUAUUGAUACCCUUGCUAUCUAUUUGGUGCAAAAUCUGGCUACCUAUUUCCUCCAUAGCUGAGGUUGGGAUGAUCUCUCCAACCAAUAUUGUACGUAUUCGUGUACGAGUCGUAUGGUUUUCUUGGCACGGCGCGUGACCAGCCAUGUUCACUUGCUCCGUACUUUUCUCUUGAAUCAUUGAGCACAUCUCUGUAGAAUGACCCAUAGCAGUGCAGAUCCCACACAUCUUGACUCGUGAUGCAUUUCCUAUAGCUAAUUGCCUAACAAAGGAUGUUAAUUCGGUCAACUGCUGUUGGAUAGAAUAUGUUUCUACCUCAUUUACUUUGCGUGUUGGGGCAUCCUCCCUCGUACCAAACUGUUGCGAAUUUUCCGCCAUUCCUUCAACUAGCUCCCACGCUUCUCGAGAAGUCUUGUUCACCAAUGCCCUUCUACUUGCAGCAUCAAUUAUACUCCUGUCUCUAAAACGCAGCCCCUCGCAAAAAUAUUGGAUGAGCAAUUGCUCACUUAUUUGGUGUUGAGGGAACUUGAUGCAUAACUUCUUGAAUCGCUCCCAAUAAUCAUAAAGCGACUCUCCUGGAUGCUACUUGAUACCGUAUAUCUCCUUCCUUAGACUUGCAGCUCGAGAUGCAAGAAAAUAUUUGUCCAAGAACUUUUUCUUCAGCUGAUCCCACGUGGUGAUGCUACCUGGUGGUAGAUAGCACAGCCAGUCUUUUGCGGAGUCCUUCAAGGAGAAGGGAAAUGCCCUCAUUUUUAUCUAUUUUUCUGUAAUUCUCGGAGGUUUUAUGCUGUUGCAAACGACAUCAAACUCUUGCAAGUGCUUAUACGGUUCCUCACCUGGUAAACCAUAGAAAGAUGGCAAGAGAUGAAUUAGACCAGAUUUUAACUCAAAUGAAGUGUUAUCAUUUAAAAAUAGAAAAGUAACUGAGAUGCAGCACUGGAAUGUUCUUCUCGAAAUUGUCUGGUCUCUUUCUUUGUUCUACGCGUAGUCUUCUCUACCUUAGGAUCAAAAAUUAAUUUACCUGUACGAGAAGAACGAGGCAUACACUAGAAAAACACUAGAAAAUUAGAACAAAAAUGAACAUAAAAAGAAACAAAUAAACCAACGUCAGUCCCCAGCAACGGCGCUAAAAAUUGACAAGUUGUCGAUGCCUGUGCAAUAAUAAAAAUAAACCUAGUUACCAAUUAAAAUAAUCAGAGCCUAAUUCUGAGUACUAGAGCAGGGACUAUAGGUGUGCAAUGGGUUACUUGAUUCACCCUAUUCCUGAAGUUUGCUUAACCCGAUAUACCAGAAUGAGAUUGCUUAUUCAAAAGGAAUUAUUGAUUUGUAAACAGGGCAAGUAGGGUCGUAUCAUCAGGGAUUGAAAAAAUUUGUUUCUUUUCAAAUCCACAGUAACAAGGGGAUGUUUUUGUAUAAAUGAUAACAAUCUAAGGAGUGCAAAUAGAAAUAAAUAGAUAACUAGAAAUUAAAUGACAAUUCACUAAAAUUAGAGUAAUAAUAAUUAAAGGUCUAGCUAAGAAAUAACUUCAGCAAUGGUUCACCUAAUUGAUCAUCGACGCAAAGGCAAUUCCAAUUAUUUACUAAUAAAUAGGUUAUAACUGCAAAACAAGCAAUGACAGUCAACCCCUCCUUACUGUCGGUCGGUGAUUAAGGUACGCCCAAUCACUGCUCUAGUUGAGAAAUAAUUUUAGGGACGCUCGUAAGAUUUAAUUUUCCAAUUGCCUUACGUAUUAGAGGAGCCAUAAUCUAACCAAAUAACGCUACCAGGAUUAUUUUAAAUUAACCCGUGUAUUCCCUUGAUACAAAUUCAAUCAUGUCAGUUGUCACUAUUUCAAGGUAAUGAAACAAUUACGGAUUUAAUAUCCUAAUUGACAAUAGGUUACUAAAUCAAUUCACUAUUUCGAUCCAAGAUAAUCAAUCAAUUUAACAACUAAUAGCACUGCAAUCGGAGAAUAUGUAAAUACCAAUAAAUAAGAGGAAAAGAUAAAAUUAAAUCGAUCUCACAAUUUUUAAACAAAUCAAAGUAUCCGUUGUUUCUUGACUAGAAAAGAAAAUUUAGUUCAUUCCUAAUGUGAAAGACCCACGUGAGAAUUCAAAAAUAAUAUUCACGGAUAUUGUCUUGAUUCAAUAGAUUCAAUUGCGUUGGAAUAAGGAUAAAAAGCCAAACUAUAGAGAGUGAUUCAAUGUUUUGUUUCGUUUGCAUUUUUUCUACACAUAUGGAAGAAGAAAAACAACUAAAGGACGAAAAAAAAAAGUCAAAGAAAGGCACCCAAAGUAGUGCUUGGUCUCUACCAUCCUAUUUCCUAUCUAAUUACUACUUCCCUUCUGCGGCUGCCUAGAGGAAGAAAGAGAAAGCAGACUUCAGGUCUUGUUCCAUCUCCUCCCUUUUCGGCAAUUCCCCAAAAGUAGAAAAGUUCCUCCGUUUACCAAAAUGCCCCUGGAAUGAGGACUGCUACUUGAACUCAUUUUCUUGAUAACUGUCAAAUUAGCACUUGUUAUGGUAUUUGCGUCUACUUCCUGUAAUAAAUGUAAAUUGCCAAAAGUGAGUAAACUGAUAAUUAAUUUACAUCAGGUCAGGUAAUAGGAAAAAUUAAUUAUAAAAUAAAUGAUAAAAUUGCAACCUAUCACUUAGAAUAACCAGAAAUAAAACAAAACAAGAAAUGAAAGAAAUAAGAGGGUAGCAUAGACAUUUUGGAUUUUUCUGUUAAUUUGGAUGAUUUCCACCUACGGUCUAAUUUAAUCCAAAACACAAAUGGAUUAUGUGGAGAUUUUUAAACAAUGAGGGAGUAUCGUGACCGAAUCCCAAACCACAAAGGGGAUUUACUAUAUUUUACUCUUAAAUUUUGGUUUCAUCUCAUAGCAUACAAGAGUACUAUUUCACUGUCUGUCGACCAGGGAGGAGGGUUGGGUUGGGUGGUACGGGGGAGGGAGUCUAAGUAAGAGGUCUCAGGUUCGAAUCCUCCUGUUUAUACUAAAAAAAAAAAUUUACUAUCUGUCGACAAAGAUUUUCUAUGGUUGAUGUACCAUAGGAAAAAUCUGCCUAUACAAUUAUUUGGAAAAAUUAUCCAUCCAAACAUAGUCACGAUAGCAUUUUUUCAAAAACACUAGAUGCAAAAUUGUCCCCUUAAACGUGGAAAUUCAUGAUCUUUCCUCGACUAGUCUACUUGUCAAUUUUUGAAAAAAGAAUACUCACGCCAAAAACACGGCCUCUUCAUCUGCAGAAUUCUAAAAAGUUACGUAAACUCUAUAAACAAGUUGAUAGGUACAAUCGUACCCAAGAUCAAGUACAGAUAGUUGUACAUUCACUGCUGCAAUAACUAAUCUGAUGACUUACAAACACAUCAUGGUCAAUCGUUGAAUGGUAAUGAGUCUUUUGUUAUGCAUUAGUAUUAGUGUGUACACUCUAAUAGAUUGAUACUUAUACUCUUUAAAUUAUCAUAAUAAUACCCUUAAUUAACUUUAACCCUUAAAAAGAAUACGUGUUAAUACACGAGAGUGUGUAACCUGAAUUGUUACUUAUACAUUAGUGUGUAAUAGAACGGCAAGCAUUAUGGUGGUCAUUGAGCAACUUAUAGGAGAAAUAGUCCUAUAAGCUGUUCAAUGACCAAUCACAACUUGCUAAUUGGAUGACUAAUAUAGCUCUAGCUGUAAUGUUUUAAUUAAAUUCCACACUAACGUUGGGAUGACUUUUUAAUCAAAAAAAAAAAAGCCUUAGUUCAAGCUUUUCCCCUUAUUGUGCAUUUUUUAAAACAUUUGAUAGGCACUGCAAAUCUGUCAUUUUGGACAUUUUAUUAUUAACUAACAAUGAAAGCCGUGGACAUCAACCCAUAUCCAACAAAAUAUUAAAUUAAUAUUAGAAAAAUUAUUAAGUAAUUGGAAAAAAAAAAGAAGAGGCUAAUUUUCAUUGAAACCCACCGACAAACUAUCCGUGUCCAUAGCUUUUGAAUAGUGCAUUCAACGUUUAAUUGUAUGGUCCAGUUCAUUGCCGAUUACAUGGAGUAAAGAUUGUGCUCUUUCCUUUUUCACCCCUUUUGGAAUCGAUACUGUGGAGAAUUGGGUUUUUCCCUCCUUUUUUUCUUUUCUUUCCUUCUGUGCUUUGCAAAACAUACGUAAAAAUAUGAAAUCCGAAGCAUUCUUUAAUUGGGAUUAAGUAUUGUUGUUGAAAUUAAAAAGAAGAAAGAAAGAACAACAAAAAUCCCAAUCUGGGUUGAUUGUUGAGCUCUAGAUUGGCUGCAUCGUGCUUCCAUAGAAGUUCUCUUAGUGUGAUACGCUGCUUUCAAUCAGUUUUAAUAUUUAAGUAGAGUGCAAAAUAACUUUACUAUUUAAUGGGUUAUAAUGCACCAUUUGGUACCUCUCACCCACCUAUGAUUUGAUUUACUACUGGCAUGGUAAUGGACAGAGUUGGGGGAGCAGGAGGAGGGAGAUGGCGGUACCAGUCCGUCAACCACAGCACACCCUCCCUCGGACUUUGCGUGGUAGCGAAGUGGAGGCAGAUCGAGCACACAUGCACUAACGCCUUAAGUAUGUACAAUAUAUGUAUGCCAAAAGCAUAGCCAAGCCUACCAGCGCAUUUCAAUAAUAUAACCCGGAAAUUAAGGGCAUUGAAUUAAGUACGAUGAAUCAUAUUGGUGCACAAUUACAGUUUGAAGCUACCGAUUCGAGUAAAUUUAAGCGUAAGCACAAUCAAUCGCCAGUCAAAUGCUGAAAUAUGCAUAUGCAUGGAUGAAUGUAUGGGUUUCUUAGUUCCAGACCAAAGGCCAACAAUAAGGGAAGGAAGGACAGUUCUCAUUUUUAGCACGGACAAGGAGAUGAAGAAAAGUGUAUGUAGCUUGAGACAGAACAAUGGCAUGUGACCGCUCCUGAGACCACAUAACGUGGGGUGGGGAUGGGACGGCCAAGAAUGAAGAUGCCUGUCGGUCUCUCCGUGCUGCUACCAUAUGAAUCCCCCGUUAACCAAUUCAAGAUAAGCCUGAAGUUCUUUUCAUCCCCAAACCCUGUCCCAUCUGUGUAAAUCCAACAUCAUCAUUUACGACCUGCAACUCAGGUUAAGCAUGUUCUAUUGAGAUUCAGACACCACCCUUCAAAAGAUAUACUACUGUGAAACCAGCAGCUUAAUAUCAUUGUAUAAAAAAAAAAAAAAAAGAAAGAAGAAAAGACAUGAAAAGCAAAUUUUGUGGGGAUAAUUUCAAAAUCUCUCCUAAAGUUUUUUACUAUUUUACUGGCCUCCUUUCAAAUUUUAAAAAUUACACCAGUCUUCCUUGAGAUUAUUUAUCUUGUAACAUUGAGGUCCAAUCAAUAAUUAAAAAAUGAUAUUAUGAGAGAGAAAAAAAAUAAACUUUAACAUCAUAAAUAUUCUUAUCAACAUAUUAAAGUUAGUUACUGAAAUUUUUAUGGUGUUAAACUUCACUCUUUGUAAUAUUUUAGUUACAGAUUUUUUGAUUACUUGUUGUUGAUUUUUUUUUUUUUAGUGUAAACAGGAGGACUCGAACCUAAGACCUCUCACUUACACUCCCUCCCCCCGUACCACCCCAACCCAACCCAACCCUCCCCUCGUUGUUGAUCAUGUUUGACAAUGGAUUUGUAAUUGAAAAGAACAAUUUGGAUCUUACAUUGAGUGAAAUAUAUAGAAUGAUAUACUAUUUUUUAUGGCAUAUGUGAUUCAAUCCUUGAUGAUAAAAGCAAAUUCAAGUGUUUUCUUUAAUGUUUGUGCUGAUAUUAGAUUAAUUAAAUAAUUUAGUAGAUGAAGGAAAAUGGUGAAAUCAUAUUAUCUUCUCUUUCCUAAUAUCACUAUUUAAUUAUUGAUUGAACUUAGAUAUUACAAAUAAUAAAUCUCAAGGGAGAUUAGUAUAAUUUUCAAAUUUUGGAGAGAAGCUAAUGAAAUAGUCAAAAACCUUAAGGGAGGUUUACAAAAUUAUCCCAAAUUUGUGGGAAUUAGAAUAAUUGUACUGGACGGCACUGCCGCAACAGAGGGAAAGAGGAGGAGGUGCAGUUAACUUUUUGUUGUUUGAAAUCCUUGGUGAAAUAUUACAGAAAGACAGAUAAAACAGUUAGUACAUAGAUGUAUAUGACAGGGAAAAUGGUACGUCUGUUAAUCACAUUUGAAACACUUUCAUUGGUGAAUGACGAAAACUAUCAGGCUUGCCCAAUAGUUGAUCAUUGACCAAGACAAAUCUUGCCAUGCUAGAGGUACCAUCUUUUCGUACCUCUUUAGUGCACAGGACAUUCCUUUGUUUCAUCUAGCUAAUAAUCUACCAACUCAUUUCUUUGCAAAUGCACCUUUUAUGGUCACGUCUACGAAAGCUUUACAGGAUCUUUACCCAAAAAAUCAAUUCACCGACUCGCAUUUGAUGUCAAAAUUUCUUUACUUUACUCCAAGAUUGACUGUUAAUAAUAAUGCCACUUUGAAUUAUCACACCAUCCUUCUUGAUAGGAUUUGUGCUAGAGGUAGGGAGGGAGUCGCUGCAGCCGGUCUUCUCUUCAUAGACAGUACAAUAUUGCGAAAUCGAUCGCAUUCACGCAAUAUUAUAUUUCCAAGUCGUUGCAUGGGUAAGCUGCCAAAAAGUACGAACACAUGUUAUUAUAUAGCUUAAGAUUCAAAACUUUCGAGCAUAACCCUCCACCUAACACAAUUGAAUAAUGGAUAUUCACGAUUGUCAAAUCUGUCAAAGUACAGUUUGAGGACAACCCAUUCCAACCUGCAAAAGGUUUUUUUACUUUUCUAAAGUUGUUGAGAGCUGUUAAAAGAUUUACCAUGCUUACAUCUUCCGAGCCUUGGGAGUUAAAAAUGAAGGCACUGAGUGCUAUAAAAAGGGAAUAGAGGCUGCCUAGAAGCAUACCAGCCUAAAACAAGGAUUUGUAGUUAUGAUGGGAAGCAAAGCAAAAGCAAUGGGGUCUGGGCUGACUCCUCUUCUUGCCACUGUUUUAGUGGUGUUUGUUGCUCUUGGCUUGCCCUCAGAAACUGCAGCUGAUGAUCACUACAAGUAUUCAUCUCCUCCUCCUCCUUACACUAUCCCUCACCACCACCUCCAGUGCAUAUACCUCCACCUCAUCCUGUUUACAAGUACAAAUCUCCACCACCCCCACCACCACACCCAGUUUACAAGUAUAAGUCACCACCACCACCUCCUCAUCCGGUACCACACCCAGUUCCUCAUCCGGUGCCACACCCAGUUCCUCAUCCGGUGCCACACCCAGUUUACAAGUAUAAGUCACCACCACCACCUCCUCAUCCGGUACCACACCCAGUUCCUCAUCCGGUACCCACACCCAGUUUACAAGUAUAAGUCACACCACCACCUCCUCAUCCGGUACCACACCCAGUUUACAAGUAUAAGUCACCACCACCACCUCCUCAUCCGGUAUACAAGUAUAAGUCUCUCCGCCACCAACACCCAGUUUACAAGUAUAAGUCACCACCACCACCUCCUCAUCCGGUGCCACACCCAGUUUACCACUACAAGUCACCACCACCACCUCCUCAUCCGGUACCACACCAGUUUACCAUACAAGUCACCACCAAUCCUCACCCAGUUUACAAAUACGAGUCUCCACCACCUCCAGUUUAUAAGUACAAGUCACCACCACCUCCUCCACCAGUUUACAAGUAUAAAUCUCCUCCACCACCACCACCAGUUUACCACUACAAGUCUCCACCACCUCCUCCCCCAGUUUACAAAUACAAGUCUCCACCACCUCCUCACCACUACUAAGCAAUUGCUUCUGAGGUAAUAACACUUGUUCAAUAUACCCACUUCUGCAUGAUAAAGCAUAUCUCUAUCAACACAAACUGUCAUGUCUAUCAUGCUAAGUGCCUUCACUUCAUCCACCAAAAUGACUGCUAGAAAAUUUUUUUUAUGUUACCAAAGAAAGGCAUCAUUUUUUCCCUCUGUUAUCAAGAACUUGUACAGUAUAUAGAUUAAAGAGUUUUUAUUUUAACUAGCUUAUCAACUUAGAAAUGCAUAUAGCUGAUAACCAGCUGAAUAUUUGCAGGCAAAGGAGAAGGAAACCAUGUUUGAGACCUUCUUGAAGAUGUAGAAGCAUAAGAAUAAAAGCCCAAUGUGAAGAUGAUGAUUUCAAGUUUUUCUACGUUACCAUUUCUUUAUCUAAAUUGGUUGUAGCGCCCAAGUUCCUUUGUUUAUGGGAUUUGUAUCGUUUUACGUACCAUGCAGUACAUGUCAUGUUUGUAAGGUUUUCUAUCCUGCCGGCAAACCGCAGGUUCCAUGUGAUAAAUGAAUACUAUUUAUGUUACGACACUUUUCUCUGUUUCUCUUAUAUUUUGUCUUUAAUAUUCUUAAUCAUAUUUUUAACAAAAAUAUUCAAACA